UCAGAAAGGGGAAGGGGUUUCUUUCGGUUGGCCACCCAUACAACUCUUCGUGGUUUCGACCUGUAAUCCCAUAUGCCCACGAAUCUUCCAAUCUUGGAGCUUCCAUCUGGAUUAAAGAAGCCAAGUUCAAAAGUUUUGCCUGCAGAAACAAGAGUUCCUCCAUCAUUACUAAGCCAAUCCUCCGGUGUGAUGGUAUCUCUAGCAGAGCAAUGCAGGACAGAACACAAGAAGAAAAAGAUGGUAGAUAGAAUGUGAGUUGCAGAGACAGGAACCAUGAAUUUUCUUCUUAUCAUUUCUUCUCUUCUUAGUGCUGUGCCUUGAAAUCUGUAGUUUUUAAUGGAUACUCUUCCUCUUGAAUCUUGAGUGGAGCAAAGUCACAUCAGUAUUGCCAUCUUAGUCUUGCUCCCUCAGUCCACAUAAUGAGAAGAAAAAUAAAAACAUAUACCUAAUUGAAUGAUUAAUAAUUGGGGUGCAGCAUGCAAAGUUUUUUCUUUAUUCAUUUUCUAGAUUUAAGUUCCCAAAUGAGAAAAUGAUUGAAAAUAAAGGUGGACUAUGUUUCCUUUUCGAUGCACGCUUCUCAUGUUUUCUCUUUAUGGCAACUAUAAUAUGCUUUCUGGUGCCUUCCAAAGUCUUGAUGUUUGUAUCAUCAUGUUCCUCAUUUCACCCACUUUUUUUUUUCUUUGUAUGUAAAGUUUUUCUCUUUUGAGAAAUAAAGUAUAAGCAUCAACCAAUAAAUUUUUUUUUAGGAAUAAUCAAUUAAAAGAAAUAAAAGAAAUAUGAAAUUAUAAAUUUAACCUCCCAUUUUUUUUUGUUCCAAAAAAAUACCUAUUUUGGAUAGGAAUAACCUCAUUUUUUUUAUCAUAAAAAUAACAUUUUCUUAUAAAAUAUACAUGUAAAUAAUGAAAAUAUUGAAGAGUAUUUAUAUAAAAAAUGAGUUACUCUUUAUAUUAAAAAAUAGGAGAGACUAAUUUUACAAAUUUAGGAUCUUUUCAUCAUUUUUAAUCAAUUAAUCCAUUUUUCUACACUUUCUUCAACUUGGAGGAGCUUCGUAAUGGGAUAAACAAGAGAAAUCAAGAGUGUUUUCACUCUGCUUUUAAAAGGGUUUUCAAGAAAAUUCAAAUAAAUAUAUUCAAAUAUAAAAACUAAUUUUCUUUGUUUAUUCAUGUAUAGUAUAAAAGUUUUUAAAAUAUUCUCCAAAUUUUCAAUUAUUACUCAAUGAAUUCUAAAAAAAAACAAAAAAAUAAACUAAACACCUGAAAAUCAUUCUAAAAAAUAAUUCAUUCUCAAAGCAAAUUCCCAAAAAAGAAAAAAGAAAAAAGAAAAAAAAAAAGAUUGUGUUUUCUAUCAUAUUUUUUUUAAAACAUCUUUUCUAAGGUAGAAAACAAUUUUUUGUUUUAAAAAAACAAAAAAUUAUUUUCAAAAACAGCUACAAAAUAUAACCUAAUUUUUCUUCUAAGGUUUUUUUCCUUAUCUUCAUGUAGGUCUCCUAAUUGUCAUGCAAUGAACAAUCCACUUCAAAUAUUUUUUGGCCAAAGGGUAAAACCAAAGGACUCAGACAAACACAGGAAUUAAGAAUCAAAAGGACAAAAGGGAUUGGAGCAAAGUGAUAACUUUUCUCAGUGAACUUCACUGAUUUGCUCAAAGACAAGUUGCCAGCAAAAUCAAGGAUAUAAAAUAUAUAUGUACAUCUUUUUUUGUUGGACCCAUUGGGUUUGCUUUUCUUCCCCCUCAAUUUGGGAUUUAAUAUAAUAUAGAUCAGGAUUGAGCAGGUUUCUGUAAAUAAAUCAAAAUGGGCCUUCUUUAACUUGAUUCCUUCUUUGCUUUCAAGUACAUGAGAAAAAAGUAGAGCUAGCCUCACAUGUGCACAUGGCAUAGAAUUGGGUAACUAUUGAGUCAUCUCCAUCAUAUGAUUAAAGCACAGUGGCCCAAAUACAAGCAAUGAAGUUAGACUAUUUUAUGAUAUAAGCAAAAACCAAAAGUACUUGCAAUUGACACUGGUGAGAAAUGCUCCCCCAUGAUCGACAUCCUUCGAAGCUGAUGGUGAUCAUAUUUUGGGAGCAUGUUUCUGGUUUGGCAGAAGAAGCAGGCAAGCAGCAGCCCGGCUAGGAGGGGCCCCUCCCCCCAACAAAGGCUGGUUGUUGUGGAAGUGUAGUUUAUCUCACUGCUGAGCAUGAGAACUUUAUUGGACCUGGUGGGACAUCACUUGGGUCCCCCUGAACACUGAAGGUCCCAACAUUUAUAUUUUCAUUUAGUUUCUGAUCCAUCAAAUCCCACUGCCUUGUCUUCUUUCCACAAUCUCAAAUAAUUGCAAAACAGAAUGGAAUGAUGCACAGAAUGACUAAAAGACUAAUCUGUAUGAAAAUUUGAGAACAUUUACCUGACCCAGAAGGCUCGAAGUUUAAGGGUUUGAGAGUAUAAAGACUAAUCUGUAUGAAAAUUUGAGAACAUCUACAUAUGAGACGGCUUCUGAUUGCCAUGUUCUGAAACAAAGAAGGAACACCCUCAUUCAUGGAUAAGGCAAAGCAUCUGUCAUUUUUAAGCACUAUGUCUUUCAAUGAAAAAGAAGCUUAAAUGACCAAACCCAGACAAAAAGAAGGCACUGUGUUUAACUUCUCACACGCUCAGAAAGAAAAAUUAGGAAUAUACGUCGUGAAUAGCAUCCUCAGCCCCCACCUUGUGUACAAUUUAAACUGGAGCCGUCCCAUUUGGUCAAUCCUUGAAGUCCGCUGAUGAGGUGCACGCUGGUUCCAGAGGUGGAUCCCAACUGAUUUCUAUUUCAACAUAAUUUUUCAAUGUUAGAUACGACCAAACAAAUAGCCACCGAUCAGGAUAAAAAAAGGAAAAACCAAUGCGAUCAGCCACUGUGAAAUCCCAUGAUCAGGCAUGACGAAAAAGAAUUCUAUGAUCAAACACGUACAAUGUUUUUUUUUUCCGUAAACUCUCUUCAAGAAGAUCAUAAAUUGAAAGUUCCAUUAAAGUUCAAUUUUGUUCUGAUACCAUGUUGAACUACCAAUUUUCCUAUAAAUUUAAGUUUAUAAGAUUUGGACUCAAUAUGCAUAUUAUGCUCCUCAGAGUAUCUCAUCUGAUAUGGUAAAAUCUGGUCCAAGAGAUAGUUUUUGCUUUUCAAUUGUCAUCAAUUUGGUAUUUACUCUCAAACCAAAAAUGACACCGUGAAUUACUCUAAAUCUCAAUCUAACCCACAUAAAUUAGAGAAAACCAUCGUAGCAGGAACCAAACUGAGGGGUCUAAAUUGAAGCUUCUCAGUGAGCGGAUAGUCUGUGUCACUGCUUCAACUUGAAAGGGUAAUGCAUUUGUUUUCUACAUUUUGUUAUAGUUGGUUUGAUUAAGUCCUUUGAGGUCUGUCCAUUCCUUCUCGUGGUCCCAUAGUAUUUGCUUGUCUUUUCCUCACUGGGGAAAGAACAUUAACACGGUUUGGUGUGGGAACUGACCUUUCCUUUAGUAUGCGCGCACUAUAAUUUUUCUUCCCAAUAAUCUGGAAAACAUUCAAGAAGACCUCAUGUGAGAACCAUUAUUGGUGACUAUUGAAAUAAAGCCACUCAAUUUGUCCUAUAAAAAACAUAUCCUCACUAUCGUAUAGGAGGUGCAAUACAAACAGCGAGAUUGAAAAUUUCGAGAUACACAUACAACUGAUUAUAGAGAGACGAACCAAAAUAGAACAUCAGAUGGAUACAUGAAGAUGCUAAAAAAUCUUCAUAAAUAAUUGAAAAUUUUGGUUCCACCAUUUCCGAAAUCAAAGGAGGUUUCUUGAUACAAAAAUUGGUUUUAGGGUUUAGGGAGGGUAAGGGGUGAUGAAAACUUUAAACCACAUAGGAUCACAUGUAGACAUUAAAACAUACAGUAAAAUGGGAAUUAAUGAAAUGUUUACCUUGAUUAAUCCCAUGGAAAGCCAUUUCCGUGCUCCACUGGUGUCCAAGAAUAUGCUUAGUUUGUGAUGGUGUGAAAAUCCGGAUUUAAUGAGCUCUUCCUUUUCUACACCCAAGAUCCAGUCCGUGUGUUCUCUUAAGAGUGCAUGCAGUGUGUGCCCUUUUUCAGCCCUUAAGAAAAACAGAAACCUUCAUUUGCACUUAUGUAUAUAUACAAAUAAAUAUAUUCAUAUAUACCACACAUUACACAUAUUAUUUGGAUCACUUGACUUAAUGGGUCAAUCAAGUGAAUUAGGGUGAACCCAUGAAAAAUCAAGUAACAAUAUGUGUUUAGCCCUAUUAUGGACCACAAUAUAAAAAAUAAAAUAACAUUAAUUUAUGACAUUAUCACAUUGAUUAUGUAAGUCCACAUAUAAAAAUUUCAACAAUUCUCCCACUUGGACUACAUAAUCAAACAUCACAACGUAUACAUAAUCAUGAAUCAAUGUCCCAUAGAAUUUCAUCAAAACAAAUAAUCAAAAGCAAUCAUAUAUGUUUCAUUACUUGAUUCACAGGGAAAUAUACAAUAGUAACAAUCCUUUCAACAAUAGCAUAAUAUUACAAUACCAAAAACGGUUUCCACUAACUUAAUGCAACCUAGGCUCCUAACAACCCCGUUUGAGAUACAUGUUCAUGAAACACAACUAUGGGUAAGCCUUUUGUUAAUGGAUCCGCCAACAUACCUUUUGUUGACAUAUGCUCAAUACCUUUUGAGAUGGAAAUGCUUAAGCUAGUGAAAAUCUACAUCAAGAGGCUUUUUGGGAGGACAAAUGUAAAAUACAUCUAAGCAUCAUUAACCUUCAUGAUUCUACUAUGCAUCAUGGGAUGAAUUCUCAAUCAUAUAUAGGUGAGUAUCACAUAUAUAUAGGUUUAACACACAAUGCUAACAUAAUGAGGUGGAUAAAUAUGCAUGUCAAAUUGAUCAUAGUGGAAAAAUUGUUAGCUAGAAACUAAAAAAUCCGAUUCCUAAGUGCUUCUUGUUUUUUGUUUUUAAAAACAAAAAAUGAUAAUAAUUUCUACAUAAAAUGUAAAAAUUAUCUUAAAAAAUUAAUAACGUUCAGCUUAGAAAAUUUUAAGAUAUUAUGUGAAACAAAUUUAUCAUCUUAACAUUUAAAAGUAAUUUUUAAAGAUAUAAAAUAAGUUCAUAUUAUUUAUAUAGAAACUAUUUUAUAAUUUACAUAGAAAUUGCUAUUAUAUAUAUAUAUUUUGAAUUGGGUUAUUUCACACUAUUGGAGCAUAGUUUACCUGAGGUGAUUAAGGAUGUGAAAAGGUAUAGUUUUUUUAGGAUAGUUGUGAUAAUUUAUAAUUGAAGUAUUUUUAAUUUUUUUAAUACUUAAAAAUUAAAAAUUUUCAAGGAAAACUCUUUCUAGAGUCAGUACCAAACACACUUUAAAUAUGUGAUCAAAAGAAAUAUGACAUCAAGAUAGGUUAAUAAUUAAAAAAAUAAAAUAAUUCAACAUAUUUAUUGAAUUCACAUUCAAGAAAAGGUCACCUGUGACACAGGUGCAUGGCUGUCCAUUUAUUCCUAAUUGCCUUAGACAAACAUCGGAUUUUUUAUAAUUGUACAGUGAAUUUAAAAUUAAUUUUUUAAAAUAUAAUAUAGUGAAAAAUAUUUUCAAAUCUACGGCACUUAUUGCCAUUUUGAAAGAUAUCUCUUGAAAAGAUACCUUUUAUCAUUUUUAUAUCAAUGAUACACGUUAAAAAAAUGAAUUUACAUUGAAGCGACACCUUUCAUAAUUUUUAUAUUAAUAACACAUAUUAAAAAAAAUUUGUCAUAAUUUUUAUAUUAAUAACACAUAUUAAAAAAAAUUUGAAUUUACAUUAAAAGUGUCUUUUCAAGAGACACCUUUUACAAUUCUACAAAAUCAAAUUUAUAUUAAAAGUGUCUUUUAAAGAGACACUUUUCACAAUUUUCAUAUCAGUUGCAUAGUAAAAAAAUUGAAUUUAUACUAAAGAUGCAUUCUUAAGACACACUUUCUAUAAUUUUACAAAAUCAAAUUUAUAUUAAAAGUGUCUUUUAAAGAGACACUUUUCACAAUUUUCAUAUCAAUUGCAUAGUAAAAAAUUGAAUUUAUACUAAAGAUGUAUUCUUAAGACACACUUUCUAUAAUUUUACAAAAUUAAAUUUAUAUUAAAGGUGGUUCUUGAAGAGACACCUUAAAUAAUUCUUGUAUCAGUCAUUCAUUGAAAUAAUUGAAUUUAUAUUAAAAAUGUAUUUUUUUUUCAUUGUGUGACUAAUAUGAAAAUUAUCGAAGAUGUCUCUUCAAGAGAUACCUUUAGCAUAAAUUUGAUUUUAUGGUAUUAUGGAAAAAAUAUUUCUUUAGUAUAAAUUCAAUUUUUUUUUAACGUGUAUGACUAAUAAAAAAAUUGUGGAAAAGUGUCUUUUGAAGAUACAUUUUUAGUGUAAAUUUAAUUUUUUUUUUAACAUGUAUGGUUGAUAAUAGAAGGUGUUUUUUCAGGAAACACUUUUUAAAGUGAUAAAAAGUGCCGUGUAUUUGAAAAAAUAUUUUUAUAACUAUCAUAUUUUAAGAAUUUUUUUUCAAAAUUAUCAUUUUUCAAGAAUUAUUUUUUUAAAAUAACCGUAUAAGUUAAAAAGCCCGACAAACAUCCCCUUACUCUUGAGUCAUUUUGUUUGUUUGUUUGUUUUUUUUUUGUUUUUUUUUAUUUUUUGUGAUUGCAUGUUGAAAAUUUGAUUUUAACACGAGUCCACUAGGAGUUCAGGACAGCUAUUAAUUAAUGGGGGCAGUUCUUAACCUCUUCAUGGCCUGCCUACUAAUUUUGGUGGGUUGCUCACUGGUGACGUCUGACUUAAAACAAGUCCAUCACCCAACUUACCAUUCAUGGACAAAUAAAAUAUUAGUAAUGUGCCAAUCAUCUUAUAUAUGUAGUAACAUUUUCAAAAUUUUAAUCUAAACCUUGAUGUAAAUGAUUAAAUUUAAAUAAAUUAAUUAAAAUAUAUAUUUAAAUUAAUUAUUAUUUUUUUUCACCUGCAGUUGGAGGCCGGUGGAGUGGUGAAAUCUUGGAAAUGGACGCCAACCAUGCAGCAAAUAAAGUGACCCAAAGUCCAAGACCACGUUUAGAGCAUUUGACCCUUUUUACUUGUUUUCAACGGCUUCUAGUCUUGAAGUUAAAAUCCGCGGUUUCAUAAACGGUAUUCUGAAUUUUUCUCUCUUGCUUUCUGUUUUUCACAUUUUCCAGGAAAUGAGACCUGUUUGUUUGGCUAUCAGCAAUGAGUUUCUAACAUGGCAUAUGGGUUUUGGGUUUUUCAGUUGAGGGAAGCCUAUCAUAGCAUUUAAAAAUGGAUCCCCACAGUGGCCAACACCAUUGGAUUAUAGUUCAUCAUGGUUCUUAUUCAUAAUCUUUAUUAAAUAGAUCAAACCCAAAUACGAUAUAAUAAUCAGGUUAGAAAAACAUAGAUUCAUCUAAUUAUUUAAUAGACAAUAAGUCGUAAAUUCAUUUAAUUAAUCAAUAAUCAUACAGAAUUAAAUUUUAUACAAAUCUACAUGAUUAAUUUCUUAAUCUAAUAUGUUUAUAAUUCAAUUAAUUAAUUUAUUUAAAAUCAAAUUUUAAAUAAAUCAAAUAUAAGUUAAAUGAGUUAGAGUUAGUCAUAUUAAUCAGUACCAUUAUCAAGUUGUUCAAUUAGGAUCAAAAUUGUGUUUUACAAAUUUACUUGAAAAUAACUUAUUUAUUAAAUGAGUUAAACAUAUUGACAUAAAUUUAACCUUUAAACCCAUAAAAAAUAAAUUGAAUUCCAGUCGUGUUAAUGAAUUAUAUUAAAUUUUUGACACUCGUAGUCUAUGUAAAGAAAAGAUGUUGUAUCUUGCCCUUAGCUAAGCUUAGAGCAUCCAACAAGUGACUAUAAGGGUCCAUAUCUUAGGCUAAAUUGAAUGAAACCAUUAUAUCAUACAAAACCCCCUAUGAUAAUGAUGCUGCAAACGCCAAAUUUGACUUCCCAAAGCUGUAUAAUAAUGUAUUUGUUGUCUGUUGUGUGGAAGUAAGAUACAGCUUAGUGACAAGCAUGUAUGGGGCGUGGAAUCUAGUGAGAAUCCAUUGGAUAGGAGUAUGGAAUGUCGGCCAUGAGCAUGAUCUAGCCAUCCACAUUUCUCGGUGUCAGAAGGGUCAGUACUAGUUUUUGGAUUCACCCAUGUAUGACAUUUGAAAUUCAGCUUAAAAGUUGGAUCAACCCACCUGAGCACCUAACCUUAUAGAAUAGUUACAAUGAAAAAAUAUAGAUAUAUGACAUGGAAAAACUUGAGUCUUCAUUGAUUUCCUUUUCAGAUUGAAAACUAUUAGACAAAUUGAUUGUUUUUUAUUCUUCAAUUGUCAUGAAAUUGGUAUCCACAAAACUAAAGAAACACCCUAAAACUAGUCCAAAAUCUUAUCUAACCCACAUAAAUUACAGAAAAUUAUCUUUAACAACAACCAAAUUACAGAAAAUUUUGAGACACAUGUUAUAGAUGAAUCUUGGUUAUGGAUUAUAGUUAGAGGGGGUAAAUAGGUUUUUUUUUUCCAACUUAGAGAUGGUUCCCAAAGAAGGCUGUCAUUCCCUUCAAUUUUUCCCCUAAAUUUCGUUUUAAUAUUUUGAGCAUAAAAUCAGAAAACAUAUGCAAGAAUAGAUACACCGAUAUAUUGUCCCUAUAAUAUAAACAAUGUCCAUCAUUAUGAAUCAAGAGUGUACACACAAACACUUUGAUGUUGGAUUUGAUGGGAAAACAAAAUCACAACAGUUCACAAGGUAUAAACAACUCACCACCCAAAUCACAAACACAAAGGGAUACAUAAAAUACCACCCUAAGGAAAACAAUAAGGGAUAUGAAAUUAACUCUAAGAGAUACAGAGUAUAAAAAGGAAAUCAAAAUCUGUUAAGACAAUUUGUCUUCAAAACGUGUUGAAUAUCCCUCUGAACCAACUAGCCAAUUUACUCCAAAUCCAAUGAUUCCAAAUGGAUAUGACAGCUAAGACAAUAAACUUUCCAUUGACAUAUGGCUGACAUUAAUUUAGCACCAUUUGUUCCCAGUAAAUUUUCAAAGUUGUCUCUAGUUUCAAAAUUCUCACUCAUGCUACUAGAGUAAGAAUUUGCAACUCUUUCAACUUAUUUUCAAAGUCUACGUGUUGGGACCCUCCCAUGUCACAGUCUCCCAAUAUUAAUUUAAAUAUAGAUUCAUAUUAAUUAGUCUAUGAAUGAUUUGUUUAUCCUCUUGCAAAAUAGUUAAUUUGAUUAAUGAUGAUCUUAAAAGCUUUUAAGUUAUAAACAUAUCUUUGGAUGAUUAAUGAACAUGAUUAUGUGUUCUUUACAAUUUUGAUUUGCUCAUAUAAGCUAAUAACAUGUCUUUUAAGUGACUUGAAAAGCUUGAAGAAGGGCCUUGUGAUUUCAUAAAAGCUUAGUAAUGAUCCUCAAAGUUCAAAUCCAAAUGAAAAGGAUGUUGUUAAAGAGCAUGGUAUAUAUUGUGAACUCAAAUUCUACAAGUUAAACUUUUCGAAAAAUUGGUAAUUGAGUAGAGCUUGGUUUGACGGGAUGUCAUGUGUUCAAGAGUCGCUUCUCCCCAAUUUGCAUAUUUAUUUCCUCCUAGGCUGCCAAUGAUCUCAUUCUUGGAGCAUGUGUUCCUGCUUUGGUAGAAGAAGCAGCAGCCCUACUAUAGAACAGUGGAAGAAGCAUUGGAACCUUUGUCCCUUCUUCAAGGUCUUUAGAUUUUUUCAAUUUGUUUUCUUUUCAAUUCUCAUGCAUACAUCUAAUUUUCCACUUCCAUAAUAUUUCAACCUCUGGAUGUGAAAUAGUAUUUGUAGAUCAAUCAAUAGUAUUCCAACGUAAUAUGUCACUAUAAAAUAAUCCAAUAUUUCAACCUCUAUAGCUGAAAUAGUAUAUGCAGAUCAAUCAAAAGCACCCCACCAUGUAUAUUCAGCCAAUGUAAUCGCUACCACCAACAAAACUAAUUAUUGGCUUCAUUUUAAGAAUGUUAUAGCUAAUAAAUCCCUACUUUCCUUACCAUCAAUUACUCAAUAGAAAUCAUGCUUCAAUUUAUUCCUAAUUCCAACAGUAAAUCACUGGUAAUAGAAGGCAUAAAAUACAUAUAUAGGGUCAUUUCUUUGAGUGACUUUACUCAAAAGGAUGGUCUUGAUUACAACUAGCAAAUUCUGCUUAUAAGAAGACCCUAUACAAAACUCACAUGGCUAUGAUCAUUACUGUCGGUGAGUCACUAUCACACAGAAUUCAUAUCAGUUUCGUUUACAAAUUGUUCUUAGGAAGAACAUAUUCCAACUGGGGGAGAAUACAAGUAGAGGUUCCAAGCUACAGACCAAGAAGGUAUGCACCAACAGAUACCUAGCUAGGAUUGAUUCUUCCAGUAACGGUUGGUUAUCAGUAUAUAAAAAUGUGAGCAGGCAGCUAAGUUGGAACCUUAUAGACACCGUUAGUCUCCCUAGCAUAUGAUAAAGAAUCUUUAAGGCCAUUAAGUCAAACAGUUCACACUUACUAACUAGGUUUUUCUCUUUGUCAUGACUUUUUGUUUUUUCUUAUGCUCCUUUGGUUAUGAGACCAAGCCCUUCAGUAACUGCUGCUGUUGUUAUUGUAGCUGGUGAGCAAGAGCACAUUGACCUGGAAGCAACAUUGAAGUUACGGUUGAAAACAUCCCAUAAGUGUUUUCUAGUAUUAAGUGAGGUCUAAGGAGCAUGGGCCAUUGGUCCUAGGUUUUAUUUUGGGCUAUUUGCCUUGUUCUAUUUAGUGUGUUGCUGGGCUAUGAGUUUUGGGCUUACUUCAUUGUUUAAUAUUUGGUAUGAUACAAGCUUUGUUAUGAGUUGAAUAUUUUGGUAAGAUAUUUGCUUAUAGUAUUUUGAUAUAUUAUUAUUAUUAUUUAUCUUUAAAUUGUGGUUGCAUCUAUAUCAUUUGUAACAUGUCUUGUACUGAUUUUCUGCAAUUAAUGUUUGAACCCCAAAACAACGAAGGGGUCACUGAGGCUUGGGAAACCCUUUCAGCCAAGCAGGUUCAGGCAGUGUUGCCGGCCGAUGGGCCAAAUUUGCACCCCUAGAUAUUUCCCAUUGUUAGUGCUCCCACUAGAGUAAAGAGGCCUAUAUCAAAUAUUUCAUAAGCAUGCCAAAGUUUCUCUGCCAUCCCUAAUGAAAUUGCCGGACCGCCUAAUUUAUCAUCACAAAAAGUUCACAUUUAAUGGCGAAGAAGUAAUACCUUCCAGUAAAAUUCGCUCUGUAGAACAAGAAUAUUCUCAACAUUGAUAAAUAGAGAGUACCGAGAGUAGUUGUGGAGAUUACCUCCUCCUUUAUCUGCCGUCUACACUGACUGUUAACUCAUUGGUACAUGUCUCUGGUUUACUAGAUGAAGAAGCUGUGCUGAAAACCCCUCUUCUCACAGUAAAAGCUGGUUGUUUAGGAGUUGGAAGAGUUGCAGUUUCACUGCCAAGCAAGAAAACUACAUUCGACAUGACAGGACGAUCGCUCGGGUCUUCUUGAACACAGAGGAGCCCAACAUUUACACAUCUCAAAAAUUCAGCGACAUCACAUGUUUCAUGCAGUGACUGAUCCAUCAAGUCCAAUGCCUUGUUCUCUUGCCACAAUCUCCAUGCCUAACCCACCAUAGAAAAUCAGUAGUAUGAGGCAGGGAGGGACCAAAAAGUAUUGAUUGGUUUGAGAAAUUUGAAGUGCUUACAUAACCCAGAAGGCUUAAAGCUUGUUGAGACUGAUAAAAUCCAGUGUUCCUUUUCCCGCUGAUGAUCUCGAGUACAACAACACCGAAGCUGAAAACAUCGGAUUUAAUGGAAAAGAAGCCAUCUAGUGCAUACUCUGGAGACAUAUAGCCACUGCAUUUCACCAACCGUUACAAUAGUUAGUUUAUUAGGCAUGCAACUUCUUUUUGAAACACAGACGGGGGCUUGAAAUUAUGCUAUCUUACUAAGUUCCAACUACUCUGUUUGUGCUUGCUUCAGUUUGUUUGCCCCCAAAAAUCCUUGCCAAGCCAAAGUCCGAAAUUUUGGGAUUCAUCUCCUCAUCCAGCAGAAUGUUGCUUGUUUUCAGGUCUCUGUGAAUGAUCCUCAGCCUAGAAUCUUGGUGAAGAUAAAGAAGCCCACGAGCUAUCCCCAAAAUGAUGUCGAAGCGUUUCUCCCAGUUCAAUAAGAAGCGAAGCGUUCGGUCUGGUAAGAUCAUCAUUUUCCAUUAAAAAAAACACAAUUUUAGAGACCGUUCAGUUCUGCCUAUUUAUAUAUGAAGGAUUCAGGUUUAGAAGCCGACCAAAUAUGAAGGAGUCUAAGCUUUUAUUUGGCAUAUACUCGUAGAGUAAUAUCUUUUCAUCUUCUUCAACACAAUAGCCCAAAAGUCUGACAAGAUUUCGAUGCUGAAGUUUGGCAAUCAGCACAACCUCAUUCUUGAACUCUUCUAGUCCUUGUCCUGAAACACUUGAGAGCCUCUUCACAGCAAUGUCUUGUCCUCCUGGAAAGCUCCCCUGAGUAGAUUUUCAUUGGUGUAGUUCACCCAUUAGCCUGAACUUGUUGAAAUGAAAAUAUAAGAAAGGAUUAUUACCUUGUAUACUGGGCCAAAACCUCCUUGCCCUAGCUUAUUUGCAUCUGACAAAUUAUUUGUAGCAGCUAGUAUACUUCCCAGAUCAAAAAAUGGUACAUCUAUGCCUUCCCUGUCAUCUUCUGUGAACUGGCCCCAGCCAAUCAAGUCUUUGACGCGUCUCUCACUGUGAUACAGAUGAAGCACUGGAUUUCCUUGAAUACUUCCCCUGUGUUCUGAAAUUCAAGAACAAUUACAAAUUUCAAUUGAAUCCUAAGUUAUACAGAACAUCACAUGUAAUAGUACAAAUUUAUCCGACUCUGCAUACUAGUUACCUUGCAUCUCUGACACCCUUCUUCUCCUCAAAUAAUAUAUAAAGACAGUGAAGCAUGAGAUAACAAUCACAGCUACAACACUCCCAAUGAAGAUCACAUAUGGCUGCUGCUUUCUCUGUGAAGGACCUGCUUCUAAAAUAAAGCGAAAUAGCCAAUCGGAUGAGGAACUACGGUAUGUAAUUUGAUAAUCAGUAUGCAAUAUACCGGUUUUAUAAUAAGACAAGAUAUUUCCAGAGAGCAUUCUUAUAAUUCAAGGAGGAACUGAGUUGUAUUGAUAGUAUUCUAACCUACUGGAAAGCAACUGACAUUUGUGGGAUCCCACUGAUAGUUUAUUUUGCAAUGACACCUUUUCUGUCCAUCUCCUGUUGUAUUGCAAUUUGAAUGAGCCCAGUACUUGCAGUCUUCAGUAGAAUUACAGAUUGGUUCCAAUGGAGGUCUCCACUCAAUCUGUAUUUCGCGUAACCAUUCAGCAUCAGAAAAUGGAUACAAACUAGAAGUACUCUUCUCUGCCGUGCACCCACUUUUCACCAAAAAUGGUGAGUCCUGGUUGAACUCCAGAAGUUUCUUCAUGGCAUCGCUACUUGCUAUACAAUUAUCUUCACCAAGUUGAAUGGAAAAUUCUUUUGCUUCUGGCCUGAUGCUAGUGACUUGGUAAUAUGUGUUAUUCGGUCUCAUAAAAAUAACUUGGCCUGUGGAGUUUUCACAGUAGAAACUCAAGUACUUGGGAUCACCGCAGUCAGUUCCGGUGCUUAGCGGAUAUGGGAUAAUAUUAGUUCCACAAAUCUUACAAUUUCUUCCCAUCGGUUCUGCAUGAGAAGUACGUUAACCAAAUCACACAGCAAAUAUAAGGAAAAGAAAACAGAUUUUUAACAUGGUUGUCAAUGUGAUCUCUGCCUUCACAAAUCCUACCAGCACUCAAGAAUUCACUAAUCAAAUAAAAAAGAAUGGUUACAAUGGUGAUGACUCUCAGUCCCCUCUCACUUGUAGCCGAUACUUUAAUUUUUCCUCUCUGAAACAAAAUCCUAAAUUUUAAAUUACAUUAGGGUCAAACUCGUUACAUAAUAAAUAAAUAAAAAAUUUAGAGGCAGUGCUCCCUUAAACCCCUAAGAACUAACUGGACAACACAAUUCCUGCAAACUCAAUAGGGAACCCAACAUCUCUAACAUCCCUUGUGAAACAUAACAAAAUUGAUUCAAGCUUUACAAUCUAACAUAAUAGACUACAAAAAUAUCAAAAUAUGUCUACCCUCCGGUUUCCCAUAUGGGUACUCCUUUGGCAAAAGUGAAGUAAAAUGAAAAUGAAUGCAUGCAUAUAUACUUGAGUGUUGCAUUUACAACACACUGAAAGAGAAGUUUACCUAUAUCAGAAACUGCCACACGCACAUAGAGAUCAUGGCCGCCAUCCAAAUACGCCUCCUGAAUGUCAUUAAGAUUUUCCUCCCAAAUCAUACAGAUGGCAGUGUCUGCACGAGUCUCGGCUUCAACAUAGGCAUAAGCCUGGCAGUUGUUACAGUCUCUGUUGCAGUAAUUUUCGCAUUCUUUUUCAUUUGUAGUGUUGAACUGUGUGUCUGAUUUUUUCACUCUCAUCAUCUCUAGCCUCAAAAAAGUGUCAUUCUUGCUGCACAGGGGUGAAAUUCUUCUACAGCCCCCCGAAAAAUCUCCACCAUUCCACUUUGCUGGAAAAUUUGGUUGGAAUCCUGGCAAACACCUGCACAAAAUCCUAUUUCUAGUACUGCAGCUGGCAAAACUCCCACAGGGAUUAUUCCCAUCGCAACUGUUUUUUGGUUCCUUCAAAAGCGAAUACCAAGAGCCCGUCUGAUUACGGAACUGUAGAUACUCUAUCUGGCCGGAAAAUUUCAUCACCAACCUCCUAUAAUAAAAAGAGGUUGUUGGUUGGCUACUAUUAAUGCUGGAAUUUGAUAACAUUUUGGAUAAUUCAGAAUACAUCUUAUGGUCCCAACCGGAUGUAAUGAAAUCAUCUGAUAUCCCACUCUUCCAGUAUGUAUUAGGCCCAUUCUGGAUGAUGUACAGGUUCUGUGCUACUUGAUCUUUCCUGAAAGUGAAGUUCCCCGAACCCGGGUCACUGCUGCUUUUCCAUGAAGUCAACACCAAGUUGCCAUCCAUCUUCAUACCUGGAAGAAAAGUAUCAGUUGCGUUUCCAAAGCUUUGCCACAGACUUGUUUGCAGCUGAUCAUUCUUCAGAACCAGGUUCCCGGAAUCUAUGAGCUGCGCUACCUUUUCUGUAGAUGACGAUUUCUGGAGAGGGGUUGACCAGAAAGGUCUCCCUCUUCCAUUCGAAUUCAACACGAGGUUACCAUCUUGAAUGGACAAAACUCCAGUGGAAUCAGGCAGUGGGUCGUUUCUAUUGGCUACCCACACAACGGUUUUCGGCUCCAACCUGUAAUACCAUAUACCAACAUAUCUUUGGUGACUAGAGCUCCCAUUAGGGGUGAAGAACCCCAAUUCAAAUGUCUUACCAGCAGACAAGAGAGUUUCUCCAUCACCAUCACUGAUCGGAUCAUUCUGCCUUAUGGUAUCUCUUGCUGCACAUGUUUGAUAACAACACAACAAUAUUGGGUACAAGAUGAAGAUGGUAGAUACCAUGUGAAUUGUUGUUGACCAUGUAAUUGCAAUUCUUCUUCUAUUGAUUACCAUUAGGUAGUUAAGACUUCCCUUCUUCACUUGGAGCUGUGGUAGAGGCUGCUGCUGAAUUAAUCCCCAAUGUUUUCUAUCAACAACCAUGUCUGGUGUUGUUCCUAAUUCACAAAAAAAAUGGCCUAUCUCAUUGAUUGGGUCAACCAAUUCAAACAUUGAUCUGGUUAAAUUUUGUUAACUCAUUAUUACAACAUAGUACAUGACUUUGUUUGAGAAGUGUUUUAAAUUUUAAAAUUUGGCAUUUCUUAAAAUCCUAACUAAACACACAAUCAUAGUUUAAAAUUUUAUUGAAUGCCUCUAAUACUUUAAAUCAAGUGAAACAUGAAUGAAAUUAACAAAUAAGAAGAAUAGGAAAUAUAGUUUCACACUUGAGUAACAACUGAUAUAUAGAGAAGUGACCACAAGCUGGAGAGUCUUGACCAAUUUGAAAAAUCAUUUGAUGUAGUUGAAAUAACCGAAUUUUGGAUAAAAUUCAUAAUUGUCCCAACAUUAUUUUUUUCCCUUUUUAUUUUUAUUGUUUGAAUAUUUUGGAGCUAAAACCAUUCCAAUGCUCCUUUUUGCCAUGUAUAUAAUUAAACUUAACCAACAAUUAGGAUAAACAUGAAAAAGAAGGAACCGAGAAGAAGGUAUCAACAAUAUUAACCGGUUUUAUUAUGGGACAACUCAUGAUGUUCAUAUUGAUCUAUUAUGUGCCUCUGCAUAUACCAUUAGGUAGACUCAUGCUGUCCUAGCUCUACUAUAUCUUUUAUUUCAUUUCAAUCUUUUGAAACAAUCACAAACACCCUUUUUUAUUAUUAUUAUUAUGAAUCAAAUGGGAUAUAAAUGAAAUUAACAAAUGAGAAGAAUGAAAAAGGUAAUUAACAAAAUUUCAAGGUCAUUGUUGCUAAAUAUUUUUUAAAUAAAAAUUGCCAAAGAAAUGAGUCUUUAAAAGUGUACCUUUAUUUAAAAAUAAAUAAAGGUAAAUUAAAGUACUGACUUAGUACAUAAAUAUCAACACGAAUCCAAUCCAACACUUUUUUUUGUGGGUUUUGGUUGAAUAUAAUUCUAUUUAUAUCACAUUUGUAUCAACUUGUGUAAUAUGUUAUACUAAUAGGUUAUUUUUAAAUCAACCUACAAGAAUACGAAUUUGGCUCAAGUUAACCUUUAUAUUUAAUAAUCAUACCAAUUAACCUAAUUAUAACUUUAAACUAUUUAAUUAAUAUUUUAUUCAUUUUAAAUUUAUUUUUGAACAAAUAGUUAAUUAAAUUAUAACUAUAUUAAGUUGUAAGAUUAAUUAUAUAGACUUAUACAAAAUUUAACUCAAUUUGAUUAUUAAAUAAAUUAUAAAACAUGUUAUCUGUUUAAUAAUUACAUUGUAUUUAAUUAGGUUUAUGCUUUUUACUUGAUUAUUAUUAUUAUUAUGAUUGAGUUAACCUAUUUAAUUAGUAGAAUGUUUUAGUCUUGAUAUCACACAAAUUGUCAUCUCUAUCUCUAACCUUGUCAAACAAAUAGUUUGAAGGACAUUUUUUUGACUAAAGAAAAUUAUUACCUUACAUAGAGUUUUAUUAAAAAAAAAAAAAUAGCCAAAUAAAAAAAUAUAUAAUUAAAAAUAAUUAGAAAUUUAUGAUUUUCAAAUUAUUUCAUAAAUUUAAAUAAGUGAAAUGGUUUUAAAUUAACUUACAAAAAUAAGUUAUCAACUUUAAUUUAUUUUUUUUCUUUCUAAUUUUCUUCUUUAUUUUUUUCCCUCACAUUUUUUUUCAUAGUUUUAGGAAACCAAACAUAACCUAAUUAAGAUCCUACUAUCAUGUAUUUUUAUUCCCAAAAUUUUUUGGGUUUAACCUUUUUCUAAACUUAUUCCAUAUUUAUUGGACUCACAUUCAAAAAGGGCGUCUAUAACACAAGAUAUUAAGUGUGCUUGCUCAACAUGUAGUCUUCAUUGAUUUUCUUUUCGAUUUAAAACUUAUAGACAAGUCAGAUAGUUUUUGCCUUUCCAAUUGUCAUCAAAUUGAUAUUCACAAAACCAAAGAAACACCCUAAAACUAGUUCAAAAUCUUAUCUAACCCACAUAAAUUACAGAAAAUUAUCUUCACAGAAACCAAAGUCAUCCUAAGUCUUUGCACAAAAUCCUAUCCAAAGAGAUCUUUUAGAAAUCUUAUUGGAAGAGAAUUUAAAACGAGAGUGGUGUCAAAAGCACACGAACAAAUAAAACUGGACCAAGAAAUGAAGCCUCUCGAUGAGUUGAUAAACAUCAUUGUCAAUGCUUCUACUUGAUCGAGAAAUACAUUAGAUUUCCACACUUUUGAAUAGUUGCCUUGAGUGACUCCAAUUAUUGGAAGCCAAGGUCAAGGUCGUCAAAGUUUGCCCAUUCUUUCCCUUGGUCCCACAGUAUUUGCUUCCCCCUUUCCUCAUGGUUUGGGAAAAAGACAUUCACACGGUUUGGUGUAGGAACCACCCUUUCUUUUGCUAUCCAUGAUUAUUUUUCUUCCCAAUAAUAAGGAAAACAUUCAUCAAGGCCCCAUGUGAGAACUAUUAUUGAUGACUGUAGGAAUAGAGCUAUUCAAUUUUUCCCAUAAACAGAACAUCGGAUGGAUACUGAUAACAAAAAGAAUUAUAUUAAAAUGAAAUUUGUCUUGUAAAUAGAAUUUCCUAUUUAUUUCAAUAGAAGUAUGUGGAAGGAUAUUGUGGUUAAUUUAUUUAUUUAUUUAUUUUCAUUUCUAUUAUUAUUAAAUAUUGAAAUAAAAACAAAAUUCUUAUUCCAAAUUUAUAUUGCUAGGUGCAUACAAAUAUAGGAAUUGAAGCACAAAUUCACUCCUAUUAUAAGAGGAAUAAGAACAUUGAUUUUCAUUCCCCACUAUCAAGUACCGAACAUGGCCUAAAACGUAAGGGUUCAUGGGAGAUCCUCCUCGCCUAUCGACCUUCUUCUAUGGUGGCUAGGAUUUCACUAUUCAAGGAUGCUUCUGGUUUGCUUGAAGACGAAGCUGAGCUGGAAAGGUCUCUCCUUACGACAAAAGCUGGUUGUUUAGGAACUGGGAGUGUGGCAGUGUCACUGCUGAGCAUUACAACUGCAACUGCCAUGGUGGGACGGUCACUUGGGUCUUCUUGCACACACAACAGCCCAACAUUCACGCACCUCAGAAAUUCAUUUGUGUUGCAUGUUUGACUUAGUGUCUGGUCCAUCAACUCCAACACCCUGUCUUCCUUCCACAGCUUCCAUGCCUGGGAAAGUUUGGACGUACAAGGGUUUCAUGGCAUAUAUAUAGAAUGUCCAAAGGAUCAAUGCAAAUGAGAAAUUCAAAGCACUUACAUGGGCUAGAAGGCUCAGAUUCAGGUCAGACUGAUAAGAUCUGGUGUUCCUCUUCCCACUGAUGAUCUCAAGUACCACAACACCAAAGCUAAAGACAUCAGACUUUUCUGAGAAAAACCCAUCCAAUGCAUACUCUGGAGACAUAUAGCCACUGCAUUGAACCAUUUAAAAACACUACUCAGUUAAUUGGGGAUGCAAUCAUGCAACUACUUGCUUUUUACCAUACACAAUGUGCAGUACUUACUAAGUUCCAACUACUCUGUUUGUGCUUGCUUCUACUUGCUUACUCUCAAAAAUCCUUGCCAAGCCAAAGUCUGAAAUUUUGGGAUUCAUCUCGUCAUCAAGUAGAAUGUUGCUUGUUUUCAAGUCUCUAUGGAUAAUCUUCAAUCUUGAAUCUUGGUGAAGAUAAAGUAGCCCUCGAGCAAUUCCCAAAAUGAUAUCAAAUCGCUUCUCCCAGUUCAGUAACAGGCAUAGAGUUUGAUCUUGCAAUGUUCCCAUUGGAAAGCACGACUUCAGACAUGUAUACGUUGUAAUAUGGGAGAAAAAAAAAAGGAACUUUUAGGCAGGUUAGAGGCAAACCAAAUAUGAAGGAGUCUAAGCUUUUGUUGGGCAUGUAUUCAUAGAGUAAAAUCUUCUCAUCUCCUUCAAUACAAUAGCCCAAAAGUCUAACCAAAUUUCGAUGCUGAAGUUUGGCAAUUAACACAACCUCGUUCUUAAAUUCCUGUAAGCCUUGUCCCGAAGCUCUUGAGAGUCUCUUUACUGCAAUUUCUCGCCCUUCAGGAAACUUUCCCUAGAUGCCAUAGCGCAUGGUAUUAGACAGACAAACCAGAAACCUUGAAAUGAGACUAAUGUGGAAAUUAAGGACUAUUACUUUGUAAACUGGCCCAAAGCCCCCCUGUCCAAGCUUAUUUGCAUCUGAAAAGUGAUCUGUAGCAGCCAGUAUGUCUUCUAAGUCGAAAAAUGGUAUGUCAAUGCCUUUCUUAUCAUCUUCUUUGAAUUGCUCAGAGUCUAUUAAGUCUUUCACACGGCUCUCGCUAUGAUACAAGUGAAGCCCUGGAUUUGUUCUGUUUUCUGAAUUCAGAAACAAGACUACAUUAUGAAUAAGUCCCCUAAAAAUAUUAUCAAUUCUGCCAAUCAACAUGAAACAAAAAAAGACCAGAAGUUAAACGGGGGCACAAAUAGCACAAAGAUUACCUUGCCCUUUGGAGAUGGUUCUUUUUCGAAAAUAAGCAAUACAACCAAUGAUGCAUAGAAGUGCAACUACUACAACAGCAGUUACUAUGCCUACCACAACCACCAGAGCAGAGGAUGAUGAUGAUGACUUCUGGUUUGCAGGUGUUGGAGCCUCCGCAAGAUUGCCACCAUCUGAAACAAAGAAAGACCACUCUCAUUCAUGGAGAAGGCAGCGCAUCUGCCAUUACUAAUCACUGUGUCUUUCAAUGCAAUUUAGCAAUAUGCUUGCUGAAAAUCAUCCUCACCUUGUGUACAAUUUAAACUGGAGCUGUUCCAUUUGAAGUUUUGAUUACAAAAACACCUUCUCGUUCUAUUUUGCGUUCUGCAACUCGAAUUUGGCCAGUCCUUGCAGUCUGUUGCUGAGUUACAAACCGGCUCUGGUGGUGGAUCCCAACUUAUUUCAAUUUCAUACUGACCUUUCAUAGGCAUGCUGGAGCUAGAAUUUCCUGUGUCAGCAUUGCACCAGCUAGCUAUCCUGAAAGGUGGAUUGAGCUGCAGUAUCUUCGUGUCUUGUGAAUUUCGUGCUUCGCAGUUAUCAAUAUCAUUCACUUGGAUGAGAAACUUCGAUCUCUCUGGAGUGAUGCUGGUUACUCGGUAGCUGCCAUUAGGUAAGGCGAACCAGACUUGGUCUGUGGCCUUGUCACAUCUGAAACUGAAGUACAUGGGAUCACCACAGUUUGGUCCAGUGCUUAGUGGAUAGGGGAUCAAGUUUGUGCCACAAGUUUCACAAUUUCUUACUGUUGAUUCUGCAGAAUUAGAAUGAAUUUCAUGCUUUUCCUCAUUAACAAUCAAUUAAAUUCAGAAGUAGAAGGGGGCAAGCAGAGAGGAUACCUAUAUCUGAUUUGGCGACACGGAGAGAAAGAUUAUAGCCAUCUGUGUUAUACUCCUGAAGACUACCGAGAUCUUCAGACCAAAUCCAGCACUUGGGAGGGGUGCUAGCACGGCCCCUUCGUAUCGUUCCAACUCCAGCAUAAGCUUGACAGCGACAGGUCUUAAGGCACUCUCUUCGGCAUUCACUUUCAUCCUUACCCGAAAACUCAAUGUCAUACUUUCUUACUUUAAUCAUCUUCAAGAUCAAGAAUGUGUCCCCACAGAGGGUUGUCUUUUUAGAACACCCACCUGAAAAAUCUCCGUUAGUCCAUCUCUCCAGCGAGUUAGGCUCGAAUCCAGGCAAACAUUUGCACAUAAAUGCAUUGUUAACAUUGCAAGAACCGAAAUUCCCACAAGCAUUCAACACACUGCAUCGGUCUUGCGGCGCCCACCAGAAUGCAGACCACUCCUCCGUAUAAUUAUCCCAAACUAGAUAUCUUAUUUCCCCGGUGAAAUUCAUCACCAACCGUGUAUAAGAACUGCGGACAAAUUGAGACCCAGUUGGUUUUCGGGUCUUGCCAAAAUUGGAUAAGAGCUCGGCUGCUGCAGAACUCAUUCCUUCUGAUUCCUCACUUCUCCAAUAUUUAACAAUUGAAUCUUCAAAUAUGAUAUACUGAUCUUUAUCAUCAUCUUGCUUGAAAGUAUAGCUUCCAGGUGCAGGGUCAACGGGGCUUACCCAUGAAGUCAAUGUUAAGUUUCCCUCCAUAAUCAUCCCAGGAAGAAAAGUAUCAGUUGGGUUCUUGAAACUCUCCCAAAGAAUCUUCCCAGAUCUGUUGUCCCUUAAAACAAAGUUCCCAGAAUCCAUGACCUUGGCCACCCUACCCAUGGAAGAUGAGCUUCCAAGAUUAGUAAACCAGUAAGCUGCUCCACUUUCAUUCACUAGCUUGAGGUUACCGUCAUCUGCAAUGGCAAGAGCUCCAACACUGUCUUCAGGAAGGGGGUUGUCUCUAUUGGCUACCCAUACAACUGUUCUCUCCUUCAACCCGUAGUACCAUAUGCCAAUGUAUUUUCCAUUGUUGAACCCUCCCUUGGGAAUAAAGAAGCCCAAUUCAAAAGUUUGAUUGGCUGAAACAAGAGUUCCUCUACCAUCAUCAAUAAGCAAAUUGUCUGGUGUGAUGGUAUCUCUAGCAGAGCAGCACAGGAUAGAACACAAGAAGAAAAAGAUUGCAUGUCGCAUUGAGUUGCAGAGACUGAAACCAUUAAUUUUCAUCUAGUCCUUUGCAGGAUAGAACCCAAGAAGAAAAAGAUUGCAGACAGCAUAUGAGUUGCAGAGACUGAAACCAUUAAUUUUCAUCUAGUCCUGUUGCCCACCAUUUUUUUUAAUGGUAAGAGUAUGAAAAGUUUGGUGGCACUGUUGAGUGUGGGGUUGCUGCUGCUGUAACGCACUCUCAAUAUUAUCAUAAAUAAAUAAAUAAAGAUUAUUAAAAAAAAAAAAACCUCCAUUGUAUCUAGGUUGACAUCUUAUUAUGGGAAAAGAAAGGAAAAAAAGCACUGCAGAAUUAAAUUAUAAAAAAUCCAAAAAAUUAAAAGUGAAAUGGAAAUUCUGCCCUCCCUAAAAAAUAUAAAUUUAGUUUUAAUUCUUUUUUUAAUAAAAAAAACAAUAAUGAUAAUUAAACAUUAUUAAUAAAAAAUAAUACUUACCUUUGAGUAUUAAUGAUAUAUUAAGAUUUAAUUAAAAUUUAAAAAUAUAUUUUAUGUUAAUACCUAUUUCUUCCCUUUUUAUCCUAUCUUUAUCUUUUUUUUUAGUGGAACCAUUGUUCCAAUUUAUUUUGCAUUAAUUCAAAUUAUAUGAGCUUUUUUGUUUUAUAAUAAACCCUUCAAUGAAAUUGACUUUUUAAAAUUUUGUAUUUGAUGGUUUAUAAGCUUUAAUUUAACGGUGGGUUAUCUAUAGUUUUAAUCUUAAUAUUUUAAAUUUUUAAAUUUUUAAAAUUUGUGACAUUUAAUUAAAUAAUAAAUUUUGCUUUCUUUAGUUUUUGAUGAUUUACUCUUAUUGAAUUGUUUAUAUGAAGUGAUAGCUUAUGUUUUAUUUUAAUUAUAAAGCUGAUGCACCUUAAUAAAAUAUUUUGACUAUAAAUAAUAUCGGUAAAGAUCUCUACACAUAUUGUGUAAUAUAUUUGAUGAAGACCUCUACAUAUAUUGUCUACUUUUGAGUCCAUUAGCUUUUCUAUUCCUACUUAUAACAUUGUUUACAUAUUCCAAAUAGCUAAUGGGUGGUCAUCCUCAUGUUUUCAAUUAGGAAUUAGUUUUAAUAUCACUUAACCCAACUCAUGUAACCUUAUUUUCUUUAAACCCAUUAAUCCUCGCAACUUACCCUAACAACAAAUGGGUCACCCCUUAAGUACUAAAAAUUUCUUAUUCAAAUGAUAUGAAAUAUUAUAUUCGAUCAUUUAUAUAGACACAUUGUUCUCAUCAUGACCCAUAGGGUUUAUGGAUAGUCAAAACUCUACAUAUUUUUUAUUAGGGAUUAGCACAACCUACUAGACUUCUUGAUUUUACGUAUACUAAAUGCAUCACUCUUAUAAGUAUUACAAAUUCUCGUAUGAGAAUUUGAAAAAGGGAAAAGUGGGUUUUUCCUCACUAAUUUAAAGAUAUAUAGAAAAAAAAACCUCAAAUUUUAUAAAUAAGUUUUACCUUUAUCAAUUUAAAAAUAUUUUAAAAUAUAUACACUUUUACAUAAAUCAGAUAAUUAUUUUCUAAAAUAGCACUUUACUUGAUAAUAUUAAAUAAAAUUAUCAAAAAAUAUUUAUCAUUUUAAGUUAAUAAAAGUACAUUACAAACAAAUAUAUUAUAAAUUUUUAUUAUAUAAUAUAAGGUACAAAUCAAUAUUCCUCAAGUGAUAAAUAAAUUUUUUGCUAAUUCUCUAGGUAAUAAUAAUUUUAUAUUUUAUAUUAUAUAAAUCCCUUCAUCUUCUUACCUUUUUAAAAAAAAAAAAAUUGAAUAAAAUUUUUGUUGAUUUACAUCAACAAUAAAAUAAGAAACUUUAAAAAAAAAACCUAAAAGUUAAAAAUAUAAAAAUAAAAUAUUGACUUUCACUUCGCGUACAUUGGUUAAAAAUCUAGAUAUAAAAAAAAAAUACAAUGGAAGUCAAUAUUUUAUUUUAUUUUAUUUUAAAUUUUUAAAUAUUUUGGUUUUAAUUGCCUUUAAUUUUUAAGUAUUUUAGUUUUAAUUGUAUUUUUAAAAAUUUAAAAUUCUUAUUUUAUUGUUCCUAAGGAUGUUUGUUUCUAGAGAGAGAAAAAAAAUCUUAAAUCAAGUCUCACAGUUAACAGAACAAAAACAAAACUAAAAGAAAAAUUAGUUUUUUUCAAUUAAAUAUUUAUGUAUGUACUUGUUAAUUGGAAUUAUUGAUAUAGUAAGUGCAAGUAAAAGGUUAUUUCAAAAAAUAAUUAUAUGACUUAAAAAAGUGUAUGUAUUUUAAAAUAUUUUUAAAUGAAAGAAGAUAAAAUUGAUUUAUAAAAUUUAGGGUUCUUUUUUCUAUAUUUUUUUCAAACUAGUGAGUUAUAACCCACUUUUCCCAAAUCAUCACAUUUACACCAAUUAAAAUAAUGAUAUAAAUAACAUUUUUUUUUCUUAACUUUCAUGUUUUAUUAAGAUAUUAUGUUUGGUACCUAAAAAGAAUGACAGAAAAUAAUUUUAUCACAUUUGGAUGUAAUAGAAAAAGAAAAAUAGUAAGGAAAUGAUGAGAGAAAAUUUAAAAGAUUUUCUUUUCCAUUUUCAUUAGAUAAAAGCAUGAAAAAUUUAGGAAAAAAAAAAUAUACUACUCAAUAAUUCAAUUUUCUAGAAACCAAAUAUGGUCUAAUAUUGCUCUACGUUCAAAGUCAAUUUUCAACGAUGAAUUCUCCUCUUACAGUGAUUCUUCUUAACUCGAUUGUGACAAGUGUUGUCAUAUGAAUUUUCUUCCCUCAAUCUACCUACUGAGAAAUGUAAUUUAAAAAAAAAAAAAGUACUCCUAAUGGAAUAAUGAGUAAUCACUAGAGACUUUGGAGUGUAGCAUGCAUCCUAUUCUUUUAAUUCUUGUCUCUCAAACCAGUCUUAAUAUUUUUAUUCAUUGAAUUAAAUUAUUAAAUAUACAAAUUAUUGACUGGUGUCUAAGUUUUUUCUUUCUUCAAUUUCUAGCUUUAAGUUCCCAAAUGAAAAAAAAAAAAAAAUUGUCAAGAUCUUGAUUAGAAAAACCUAUUGUUUAAUUGGAAAUAAAGUGGACUCAGUCUCCUUUCUUGUUGAUACAUUGCUUUCAUCUCUUUUCCUUCUGGCUAGCUACUAUGCUUCCCGCUCUCUUCCAAAGCCUAAAAGAAGGAUAACAUUUUGUUUGUUCCCCCGCCCCCCCUAUGAAUACAUGUGACUAGCUAUGAUCAUGAUGAUGUUCAUUUUUUAAAACAAAGAAAAAUGAAAAAUAUGAGCAUCAACCAAUAAAUUUUAGUACCCUUUCUCCAACUUGGAGAAGUUCCAAAUGGGUAAUUUUUUUAUAUUUUUGUUAUAAUUUUUAUGUUUUUUAUUUUAAAUAAACAAGACAAUCCAUUUUUCUUCUGAACAUUUUUUCUUUUGCCCUUUAGCCCUAAUGGCAGUCCACUUCAAAUAUUUUUGUGCCCAAAGGGUCAAAACUAAGGAAAGAUUCACUUCAAGAAAAAAUUAGGAGAAUUAAAAAUCAAAGCCCAAAAAGGGUUCCAGCAAGUGGAUGAUUUUUCUCAGUCAACUACUGCAAUUUGGGUCUUCCUUCCUCUACUUCCUAUUUUAUUUCCCAUAGUAAGGUUAGGCACAUUGACAUCUUUUUAUCCAUUUCUGUUUGCUUUUGUGCUUUUUUGGGAAAUCAUAAUCUGAUGUAGAUCUUGAUGGAACAGGUUUCUAUAGAAAAAUCAACAAGGGCUUUUUUUUUUACUUUAAGUUAGAUUCUGUUAUCUCAUUGGUAUGGCAUGGAAGAAUCUAUCCUUCACUGAAAAAUUGAGAGGAAAAAAAAUAGAUGUUUAUUUAUUUUUGUAUUAUAGCUCCUUUACACAUGUCACAAUCCCAUUUGCCUUAAUUUGUAGGCAUGACAUCCAAAAAUACUUUUCAGUACCAUAAUUUGAUGGAAAAAAUAGGUUUUGACUCAUUAGUACGAAAAUUUAUGAAAAAAAUACUUUAAUUUUUUUAAAUCAGUAUUAUCUUCAUUUAUUUCAAAAUCAACAACCCUUUUUCUUAUCUUUUAGGAAAAUUCUAUAUUACGUCAUGGGUAUGACAUGGAUGAAUUGACCAUUCAAUGAAAAUUAAGGGGAAAAAAUAGAUGUUUAUUUAUUUUUGUGCUAUAGCUCCUUUACAUAUGUCACAAUCUCAUUUAUAUUAAUUUGUUGGCAUGGCAUCCGAAAAUAAUUUUCGAUACCAUAAUUUAAUGAGAAAAUAAGUUUUGAUUCACUAAUAUGAAAUAUAUAGAUAAAAAAAAAUCUUAAUUUUUCAAAAUCAAUAUUAUCUUCAUUUAUUUAAAAAUCAACAAGGGGUUUUUUUUAUUUAAUUUAUAGGAAUAUUCUAUGUUACCUCAUUGGUAUGGCAUGGAAGAAUUGACCAUUCAUUGAAAAUUAAGGGAAAAAAUAGAUAUUUAUUUAUUUUUGUAUUAUAGCUCCUUCACACAUGUCACAAACCUAUCUAUGUUAGCAGCACAUGUGAUGCUUGCAAAUAAACACAAAUAGGAGAAGGUGCAGAGUUAGCAUCACAUGUUCAUGUAUUACAAUAUGAUUGGUUCUUUCUCUUUCCUCCAUAAAAUUCUCUUAUAUAGUUGACUGGUUCUUUCUCAUAUAUGGUUGUAGAUAUGAUUUGAUCAAACCGCAUUAAAACCCGGGUAACUUAGUUUGCUUUAUUUAUGUUAUUCUGUUCAAUCUGGCAUUAUAGUUUUUUAUCUUGCAAGGAUUCCAUUGAAAAACAUAACUGAAAGGGCUUUUAAGAUUUGGAGUAUAAAUAUAGUUUCCAAUAUCUUCCAAUAUAUGUUGUGGGCUCAGAAAGAAGUCCUCCCAAUUGUACUGAAAAAUCAGUGCAUUUAUGCUGCAAUUUGUUAAUAUAGUUCAGUCAGAAACAGAGCAGAUAAACAGAUAUAACAACAAAAUCCUGGGAAUUGGACAAUUUAUUAGCAGCCUUCACCAUGUACAGGAUCCCAUAGAGACGUCCAAAACAGAGCAUCAAAUGGGAACUCCUCCUGGACUAUCGACCUUCUUCUAUGGUGGCUAGGAUUUCACUGUUCCAGGAUGCUUCAGGUUUGCUAGAAGAAGAAGCUGUCCUAGAAAGGUCUCUUUUUAGGACAAAAGCCGGUUGUUUAGGAACCGGCAUUGUUGCAAUGUCACUGCUGAGCAUUACAACUGCAACUGCCAUGGUGGGACGGUCACUUGGGUCUUCUUGCACACACAACAGCCCAACAUUCACACACCUCAAAAAUUCUUUUGUGUUGCAUGUUUCGCAUAGUGUCUGGUCCAUCAGCUCCAACACCUUGUCUUCUUUCAAUAGCUUCCAUGCCUGGGAAGUUUGAGAAUAGAAAGUUAAGUAUGGUAUGGUAUAUCAUUGAGAACGACUAAAAGAUCAAGGCAAAUGAGAGAUUCAAAGCCCUCACUUGACCCAGAAGGCUCAGUGUUUGGUCAGACUGAUAAAAGCCAGUGUUCCUCUUCCCACUGAUGAUCUCAAGCACCAUAACACCAAAGCUAAAGACAUCAGACUUCUCUGAGAAAAACCCAUCCAAUGCAUACUCUGGAGACAUAUAGCCACUGCAUUGAACCAGUUAAAAGCACUACUCUGUUAAUUGGGGAUACGAUCAUGCAACUGCUUGCUUUUUUCUGUACACAAUAUGCAAUACUUACUAAGUUCCAACUACUCUGUUUGUGCUUGCCUCUACUUGCUUACUGUCAAAAAUCCUCGCCAAGCCAAAGUCUGAAAUUUUGGGAUUCAUCUCAUCAUCAAGUAGAAUGUUGCUUGUUUUCAAGUCCCUAUGAAUAAUCUUCAAUCUUGAAUCUUGGUGAAGAUACAGCAGCCCUCUAGCAAUUCCCAUAAUGAUGUCAAACCGCUUCUCCCAGUUCAGUAACAUGCAUAGGGUUCGAUCUUGCAAGGUUCCCAUUGGAAAGCAUUACUUCAGAUAUGUAUACAAGAAUGUAUAUGUUACAUGAAAAAGAAAAGGGCUUUAAGGCAGGUUUAGAGACAAACCAAAUAUGAAGGAAUCUAAGCUUUUGUUGGGCAUAUAUUCAUAGAGUAAAAUCUUCUCAUCACCUUCAACACAAUAGCCCAAAAGUCUAACCAGAUUCCGAUGCUGAAGUUUGGCAAUUAAAACAACCUCAUUCUUAAAUUCCUGUAGGCCUUGUCCUGAAGCUCUAGAGAGUCUCUUAACUGCAAUUUCUUGCCCCUCUGGAAACUUGCCCUGGAAGCCACAGUGCAUAUGCAUUGGGCAUAUGUUAGAACUUGGUGACUUGAAUUCUAUUUGGUUCGACUCCAGAAGCUCGCGAUGUGAUAUAGGUAGUAAAGCUAAAAUUAUGAAUUUUUUUUUGGGUUUGUGGUAGUAACAGAGGGAUCGGACCUAUUACUCUUUCAUGUAUAUACAUACAUAUAUAUACAUACAUAUAUAUAUAUAUAUAUGCAUGCGAUGAUGUAUAGUUUUCAGGGUUAUGAUGAUUAUGUUUUUGCUAUAGGGGUCCGUAUCUCUUUCCUCUUGUACUAAUUUUUUAUAUAAUAAAAUUUCUUCUCCUCGUGGUCUUUCCUAUCUAGGGUUUUCCAUACAAAUUUAUGUGUUCUUAUCCUGUUUUAUUUCUUAUUGCAUAUUCUCAUUAUUUUGUAACAGCAUAGAUGAUGAUAAACCAGUUGAAAAUGAGAGGAACAUGGAAAUUAAGAACAAUUACCUUGUAAACUGGCCCAAAACCCCCUUGUCCAAGCUUAUUUGCAUCUGAAAAGUUAUUUGUAGCAGCCAGUAUGUCUUCUAAGUCGAAAAACGGUACAUCAAUGCCUUUCUUAUCCUCUUCUUUGAAUUGCUCCGAGUCUAUUAAGUGUUUCACACGACUCUCACUAUCAUAUAAGUGAAGCACUUGAUUUGCUCUGUUCUCUGAACUCAAAAAAAACAGAAAAUAUUGUAUACAAGACCCUGAAAUAUUCUCAAUUCAGCCAAGCACAAGUCGAAAAGAAAAGACCAGAAGUUAUAGGCUAGUGCAUAUGGCACAAAGAUUACCUUUCCUUUUGGUGAUGGUUCUUUUGCGCAAAUAAGCAAUAUAACCAAUGAUGCCUAAAACCCGCACUAGAACAACAGCAAUUGUUAUGCCUACNNNNNNNNNNNNNNNNNNNNNNNNNNNNNNNNNNNNNNNNNNNNNNNNNNNNNNNNNNNNNNNNNNNNNNNNNNNNNNNNNNNNNNNNNNNNNNNNNNNNNNNNNNNNNNNNNNNNNNNNNNNNNNNNNNNNNNNNNNNNNNNNNNNNNNNNNNNNNNNNNNNNNNNNNNNNNNNNNNNNNNNNNNNNNNNNNNNNNNNNNNNNNNNNNNNNNNNNNNNNNNNNNNNNNNNNNNNNNNNNNNNNNNNNNNNNNNNNNNNNNNNNNNNNNNNNNNNNNNNNNNNNNNNNNNNNNNNNNNNNNNNNNNNNNNNNNNNNNNNNNNNNNNNNNNNNNNNNNNNNNNNNNNNNNNNNNNNNNNNNNNNNNNNNNNNNNNNNNNNNNNNNNNNNNNNNNNNNNNNNNNNNNNNNNNNNNNNNNNNNNNNNNNNNNNNNNNNNNNNNNNNNNNNNNNNNNNNNNNNNNNNNNNNNNNNNNNNNNNNNNNNNNNNNNNNNNNNNNNNNNNNNNNNNNNNNNNNNNNNNNNNNNNNNNNNNNNNNNNNNNNNNNNNNNNNNNNNNNNNNNNNNNNNNNNNNNNNNNNNNNNNNNNNNNNNNNNNNNNNNNNNNNNNNNNNNNNNNNNNNNNNNNNNNNNNNNNNNNNNNNNNNNNNNNNNNNNNNNNNNNNNNNNNNNNNNNNNNNNNNNNNNNNNNNNNNNNNNNNNNNNNNNNNNNNNNNNNNNNNNNNNNNNNNNNNNNNNNNNNNNNNNNNNNNNNNNNNNNNNNNNNNNNNNNNNNNNNNNNNNNNNNNNNNNNNNNNNNNNNNNNNNNNNNNNNNNNNNNNNNNNNNNNNNNNNNNNNNNNNNNNNNNNNNNNNNNNNNNNNNNNNNNNNNNNNNNNNNNNNNNNNNNNNNNNNNNNNNNNNNNNNNNNNNNNNNNNNNNNNNNNNNNNNNNNNNNNNNNNNNNNNNNNNNNNNNNNNNNNNNNNNNNNNNNNNNNNNNNNNNNNNNNNNNNNNNNNNNNNNNNNNNNNNNNNNNNNNNNNNNNNNNNNNNNNNNNNNNNNNNNNNNNNNNNNNNNNNNNNNNNNNNNNNNNNNNNNNNNNNNNNNNNNNNNNNNNNNNNNNNNNNNNNNNNNNNNNNNNNNNNNNNNNNNNNNNNNNNNNNNNNNNNNNNNNNNNNNNNNNNNNNNNNNNNNNNNNNNNNNNNNNNNNNNNNNNNNNNNNNNNNNNNNNNNNNNNNNNNNNNNNNNNNNNNNNNNNNNNNNNNNNNNNNNNNNNNNNNNNNNNNNNNNNNNNNNNNNNNNNNNNNNNNNNNNNNNNNNNNNNNNNNNNNNNNNNNNNNNNNNNNNNNNNNNNNNNNNNNNNNNNNNNNNNNNNNNNNNGAUUCAGUACUGUAGAAUUUCUCAAAACAAAACAAAAACAUAUACUAAUCGAAUGAUUAAUCAUUGGAGUGUAGAAUGCAAAGCUUUUUCUUUCUUCAUUUUAAUGAGACAAUGAAUAAAAAUAAGGUGGACCAUGUCUCCUUUCCAACGCACACCUUUCAUCUUUUCUCUUUAUCCCAACAUGUUUCUCAUUCCACUCCACUUUUUUCUUUGUAUGUAUAGUUUAUCUCUUUUAAGAAAUCAAGUAUGAGCAUCAACUGAUAAAUUUUUCUAUACUUUCUUCGACUUGGAGGAGCUUCAUAAUGGGAUAAACAAUCAAGAGUCUGUUUUCACAAUGUUUUUAAAAAGGGUAUUUGAGAUAACUUAAAUGUUUUUGAGGCAAAAUUUUAUUAAGAAUUCAAAUAUAAAAACUAAUUUUCUUUGUUUAUGCAUGUACGAUAUAAAAGUUUUUAAAGUGCUAUUCUCUAUUUUUUCAAUUGUCACUCAAUGAAUUCUAAAAAAAAAAACAAAACUAAAAUACCUUAAAAUCUUUCUAAAAAAUAAUUCAUUUUCAAAACAAAUUCCCAAUAAAAAAAAAUUGUGUUUUCUAUCAUAAUUUUUUGAAACAUAUUUUCUAAGUUAGAAAAUAAUUUUUUAUUCUAAAAGAUUAAUAUAUAUAUUUUCAAGAACAGAUACCAAAUAUAACCUAAUUUUUCUUCUAAGGUUUUUUUCCUUAUGUCUCCGUCUAGUUGUCAUCCAAUGAACAAUCCACUUCAAAUAUUUUUGUGCCAAAGGGUAAAACCGAAGGAGAGAAUUACUCAAACACAGGAGAAUUAAGAAUCAAAGGACAAAAGGGAUUGGAGCAAGGUGAUAACUUUUCUCAGUGAACUUCACUGAUUUGCUCAAAGGCAAGUUGCCAGCAAAAUCAAGGAUAUAAAAUGUGUAUUUCAUCUUUUUUUGUUGGACCCAUUGGGUUUGCUUUUUUUCCCUCUCAAUUUGGGAUUUAAUAUAAUAUAGAUCAGGAUUGAGCAGGUUUCUGUAAAUAAAUCAAAAUGGGCGGCCUUUUUUUAACUUGAUUCCCUCUUUGCUUUCUAGCACAUGAGAAAAAGUAGAGCUAGCCUCACAUGUGCACACUGCACAUGGCAUAGCAUUGGGUACCUAUUGAGUCAUCUCCACCAUAUGAUUAAGCACAGUGGCCCAAAUACUAGCAAUGAAGUUAGAAAAUGCAUUCUUCAUUUUCGUCUCCGAGAGAGUAGGAAAACCAUAUUCUUUCUCUGAUUUUUCAGGAAGAGAGAAGAGACUUCUCACAUAGAGAAUAAAAAAUAAAAAAAUUAUUUAUUUUUAAUAGUGAUAGUUUCUAUGUAGUUUUAAAACUCCCUAAAACUACUUCCCCAUUUUCUCAUUUAUUUGAGUCAGGUCGGGUCAGUCCACUUGGACACCCAAACCCAACUCCAACAUUGUGGAACUUGGAAGUGUAGUUUAUCUCACUGCUGAACAUGAGAACUUUGUUGGACAUGGUGGGACAUCACUUGGGUCUCUUGAACACUGAAGAGCCCAACAUUUAUAUUGUCAUUUAGUUUGCACCAUAUGCAGAGCCCAGUUCAAACAUGAUAUUGAAAAAAGUUCUAUACACAAAUACAGCUGAUGGAUAGGAGAAACAAAACAGAACAUCAGAUGGAUAAAACUUAGUAAACUAAAUAAACGGUAAAGGAUUCAUUGGAUCUCCUCUUAGCUAUCGCCCUUCUCCUAUGGAGGCUACAAGCUCAUUCUUCCAGGAGGCUUCAGCCUUGCUAGAAGAAGAAGCUGUACUAGAAAGGUUCCUCUUUACAACAAAAGCUGGUUCUUUAGGAACGGGCACUGUUGCAGCAUCACUGCUGAGCAGAAGAACUGCAAUGGCCAUGGUGGGACGGUCACUUGGGUCUUCUUGCACACACAACAGCCCAACAUUUACACACCUCGAAAAUUCGUUUGUGUUGCAUGUUUCACUUAGUGUCUGGUCCAUCAACUCCAAAACCUUGUCUUCUUUCCAUAGCUUCCAUGCCUAGAACAGUUCAAAAAGUUGUAGGUCAGAUGAACAGAGAAUGACUAAAAGAUCAGUACAAAUGAAAGAUUCAAAGCUCUUACAUGACCUAGAAGACUCAGAGUUCGGUCAGACUGAUAAAAUCCAGUGUUCCUCUUCCCACUGAUGAUCUCAAGUACCAUAACACCAAAGCAAAAGACAUCAGACUUCUCUGAGAAAUAUCCAUCCAAUGCAUACUCCGGAGACAUAGCCACUGCAUUGAACCAGUUAAAAGCAGCACUCAGCUAAUUGGGAAACGCAAUCAUACAACCGCUUGCCUUUUUCGAUACAAAAUAUACAAUACUUACUAAGUUCCAACUACUCUGUUCGUGUUUGCCUCUACUUGCUUACUGUCAAAAAUCUUUGCCAAGCCAAAGUCUGAAAUUUUGGGAUUCAUCUCAUCAUCAAGUAGAAUGUUGCUUGUUUUUAAGUCCCUAUGAAUAAUCUUCAAUCUUGAAUCUUGGUGAAGAUACAGCAGCCCUCGAGCAAUUCCCAUAAUGAUGUCAAACCGCUUCUCCCAGUUCAGUAACAUGCAUAGGGUUCAAUCUUGCAAGGUUCCCAUUGGAAAGCAUUACUUCAGAUAUGUAUACAAGAAUGAAUAUGUUACAUGAAAAAGAAAAGGGCUUUAAGGCAGGUUUAGAGACAAACCAAAUAUGAAGGAAUCUAAGCUUUUGUUGGGCAUAUAUUCAUAGAGUAAAAUCUUCUCAUCACCUUCAACACAAUAGCCCAAAAGUCUAACCAGAUUCCGAUGCUGAAGUUUGGCAAUUAACACAACCUCAUUCUUAAAUUCCUGUAAGCCUUGUCCUGAAGCUCUAGAGAGUCUCUUAACCGCAAUUUCUCGCCCCUCUAGAAACUUGCCCUGGAAGCCACAGUGCAUAUGCAUUGGGCAUAUGUUAGAACUUGGUGACUUGAAUUCUGUUUGGUUCGACUCCAGAAGCUCGAGAUGCGACAUAGGUAGUAAAACUAAAAUUAUGAAAUUUUUUUGGGUCUGUGGUAGUAACAGAGGGAUCGGACCUAUUACUCUUUCAUGUAUAUAUAUGCAUGCAAUGAUGUAUAGUUUUCAGGGUUAUGAUCAUUAUAUUUUUGCUAUAGUCGUUAGUAUCUCUUUCCUCUUGUACUAAUUUUUGACAUAGUAAAAUUUCUUCUCCUCGUGGUCUUUCCUAUUUAGGGUUUUCCACACAAAUCUAUGUGUUUUUAUCCUGUUUUAUUUCUUAUUGCAUAUUCUCAUUAUUUUGUAACAUCAUAUAUGAUGAGAAAUCAGUUGAAAAUGAGAGGAAUAUGGAAGUUAAGAACAAUUACCUUGUAAACUGGCUCAAAACCCCCUUGUCCAAGCUUAUUUGCAUCUGAAAAGUUUUCUGUAGCAGCCAGUAUGUCUUCUAAGUCGAAAAACGGUACAUCAAUGCCUUUCUUAUCCUCUUCUUUGAAUUGCUCUGAGUCUAUUAAGUGUUUCACACGACUCUCACUAUCAUAUAAGUGAAGCACUUGAUUUGCUCUGUUCUCUGAACUAAAAAAAAAAACAGAAAAUAUUGUAUAGAAGACCCUGAAAUAUUCUCAAUUCAGCCAAGCACAAGUCGAAAAGAAAAGACCAGAAGUUAUAUGGCUAGUGCAUAUGGGAACAAAGAUUACCUUUCCCUUUUGGUGAUGGGUCUUNNNNNNNNNNNNNNNNNNNNNNNNNNNNNNNNNNNNNNNNNNNNNNNNNNNNNNNNNNNNNNNNNNNNNNNNNNNNNNNNNNNNNNNNNNNNNNNNNNNNGAAGGAACUGAAUUGAACUUCUCUCACCUACCCAGAAGGCAAAUUUAGUAAGAUACUGGGAAUGUGGCAGUGUCACUGCUGAGCAUUACAACUGCAACUGCCAUGGUGGGACGGUCACUUGGGUCUUCUUGCACACACAACAACCCAGCAUUCACACACCUCAAAAAUUCUUUUGUGUUGCAUGUUUCGCUUAGUGUCUGGUCCAUCAGCUCCAACACCUUGUCUUCUUUCAAUAGCUUCCAUGCCUGGGACAGUUUGAGAAUAGAAAGUUAAGUAUGGUAUGGUAUAUUGUUGAGAACGACUAAAAGAUCAAUGCAAAUGAGAGAUUCAAAGACCUCACUUGACCCAGAAGGCUCAGUGUUUGGUCAGACUGAUAAAAUCCAGUGUUCCUCUUCCCAUUGAUGAUCUCAAGCACCAUAACACCAAAGCUAAAGACAUCAGACUUCUCUGAGAAAAACCCAUCCAAUGCAUACUCUGGAGACAUAUAGCCAUUGCAUUGAACCAGUUAAAAGCACUACUCUGUUAAUUGGGGAUGCGAUCAUGCAACUACUUGCUUUUUUCUAUACACAAUAUGCAAUACUUACUAAGUUCCAAAAAUAAUUUAUGGUGUCACUUUUAAAAUAAUGACCCAUAUGACUUAAAAUCCAUAAAGGUGACACCUCAUAUAAAAAUUUUCAAUGAAGAUAAAUGAUAUUAAUUUUAAGUUUAUAGUGUCAGUUUUUGAAAAGUAACACUAUAUAAAAUAAAAAUUUUAAAAUACUAUAACUUAAUGAGCCCGAGAAUAAUAAUAGUAUAUAAAAAACUCAUUAUUUCCACAUACCCACAAUCCAAAAAUCUCAUUAUAUAACCCUAACCAUAAUUUUCUUCUACCUCUUCUCACACCCAUAGUUAACACACAACUGCUCUUCUUUACUUCAUGGAUUCUCAAGUAAUCCAAAAUCUCUUAGAUCUAUCAUUUUCAUUUUUUUUCAUUAAUGUCAAAAUCUUUAUUAGCACAAUUGAUUUAUAUUCAUUGAUUUGGUAUAUCUGUGAUGUGGAUUAUGUAAAUAGUGUUUUUUUAUUAAGUUGUAAGAAAGUAAAAAUUAAGUUUAACAUUACACCAUAUCUUCUAUUUCAUUGUUAAACCUAUAAACCUCAAAAUGAAUGAAAAUAAGAUAAAUGAAUGAUUUUUUUUAAUUUAUUUCAUACUCAAGAAUGAGGGAUAAACAUUUUACAGUAUGAAAUUUUCUUUUGAUCUUACAAGAAAUUUCCUUUGAUGCGACUUUCUGUUUGUUUUCUAGGAAUAUUAUAGUAUAUUGUGAUGACGAUAUGUGUUGGUGAUAUUUGAAAAAUAAUUUUUAGAAAGUUAUUCUUAAUAUUGUUAUCUCCCACAAAAGGAAAAAUGAAAUAGUUUCCAUAUCAUGUUGGAGUUGGUUUGGAAUGUUGGAAUUAACAAUGAAAAAUUAAUUUUUUUUUAUUAAUGUAAAAGAAUUGUUUUUUAAAAUUUAAAUAGGAAUGAAAAUUUUUAUAAUUAUAAGAAUGAUCAAAUCUUAUAUUUUAAUUUUUUUAUUCUUUUACAUGGUAUUAUGGUUAAUAUCUUAUCUUGUUCUAUUCAUAUUGUUUCUAUUCUUAAAAUGUGUUUUUUGUUUUUUUGUCUUUACCUUUUUUUAUAUGCGUCGACCAAAAUUUAUAAUUUCCGUUUUAAGGUUAGAAAAUUUCUAUAAAAUCCUUUUACUACAUAAAUUUUUUCAAUUACUUCCAUAAAACUCUUUUUUUUUUUUUUUUUUGGAAAGAAGAAGAAGAAGAUGUUUUAUCUUUUGAUUUUCUAUGAAAUUUCCUUUAAUUGGACUGUUUGUUUAUUUUCUAAGAAUAUUAUAGUAUGUUGUGAUGAAGAUAUUGGUUGGUCAUAUUUGGAAAAUAAUUUUUGAGAAAAUUAUUCUCAAUAUUGUCAUAUCUCGCAAAAGGAUUAUUUUUGCUUUCUUUUCUUAUUGUUUUUAUAUGCAUUGACCAAACUUUGGAGCAAUUUGAAAUUGAUGAUGAAAUUUUCCUUUCAAGGUUAGGAAAUUUCUAUAAAAUCCUUUUAUUACAAAUUUUUUUCCAAUUCUUUCCAUAAAACUCUUCAUUUUCUUCAUUUUUCUUUUUUCUGAAAAAGAUGUUUGAUAAUUUAUUGAUCUAAAGAAUAUUAAAAGUAAAAAAAAUAAAAAUAUUGAAUAUAUUUUCCUUUGAUGUUUUUAAUUUUUUAUUAUUUGAACACAAUUUCAUAUCCAAAUUUUUUAUUAAUUAUUUUAAUUAGAAAAAAGAAAUAUCAAUUGGAGUUUUGACUGAAAAAUCAAUAAUUUUUAUGAAAAGCUCUUUAAUUCUUUCUCAUACUAUUUUUUCUCUUAAUAUUUUUUAAUAAUGAAUUAGGUUUUUUGUCUUAUAUACACAAUUUUCAUGCUUGUUAUAAUAUCAUGUCCUAUCAUAUUAGUAGUUGAAAACAUUUUGAUAUUUUGUUACUAAAAUUUUAUUUUAUGUAAUUGAGAUGAAAUUUAAUGGACAUUGUUAUUUCAUAAAAUGAACAUUAAAAAAAUAUUGAAAUUAAGAAAAUCCUUCCAAGAAAUAUAUAUAUAUAUAUAUAUAUAUAUAUAUAUAAUGUUAAAAAUGAUUUUUAAAAACAUAAUGAAUUAUAAAAAAUAAAUUUAAAAAGUGCAUAUUUUAAGUGGAAGAUUAGUAUUUUCUAAAUUUUAGAUUUAUAUUUUGAUUUGGUAGUUUUGAUUUAUUUUUUAUUUUCUUGAAUUGUUUUUAUUUGAAUUCAAAUGUGACUACUUUGUUAUGAGAUUCAUUAAAGAGAUAAUUGUUGAUUCUAUAGUUAUUGCAUUAAAGGUUUUACUCAUUUAAUGAAUUGCACAUAGUUUCAUACUUCCAAUUAUUGUGAUAUUAAUGUUAUUAUCAUUUGAUUUUAGUUUGAUGAUAAAAAAAAAACAUAUUCUUAAGUAGAAUGUGAUGAAAUUAGAGGAGAAUUGACUACUUUUAUAUUAUAACUAAUCAAGAAUCAUGUUGAUGUAUCGUGAUCAUGCAUGGUGAGUCCCUUAGUUGUUGUAUGAAUUUUCCAUUGGUAUUGUAUAACAUUACUUAUUCUUUACAAAUUAUAUUUAUAUCAAAAUGGAAAAAAGAAAAAAAGAAAACAUUAGUAGUUAGAUUUGUUUAUUUUUUAUAACAUUAAUUAAUUUUUAUUUUUAAUAAAAACUCUAAAACUCAUUAAACUAUGAAAUGCAAGUAUACACUCUUGGAAGGACAGUAUGAAGAAUAAAAAGAAAGGAGAAAGAGACAACAAGAUUUUGGGUUUUUAGAUGUAACUUUUAUGUCAUAUAUUAUAGGACAUAAACGUUACUUUAUUUGGUAUUGAGAAUUUUGGGUUUUUGGAUGCAACACUUGUGUCAUUUUAUGGUUAGCCAGUUUUAUGCAUAUGAAUUGUAGGUAUACAUGAAUGUUGGGAUGCUUAACAUUUCUAUGUCAUGUUUUAAUGUGCAUUCACUUUUCCUUUUUAGUUUUGGUGGGUUUGAUGUACUAUCAUUUUGUGAACAUUUGAUAUACAAAUAUUAUUGGAUGAUUUAAUGUAUUACAGGUUGAUCUUAUUUAUUAAUAAGCAUUACAAAAAUCUAUAGGCUAAUCAAUAAAAAACAACCAUAUAUUCCAUAAUCAUUUACAAUGAUGUGACACCAUAACUCAAAGGUGAUGCAUUUAACGUGACACCAUAACUCAAAGGUGAUGCAUUUAAUAUGACACCUUAUAUAUCUCACACAACUCUAUAUCAAAUUAAGCAUUACUAAAAAUAUAUGGUGCCGCUUCUGAAUGUGUCACCAUUUAUCUACAUUGGUGUCGCUUCCAAAUACAUCACCAAUUGGUACCCUCUAUGGUGUCAGUGGAUAAGGUGACACUAUGUUGUAGUGACACCUUAUGUUUAUAGUGACUCAUUAUAAAUGUCACCAUAUAUCUUUUUCCUUGUAGUGUAUUCACCCCCUCCCCCUCUAGGUGUAGUCCAUUAUUGAGAUUCACCUUUUCAUCAUCCAUCCACAUGCCAGGAAGAAAAGUAUCAGUAAGAUUAUGGAAGCUCUCCCAAAGAAUCUCCCCUGAUCUGUUGUCACUUAAAACAAGGUUCCCGGAGUCCAUGAGCUUCAUCACCAUGCCUGUAGAUAAAGAUGUCUCAGUAUUAGAAGACCAAUGAACUUUCCCAUUUUCAUCCAAUAAUUUGAGCUUACCAUCGUCUUUAAUGGCAAAAACUCCAAAGGGGGGAUCAAAAAGGGGAAGGGGGCUGUCUCGGUUGGCCACCCAUACAACUCUUUGUGGUUUCAACAAGUAAUACCAUAUGCCAAUGUAUUUUCCAUUGUUGAACCUUCCAUCCGAAUUAAAGAAGCCAAGUUCAAAAGUUUUGCCUACAGAAACAAGAGUUCCUCCAUCAUUUCUAAGCCAAUCCUCUGGUGUGAUGGUAUCUCUAGCAGAGCAAUAUAGGACAGAACAUAAGAAAAAGAUGGUUGAUAGCAUGUGAGUUGUAGAGACAGGAACCAUGAAUUUUCUUCUUAUCAUUUUGCCCUCUAUUGUUGUUAGUCAAAGAACCAUGAAGAGUUGCAGAGACAUGAACCACGAAUUUUCUUCUUAUCAUUUUGCCCUCUAUUGUUGUCAGUCAAAGAACCAUGAAGGGUUUGCUACUGUUGUAUUGCACUCUCAUUUUUAAUGGAGACUUUUCCUUUUAACUCUUGAGUGGAGAAAAUUCAUAUCAGUAUUCUUAUCUUGAUUUCCCUUUUUGAUGCAUAGCUUUCAUCUCUGGACUUUUGUGGCAACUUGAGUCUUUAAGAUGGCAACUUUAAUAUGCUUCCUGGUGUCUUCCAAGUAUUGACGUUUUGUAUGCAUCACCCUCCUCCUUCUACACCAAUUUGUUUCUUUGUAUGUAUAGUUUUAUCUCUUCUAAGCAAUAAAGCAUAUGGCAUCAACCAAUAAAUUUUUCUGUACUUUCUCCAAUUUGGAGGAGCUUCGUAAUGGGACAAACAAGAAAAAUUAGAAGUUUAUUUGGCAAUGCUUGUAGAAACAGUUUUUCAUAACAAUGCUAAGAAACAGUUCUCAAAUGUUUCGACUAACUCAAAUAUAAGAACUAGUUUUCUUUGUUUAUUCUCUUACGUACAAAGCGAAAGUUUAAAAAAUAUUCUUUAUUUUAUAAAUUUUUAUCCAAAGAACUCCAUAAAAAUGAAAAAAAUUACAAACACCUCAAAAUGAUUCUAAAAUAUAAUUCAUCUGCAUAACAAAUUUGGCAAAAAAAAAAAUCAUUUUUCAUCAAAUGUCUAUCAAACGUGUUUUCUAAUUAACAAAAAAAUUUUCUGUUUAAAUAAAAAAAUCUAAAAUAACUACUAAACAUACCCUGAUUUUUGUUUUAAGCUUUUUUCCUUCUCAUGUCUUCUAAUUGCCAUGCAAUGAAUUAUCCACUUCAAACAUUUUUGUGCCAAAGGUAAAGCAAAGGAGAGAAUUACUAAAACAAACCCAGGAAAAUUAAGAAUCAAAGGACAAAAGGGGUUCAAGGAAGUGAUAAAUUUUCUCAAUGAAUUAACUUCACUAAUUGCUCAAAGGCAAGUUGUCAAUUGUUACAGAAUAGUGAAUAUAGGAAAUAAGAAAAACAAAAUAUGAACAUAUAGAUUUGUGUGAAAAAUCCUAAACGAGAAAAACCACGGACGGAUGAGAAGAAGAUCCACUAUAUCAAAAAUUGGUAUAAGAGGAGAGAGUUACGAGCGUCUAUAGCAUAACCCUAAAAAUACAUCAUCACAUAUACACACACAUAUGUAUAUAUAUAUAAAGCAGGUUCAUACUUUUGAAUUCAUUUAAUCUUUAUAUAAUGAAGGAAAGUAAAAUAAAUUAGAAAAAACAUAUGAAAUAAUUUAUUAACUUCGAAUUUAUUUUUUUAUUUUCUUUUGUUUUUUCCUUUCUUCUAUUUUUCCUCUCUAUUUUUUUUUUUCCAUAUUUUGCCUUAUAUUUUUUGAGAACCAAAUAUAGUCUUAAAGUUUCUUGGAAACUUUGGACUUUAGAAAAAACUUAACCUUUUUUUCUUGGGAAUAAUUUUCUAGAUUUGAGGUACAUUAUCUUAGGGGUGUACUAAGCAUGCCAAAAUACUUUCAAAAUCUAACUCCUAUUUUUUGGAAAGUUAUGAAUUAAUAUUUCUAUUUUUUUUUUUUUUUUUUACUCUUUCCAAAUCUAAUUUUACUAGGAACCAAAUUUGUGAAUUUUUGCACAAAAUCCUAUCCAAGAGAGGAUCUUUUAGAAAUCUCAUCCAUUCUAUAUUUAAUUGGUAGAGAAUUAAAACCACGGUUGUGCAAAAAGCAUAUGAACAAAUAAAAUUAGACCAAGAUAUAUAUCUAUAUAUCUAUAUCUAUAUAUAUAUAUAUAUAUAUAUAUAUAUAUAUAUCAAUGAUUCAACUUAGAAGAAUAAUGCAUUAGAUUUCUACACUUUGAGUAGUUGCCUUGAUUAAGUCCAAUUACUAGAAGCCAAGGUCAAGGUCAUCGAAGUUUGUCCAUUCUCUUUCAUAAUUUCUUUUUUCCUCACUAAAGGAGAGAAUAUCUCUUUUACAAAUCUUGUCUAUUCUUGAUUGAUUUGGUAGAGAAUUUAAAAAAGGGUUGUGCCAAAAGCAUGUCAACAAUUUAAAAUGGACCGAGAGACGAAACUUCUCAAUGAGUGGAUGUAUAUCUUUGUCAAUCCUUCAACUUUGAAGAAUAAUGCAUUAGACUUCUAUGCUUUAAGUAGUUUCCUUGAUUGAGUCCAAUUAUUAGAAGCCAAAGUCAAGGUCAUCGAAGUUUGUACAUUCUCUCUUGUGGUCCCAUGGUAUUUGCUCUUUUUUACCUCAUUAGAGGAAAAAACAUUAACACAGCUUCAUGUGGGAACCAACCUUUCUUUUAGCAUCCAUGAUAGUUUUUCUUCCCAAUAAUUAGAAAAAGAUUCAUGAGGACCCCAUAUGAGAACUAUUAUUGGUGAUUGUAUAUAGAAAUAAAGAGAAUUCAUUUAUCCUAUAAAAAACAACCCCUUCCUAACGAUUAUAUAAUUUAUUGGUAACAAUGUGAUAGAAAAUUUUGAGACACAUAUUAUAGAUGAAUCUUGGUUAUGGAUUAUAGUUAGAGGGGNNNNNNNNNNNNNNNNNNNNNNNNNNNNNNNNNNNNNNNNNNNNNNNNNNNNNNNNNNNNNNNNNNNNNNNNNNNNNNNNNNNNNNNNNNNNNNNNNNNNNNNNNNNNNNNNNNNNNNNNNNNNNNNNNNNNNNNNNNNNNNNNNNNNNNNNNNNNNNNNNNNNNNNNNNNNNNNNNNNNNNNNNNNNNNNNNNNNNNNNNNNNNNNNNNNNNNNNNNNNNNNNNNNNNNNNNNNNNNNNNNNNNNNNNNNNNNNNNNNNNNNNNNNNNNNNNNNNNNNNNNNNNNNNNNNNNNNNNNNNNNNNNNNNNNNNNNNNNNNNNNNNNNNNNNNNNNNNNNNNNNNNNNNNNNNNNNNNNNNNNNNNNNNNNNNNNNNNNNNNNNNNNNNNNNNNNNNNNNNNNNNNNNNNNNNNNNNNNNNNNNNNNNNNNNNNNNNNNNNNNNNNNNNNNNNNNNNNNNNNNNNNNNNNNNNNNNNNNNNNNNNNNNNNNNNNNNNNNNNNNNNNNNNNNNNNNNNNNNNNNNNNNNNNNNNNNNNNNNNNNNNNNNNNNNNNNNNNNNNNNNNNNNNNNNNNNNNNNNNNNNNNNNNNNNNNNNNNNNNNNNNNNNNNNNNNNNNNNNNNNNNNNNNNNNNNNNNNNNNNNNNNNNNNNNNNNNNNNNNNNNNNNNNNNNNNNNNNNNNNNNNNNNNNNNNNNNNNNNNNNNNNNNNNNNNNNNNNNNNNNNNNNNNNNNNNNNNNNNNNNNNNNNNNNNNNNNNNNNNNNNNNNNNNNNNNNNNNNNNNNNNNNNNNNNNNNNNNNNNNNNNNNNNNNNNNNNNNNNNNNNNNNNNNNNNNNNNNNNNNNNNNNNNNNNNNNNNNNNNNNNNNNNNNNNNNNNNNNNNNNNNNNNNNNNNNNNNNNNNNNNNNNNNNNNNNNNNNNNNNNNNNNNNNNNNNNNNNNNNNNNNNNNNNNNNNNNNNNNNNNNNNNNNNNNNNNNNNNNNNNNNNNNNNNNNNNNNNNNNNNNNNNNNNNNNNNNNNNNNNNNNNNNNNNNNNNNNNNNNNNNNNNNNNNNNNNNNNNNNNNNNNNNNNNNNNNNNNNNNNNNNNNNNNNNNNNNNNNNNNNNNNNNNNNNNNNNNNNNNNNNNNNNNNNNNNNNNNNNNNNNNNNNNNNNNNNNNNNNNNNNNNNNNNNNNNNNNNNNNNNNNNNNNNNNNNNNNNNNNNNNNNNNNNNNNNNNNNNNNNNNNNNNNNNNNNNNNNNNNNNNNNNNNNNNNNNNNNNNNNNNNNNNNNNNNNNNNNNNNNNNNNNNNNNNNNNNNNNNNNNNNNNNNNNNNNNNNNNNNNNNNNNNNNNNNNNNNNNNNNNNNNNNNNNNNNNNNNNNNNNNNNNNNNNNNNNNNNNNNNNNNNNNNNNNNNNNNNNNNNNNNNNNNNNNNNNNNNNNNNNNNNNNNNNNNNNNNNNNNNNNNNNNNNNNNNNNNNNNNNNNNNNNNNNNNNNNNNNNAGUCCAAAUACAAGCGAUGAGGUUUGACAAUUUUAUGCUAUGCAAUUAAUGAUAAUGUAGAGAGGACCAAAAAAACAGAAGAGCUUCCUAUUGACACUCAUUAGGAAAAAAAAUUACAUUGAAGCAUAAGAAUAAAUACUCCAUAAAAUUCAAUUUUAAUGAAAUUAUAUAAUACAAAUGAAAAUGAUGUUGUUAAAGAGCAUGGUAUAUAUUGUGAACUCAAAUUCUACAAGUUAACCUUUUAGAAAAAUUGGUAAUUGAGUAGAGCUUGGUUUGACGGGAGGUCAUGUGUUCAAGAGUCGCUUCUCCCCAAUUUGCAUAUUUAUUUCCUCCUAGGCUACCAAUGAUCUCAUUCUUGGAGCAUGUGUUUCUGGUUUGGUAGAAGAAGCAGCAGCCCUACUAUAGAACAGUGGAAGAAGCAUUGGAAUCUUUGUCCCUUCUUCAAGGUCUUUAGAUUUUUUCAAUUUGUUUUCUUUUCAAUUCUCAUGCAUACAUCUAAUUUUCCACUUCCAUAAUAUUUCAACCUCUGGAUGUGAAAUAGUAUUUGUAGAUCAAUCAAAAGUAUUCCAACGUAAUAUGUCACUAUAUAAUAAUCCAAUAUUUCAACCUCUAUAUCUGAAAUAGUAUAUGUAGAUCAAUCAAAAGCAUCCCACCAUGUAUAUUCAGCUAAUGUAAUCGUUACCACCAACAAAACUAAUUAUUGGUUUCAUUUUAAGAUGUUAUAGCUAAUAAAUCCCUACUUUCCUUACCAUCAAUUACUCAAUAGAUAUCAUGCUUCAAUUUAUUCUUAAUUCCAACGGUAAAUCACUGGUAAUAGAAGGCAUGAUAUACAUAUAUAGGGUCAUUUCUUUGAGUGACUUUACUCAAAAGGAUGGUCUUGAUUACAACUAGCAAAUUCUGUUUAUAAGAAGACCCUAUACAAAACUCACAUGGCUAUGAUCAUUACUUGAGUCACUAUCACACAGAAUUCAUACCAGUUUUGUUUACAAAUUGUUCUUAGGAAGAACAUAUUCCAACUGGGGGCUAAUACAAGUAGAGGUUCCAAGCUACAGACCAAGAAGGUAUGUACCAACAGAUACCUAGCUAGGAUUGCUUCUUCUAGUAACGGUUGGUUAUUAACACAUAAAAAUGUGAGCAGGCAACUAAGUUGGAACCUUAUAGACACCGUUAGUCUCCCUAGCUUAUGAUAAAGAAUCUUUAAGGCCAUUAAGUCAACAGUUCACACUUACUAACUAGGUUUUUCUCUUUGUCGUGACUUUUUUUUUUUCUUAUGCUUUUGGUAGAGCCUUGGUUAACACAUCUGCAAUUUGAUCCUCAAUCUUGCAAUAAAGCAGUUUAACUUCACCAUCCUUUUGUUCUUCUCUUAAGUGAUACAACUUGAUCUUGAAAUGCUUAGUCUUGCCAUGAAAAACAUAAUCAUUUGAAAUUGCAAUUGCAGCUUGGUUAUCUACAUGAAUCUGUGUUGGCUCAUUUUGCUUCAUGUGUAGAUCUGCAAGUAUUUUUCUGAUCCAAAUUGCUUGAUUUACAGUAGCAUUGGCUGCUAUAUAUUCUGCAUCUGCUAUACUUUGAGCUAUCACAUCUUGCUUCUUUAAGGACCAUGAAAAAAUUCCAAAUCCGAAGCUGAAACAAAAUCCUGUGUACUUCUCAUGUCAUCAAUAGAACCUGCCCAAUCACUAUCAGAAUAACCAUGACGUUUUAAAUUNNNNNNNNNNNNNNNNNNNNNNNNNNNNNNNNNNNNNNNNNNNNNNNNNNNNNNNNNNNNNNNNNNNNNNNNNNNNNNNNNNNNNNNNNNNNNNNNNNNNNNNNNNNNNNNNNNNNNNNNNNNNNNNNNNNNNNNNNNNNNNNNNNNNNNNNNNNNNNNNNNNNNNNNNNNNNNNNNNNNNNNNNNNNNNNNNNNNNNNNNNNNNNNNNNNNNNNNNNNNNNNNNNNNNNNNNNNNNNNNNNNNNNNNNNNNNNNNNNNNNNNNNNNNNNNNNNNNNNNNNNNNNNNNNNNNNNNNNNNNNNNNNNNNNNNNNNNNNNNNNNNNNNNNNNNNNNNNNNNNNNNNNNNNNNNNNNNNNNNNNNNNNNNNNNNNNNNNNNNNNNNNNNNNNNNNNNNNNNNNNNNNNNNNNNNNNNNNNNNNNNNNNNNNNNNNNNNNNNNNNNNNNNNNNNNNNNNNNNNNNNNNNNNNNNNNNNNNNNNNNNNNNNNNNNNNNNNNNNNNNNNNNNNNNNNNNNNNNNNNNNNNNNNNNNNNNNNNNNNNNNNNNNNNNNNNNNNNNNNNNNNNNNNNNNNNNNNNNNNNNNNNNNNNNNNNNNNNNNNNNNNNNNNNNNNNNNNNNNNNNNNNNNNNNNNNNNNNNGUCAUUCUUUCAAUCAUUCUAAGCUCUCUUUCAUUGCUCAGUCCACUUGUCAUCUUCUUUGCCUCUUCAAAUUCUGCAGGCUCAAAAACAACAACAUUACUUCUUUCAUAAACAUCAGAUAAGGACCUUGUACCUCUAACUAGGGCAUCAUCUAUGUUUUCAUCAAAGUAUUGCGGAACCUCUGGUAGUUGCAUCUUUAUUGACUCCUCCCAAUUCCAUUGUCUAUCCUCUAUGAACUUGACAUCUCUACUUACAAGAAUUUUUCCAUUUUGUGGUUGGAAAAUUCUGUAAGCCUUGGAAGAGUUGCUAUAUCCAAUGAAAACUCAUGGUUCUGCCUUCUUAUCAAGUUUGUCUCUUUUCACCUGUGGCACAUAAGAAAAACAAAGACAACCAAAAGUUCUUAGAUUCUGCAAAUCUGGUUUAUAACCAAACCAGGCUUCAAAUGGAGUUUUUUUUUUUGCAAAACUCUAGUUGGCAGCCUAUUCAGCAAAAAACUGCAGUGUUUGCAGCCUCUGCCCACAAUUUCUUUGGCAACUCCUUCUCAUGUAGCAUACACCUUGUCAUCUCCAUAAUACUUCGAUUUUUUUCUCUCACUUACUCCAUUUUGUUGUGGAGUGUAAAGUGUUGUGAGUUGGUGCUCAAUACCGGCUUCUUCAUAGAACUUAUCAAAAAUUUCAUUUGUGUAUUCUUUCCCAUUAUCUGACCUUAUCUUCUGCAUCCUGCAACUGCUUUGAUUCUCCACCCAUGCUUUAUAUUUCCAAAAUACAUUAGGAACCCCAUAUUUGGAUUUGAGGAAAUAAAUCCAACAAAAUCUGGUAUAAUAAUCAAUAAAUGCAAUGUAGUACUUAUUACCAUUUAAAGAUGGUGUUUUCUGAGGUCCUCCAACAUCUGUAUGUACCAGUUGCAGCUUGUGCAUUGCUCUCCAUGUUGUUUGAGGGAAGGGUUUUCUAGUUUGCUUUCCAUAUUGGCAAGCCACACAAUCAGCUAGCUUGUCUUGUAGCAAUGGCACACCUUUCACCAAAUUAUGUUUCUGCAUAUAUAGAAGUCCAACAUGGUGGAAAUGCCCGAGCCUUCUGUGCCAUAAUUUUGCAUUGCGUUCAAUGCUUGAAAUGCUAUUUGCUCAUCCUCCAUUAGAUUUAGAGCAAAGCUUUUUGCUCUCAUUUUCACUUUGAAUACAUCUCUACCUUUCGCGUCUUUGAUCAAGCACCAUUUGUCUUCAAAUAUGACUUUGAAACCUUUUUCAGUUAGCUAUCCAACACUAAGCAGGUUUUGAUCAAUGUCAGGCACAUAUAAAACAUUAGUAAUAUACUUCAAACCUAUUAAGCUUUCUAUAGCCACAGUUCCUUCCUUUACCCUUAACUGAAAUAAAUUCACCAUUUCCAAUUUUUAGCUUGGAGAUAAUAGUUUUAUCAAGCUCCUUAAAGAGCUCUUGGUCAUUGGUCAUGUGGUUUGUGCAGCCACUAUCAAUCAACCAAGAAUUGCUAGAGUUGUUACUUGUUGUGAAGCAUGUUGCAACAAAAAGUUGCUCUUCUUGAUGUUGCUUAGUAGAAGCUGUAGGGACUCCUCCCUCUGAGAACACGUGGCACGCAUCUUACAGUGACACGUGGCACGCAUCUUACAGUGACACAUGGCACGCAUUGUCAUCCGGGUCAUCCUCAUCCGGAUCUUCCUAUAAAGCACACAUGGCGCACUUUUUAUCCGGACUGCCUCAAGGAAGGGCAAACGACGCUUACAAAGCAUAGACAUCCGGACGACUUCCAUUAAUGCGUCUGCUCCACAAUACAUCCGGAUAACCAACAUGGACUAUCCGGAUAUGAUUGUCCGGAUCAUUAACUAAAGUAAAGCAAAUCUUAUACUGAUUCGAUGCCCAGCCGGGUCUUUUAAUCAAAAACAUUUAUAAAACCUAUGACCUUAUACUGGUGUAGCAAAGCUACUAUAGUAUAGUAGUUCUAGGGUCGAACUCAGGGAUGGGUUUUCACUCUAUCAAUGACAGACUCUAAAUUAGAAAUUGAUUCUGAUGAUUUCCUUUAGCACAAACUUGAAAUUUAAAAGAAAAUAAAAUUGUUUUGAAAGUGAUGAUUUAAACUAAACUCACAUAGAACUAAGUAAAAAGUGUAAGAAAGAAAGUCUCCCGGAGCUGAAGGUUGCUAGGUUCAAGUGCCAGAUGCAAAGUGGAAAAUUUCGGAUUUUUCUCCUCACAUUGGGGAUUUAACCUAUAGUUAUUUCCUGAACCGGUAUAGGUUUGACAAUGAAGUUUUAAUCCAUAAAAAGUCACUAGAGAUGGUAGUCAAGGUCCAUUAAUGGCUUAAGACACUAUGGGCUAUCACCUUGAAUCACUUUCCAAUGGCUCGUACAUGAUAACUAAUGGACUGAUAUGGAUCUAGUAAUAAGCAUCCACAGAGACCUUAAACUUACCAUGUAUUGGCCAGUCAAAGUGAUUCAAAGGAAUUUAAGGCAAAACCUUGGCUUUAUAAACCAUNNNNNNNNNNNNNNNNNNNNNNNNNNNNNNNNNNNNNNNNNNNNNNNNNNNNNNNNNNNNNNNNNNNNNNNNNNNNNNNNNNNNNNNNNNNNNNNNNNNNNNNNNNNNNNNNNNNNNNNNNNNNNNNNNNNNNNNNNNNNNNNNNNNNNNNNNNNNNNNNNNNNNNNNNNNNNNNNNNNNNNNNNNNNNNNNNNNNNNNNNNNNNNNNNNNNNNNNNNNNNNNNNNNNNNNNNNNNNNNNNNNNNNNNNNNNNNNNNNNNNNNNNNNNNNNNNNNNNNNNNNNNNNNNNNNNNNNNNNNNNNNNNNNNNNNNNNNNNNNNNNNNNNNNNNNNNNNNNNNNNNNNNNNNNNNNNNNNNNNNNNNNNNNNNNNNNNNNNNNNNNNNNNNNNNNNNNNNNNNNNNNNNNNNNNNNNNNNNNNNNNNNNNNNNNNNNNNNNNNNNNNNNNNNNNNNNNNNNNNNNNNNNNNNNNNNNNNNNNNNNNNNNNNNNNNNNNNNNNNNNNNNNNNNNUGUUAAUGGGGUUAAAAGGUAAUAAUUACUACUCAAGGGUGUUUAAAAGAGCUAAUUACAAGCUACAAAAUAGCAUGUUUUGAGUAGUAAUCAUACACGCUAUCACAACAACCAACCAUGGCCCACGUCCCAUCACCUGCAGAGUGAAAGGACGGGUUGAGGUGACAACAAGUCACUUCCCACGAUCGUUCUACAUGAUCACUUUCUACAAUCUCUGAUAGCCGCAUCACCUACCACGGUUUCUGACAGCCGCCCGUAGGGUGGUGAUGACCCUGCUUCCAUCUAAAUAUCAUCAUGACAACAUGAAAUAUCUCCCCACCAUUAAUGAGAGGAACAGUACUCCUGGCACUAUAUAUAAACCUUCACACGAAGAGGAAGGUAAUCGCCUGAUACCUAGAAAAAGGCCAACUGAUUUAUAUCUCCCUCUCUAACCAUGGCUAACAAAAUCAUCGGAGGGUGCGUCCGGACACCCUGUCCGGAUGCCUUUUGCAGGUAUAACGACUGAAUCAAGAACCUAUUUUGGUUGAGGUCGCGCAUCCAUCCAUUUGGCAACUACGUGGAACACCAGGAGCGCGAGGUAUCAACAUAAGUUUUUGCCUCUUCAUGUUGUCGUGACUUGCAAAUCCACUCCAUGUGUCCAAUCUAACCAUAUUUCUUGCACUUGACAUCAGGCCUCCACCAACACUUCCUUUGUGGGUGAUUUGUCUUUUUGCAGUGUAGGCAAGGUGGAUAGGUUCCAUCCUUGUUUUUGUUGUUGUUGUCAGUCUUGUUGAUCUUCUUCUUAUUGUUGUUUUUCUUGUUUUUGCCUCAUCUUGAAUUUUAUGCCUUUGCUUGAAGAGCACCCUCCAUCGAUUCUUCUUUUCUUAUCAUUCUCCUUUGCUCUUGUGCCUGCAAUGCAUUCACCAAUUCUACCAAGGAUAUGCUUGACAAAUCCUGCAUAUAUACUUGAGUGUUGCAUUUACAACACACUGAAAGAGAAGUUCACCUAUAUCAGAAACUGCCACACGCACAUAGAGAUCAUGGCCGCCAUCCAAAUACGCCUCCUGAAUGUCAUUAAGAUUUUCCUCCCAAAUCAUACUGAUGGCGGUGUCUGCACGAGUCUCGGCUUCAACAUAGGCAUAAGCCUGGCAGUUGUUACAGUCUCUGUUGCAGUGAUUUUCGCAUUCUUUUUCAUUUGUAGUACUGUUGAACUGUGUGUCUGAUUUUUUCACUCUCAUCAUCUCUAGCCUCAAAAAAGUGUCAUUCUUGCUGCACAGGGGUGAAAUUCUUCUACAGCCCCCCGAAAAAUCUCCACCAUUCCACUUUGCUGGAAAUUUUGGUUGGAAUCCUGGCAAACACCUGCACAAAAUCCUAUUUCUAGUACUGCAGCUGCCAAAACUUCCACAGGGAUUAUUCCCAUCGCAUCUGUCUUUUGGUUCCUUCAAAAGCGAAUACCAAGCCCGUCUGAUUACGGAUCUGUAGAUACUCUAUCUGGCCGGAAAAUUUCAUCACCAACCUCCUAUAAUAAAAAGAGGUUGUUGGUUGGCUACUAUUAAUGCUGGAAUUUGAUAACAUUUUGGAUAAUUCAGAAUACAUCUUAUGGUCCCAACCGGAUGUAAUGAAAUCAUCUGAUAUCCCACUCUUCCAGUAUGUAUUAGGCCCAUUCUGGAUGAUGUACAGGUUCUGUGCUACUUGAUCUUUCCUGAAAGUGAAGUUCCCCGAACCCGGGUCACUGCUGCUUUUCCAUGAAGUCAACACCAAGUUGCCAUCCAUCUUCAUACCUGGAAGAAAAGUAUCAGUUGCGUUUCCAAAGCUUUGCCACAGACUUGUUGGCAGCUGAUCAUUCUUCAGAACCAGGUUCCCGGAAUCUAUGAGCUGCGCUAGCUACCUUUUCUGUAGAUGACGAUUUCUGGAGAGGGGUUGACCAGAAAGGUCUCCCUCUUCCAUUCGAAUUCAACACGAGGUUACCAUCUUGAAUGGACAAAUCUCCAGUGGAAUCAGGCAGUGGGUCGUUUCUAUUGGCUACCCACACAACGGUUUUCGUCUCCAACCUGUAAUACCAUAUACCAACAUAUCUUUGGUGACUAGACUCCCAUUAGGGGUGAAGAACCCCAAUUCAAAUGUCUUACCAGCAGACAAGAGAGUUAUCACCAUCACCAUCACUGAUCGGAUCAUUCUGCCUUAUGGUAUCUCUUGCUGCACAUGUUUGAUAACAACACAACAAUGUUGGGUACAAGAUGAAGAUGGUAGAUACCAUGUGAAANGUUGUUGACCAUNNNNNNNNNNNNNNNNNNNNNNNNNNNNNNNNNNNNNNNNNNNNNNNNNNNNNNNNNNNNNNNNNNNNNNNNNNNNNNNNNNNNNNNNNNNNNNNNNNNNNNNNNNNNNNNNNNNNNNNNNNNNNNNNNNNNNNNNNNNNNNNNNNNNNNNNNNNNNNNNNNNNNNNNNNNNNNNNNNNNNNNNNNNNNNNNNNNNNNNNNNNNNNNNNNNNNNNNNNNNNNNNNNNNNNNNNNNNNNNNNNNNNNNNNNNNNNUCUUAAAAUCUUGACUAAACACAAAGUCAUAGUUUAAAAUUUUAUCGAAUGCCUCUAAUACUUUAAAUCAAGUGAAACGUGAAUGAAAUUAACAAAUAAGAAGAAUAAGAAAUAUAGUUUCACACUUAAGUAACAACUAAUACUAUAGAGAAAUGACCACAAGUUGGAAAGUCUUGACCAAUUUGAAAAAUCAUUUGAUGUAGUUGAAAUAAUUGAAUUUUGGAUAAAAUUCAUAACUGUCUCAACAUUAUUUUUUUUCCCUUUUUAUUUUUAUUGUUUGAAUAUUCAAGAGUUAAAACCAUUCCAAUGCUCCUUUUUGCCAUGUAUAAUUAAACUGAACCAACAAUUAGGAUAAGCACGAAAAAGAAGGAACCGAGAAGAAGAUAUCAACAAUAUUAAUCGGUUUUAUUAUGGGACAACUCAUGAUGUUCAUAUUGAUCUAUUAUGCGCCUUUGCAUCUAGCAUUAGCUAGACUCAUACUGUCCUAGCUCUACUAUAUCUUUUAUUUCAUUUCGAUCUUCUGAAACAAUCACAAACACUUUUCAUUAUUAUUAUUAUUAUGAAUCAAAUGGGACAUAAAUGAAAUUAACAAAUGAGAAGAGUGAAAAAGGUAAUUAACAAAAUUUCAAGCUCAUCGUUGCUAAAUAUUUUAUAAAUUAAAAUUGCCCAAGAAACGAGCCUUUAAAAGUGUACCUUUAUUUAAAAAUAAAUAAAGGUAAAUUAAAGUAUUGACUUAGUACAUAAAUAUCAACACGAUUCCAAUCCAACGCAUUUUUUUGUGGGUUUUGGUUGAAUAUAAUUCUAUUUAUAUCAAAUCCGUAUCAACUUGUGUAAUAUAUUUUACUAAUAGGUUAUUUUUAAAUCAACAUACAUAACACGAAUUUGACUCAAGUUAACCUUUAUAUUUAAUAAUCAUACCAAUUAACCUAAUUAUAAUUCUAACCGUUUAAUUAAUAUUUGAUUCAUUUUAAAUUUAUUUUUGAACAAAUAGUUAAUUAAAUUAUAACUAUAUUAACUUGUAAGAUUAAUUAUAUAAAUUUAUACAAAACUUAACUCAAUUAAAAAUUUGAUUUAAAUGAGUUAAAUAAAUUACAAAACAUGUUAUUUGUUUAAUAAUUACAUUGUAUUUAGGUUUAUGCUUUUUACUUUAUUAAUAUCAUUAUUAUGAUUGAGUCAACCUAUUUAGUAGAAUGUUUUAGUCUUGAUAUCACACAAAUUGUCAUCCCUAUCUCUAAUCUUGUCAAACAAAUAGUUUGAAGGACAUAUUUUUUUAACUAAAGAAAAUUAUUACCUUACAUAGAGUUUUAUUAAAAAAAAAAAAAAAAAAAGCCAAAUAAAAAAAUGUAAUUAAAAAUAAUUAGAAAUUUAUGCAUUUUCAAAUUAUUUAAUAAAUUUAAAGAAGUGAAAUGGAUUUAAAUUGACUUAUAAAAAUAAGUUAUCAACUUCAAUUUUUUUUUCUUUCUAAUUUUUUUUUAAAUUUUUUUCCCUCACAUUUUUUUUCAUAGUUAUAGGAAACCAAACAUAACCUAAUUAGGAUCCUACUAUCAUGUUUUUUUAUUCCCAAAAGUUUUUGGGUCUAACCUUUUUCUAAACUUAUUUCAAAGGGCAUCUAUAACACAAGAUAUUAAGUGUGCUUGCUCGACAUGUAGUCUUUCAUUGAUUUCCUUUUCGAUUAAAAACUUUUAGACAAGUCAGAUAUAUAGUUUUUGCUUUCUUAACAGAAACCAAAGUCUAAGGUGGUAUUUGUUUUUUUACUUAAUUCUAAAUAGAACCUUAAUACUUAAUAGUAUUAAAUAUUAGGUUGUUUGUUUUUGUAGUAUUUUAUUUUUAUUAAGUAUUAAAAAGUAAAAAAAAUCAUUGUGUUAUUUUUUCUAUUUAGAAAAAGCCACAUAUUUUGGCUUUUUCUAUUUAGUAAAAAGUUUAUAAUAAGUAAUGAAAAAGUAAAAAAACAAACAACCUAAAUUCUAAAACUAAAUGGUUUUCAGCAAAAAGCCAAAAAAACAAACACCACCUAAGUCUUUGCACAAAAUCCUAAUCAAAGAGAUCUUUUAGAAAUCUUAUUGGAAGAGAAUUUAAAACCAGAGUGGUGACAAAAGCACACGAACAAAUAAAACUGGACAAAGAAAUUAAGCAUCUCGAUGAGUUGAUAAAUAUCUUUGUCAAUACUUCUACUUGAGAGAGAAAUACAUUAGAUUUCUACACUUUUGAAUAGUUGCCUUGAGUGACUCCAAUUAUUGGAAGCCAAGGUCAAGGUCGUUGAAGUUUGUCCAUUUUUUCCCCUUGGUCCCACAUUAUUUGCUUCUCCUUAAUUUCCUCCGGUUUGGGAAAAGGACAUUCACACGGUUUGGUGUAGGAACCACCCUUUCCUUUAGUAUCCAUGAUUACUUUUCUACCCAAUAAUGAGGAAAACAUUUAUGAAGGCCCCAUGUGAGGACUAUUAUUGGUGACUCUAGAAAUAGAGCUAUUCAAUUUCCCUCAUAAAUAGUGUAACAUCCAAAAUAAACUUUAGAGACAAAAUAGUAAAUUAUUAAUUAAUUAAACUCAUUAAAAAUAAACGAGUCAUUUUACAAUUAAAAAUCGUAUCAAUUAGAUUUUCAGUUUAUCUUCUUUAUUUAGAAAACUUUAUUAACAAAAAAUCAAAGAAUUGAAGAACGUAAGGUUAAAGAUUUGGAAGUCUAUAGUUUGAAGUUCAAUUAUUUUUUUUCAAGUAAGAUUCUAACUCUAGAUUAAUAUAUUAUAUUCAUUAGUUAGUUUUGACUGUGUUAGAUAUUUUUAGAAAAUUUUAAUUUAGAUUAUAAUUAGUUUAUUUAAUUUAUUUUAAGAUAUAAAAAAUUGAAAUUAUGAAUGUUGUUUCAUUGAUGAAAAUAGAGAAAUUCAAAAUUUUUUUAGAUGAAUAAAUCUAAACAAUGAAAUUUAAAAAAAUUAAAUGAUUAAAUAAGUAUAUGAUUAUAUGUGGCUUAAGGGAUUGAAAAAUAAUAAAAAGAAGAAUAGCAUGUUUUUGGAUUUUGGAUUUGAGGAACUUUUUAAUAAUAAAAAUAAUUAAGGUUUAUGAUUAAUAAGAAUAAUGAUAAUAAUGAUAUUAAUAAUAAUAAGAAGAAGAAUUGUGUGAAGAAUAAUUUCAUUUUCAACGUAGAAAUGUGAUUGUCAAGGCCUCAGUGAAGAGAACGGUAACGGACCCUGCUGUAAACGACGAUGGGUCACGAGCAAAUGGUGAAAUUGCGGAUGAACCCCAUAACUGUAAAGUGCUUUUGACGCGUAAUGGGUUCCACCACUACCAUUAUUGGGGAAUCUUUCUGGUGGAUGAAAAGCCGCUUUUGGGUUCACGGUUGACUCAUUAAAUCUCCUACCUAUCUCUGAGUUUGUCAACUGAGACCACCGAGUUUUAUUUAUUUAUUUAUUUUUUUCUUUUCCUCGGUUCAAUUUUUGUUUCCAAUACGAGGAAAAGGGCUUUCAAGUCUGACACGUGGAAAGUCAGUGGGCUUCAUAAUUUUGUUACAUUUUUNNNNNNNNNNNNNNNNNNNNNNNNNNNNNNNNNNNNNNNNNNNNNNNNNNNNNNNNNNNNNNNNNNNNNNNNNNNNNNNNNNNNNNNNNNNNNNNNNNNNGGGGUUGCUGCUGCUGUAACGCACUCUCAAUAUAUCAUAAUAAAUAAAUAAAGAUUAUUAAAAAAAAAAAAAAAACCCUCCCCAUUGUAUCUAGGUUGACAUCUUAUUAUGGGAAAAGAAAGAAAGGAAAAAAAAGCAAUGCAGAAUUAAAUUAAAAAAAAAUCCAAAAAAUUAAAAGUGAAAUGGAAAUUCUGCCCUCCCUAAAAAUAUAAAUUUAGUUUUAAUUCUUUUUUUAAUUAAAAAAACAAUAAUGAUAAUUAAACAUUAUUAAUAAAAAAUAAUACUUACCUUUGAGUAUUAAUGAUAUAUUAAGAUUUAAUUAAAAUUUAAAAAUAUAUUUUAUGUUAAUACCUAUUUCUUCCCUUUUUAUCCUAUCUUUAUCUUUUUUUUAGUGGAACCAUUGUUCCAAUUUAUUUUGCAUUAAUUCAAAUUAUAUGAGCUUUUUUGUUUUAUAAUAAACCCUUCAAUGAAAUUGACUUUUUAAAAUUUUGUAUUUGAUGGUUUAUAAGCUUUAAUUUAAUGGUGGGUUAUCUAUAGUUUUAAUCUUAAUAUUUAAAAAAAAAAUAUUUUUUAAAUUUGUGACAUUUAAUUAAAUAAUAAAUUUUGCUUUCUUUAGUUUUUGAUGAUUUACUCUUAUUGAAUUGUUUAUAUGAAGUGAUAGCUUAUGUUUUAUUUUAAUUAUAAAGCUGAUGCACCUUAAUAAAAUAUUUUGACUAUAAAUAAUAUCGGUAAAGAUCUCUACACAUAUUGUGUAAUAUAUUUGAUGAAGACCUCUACAUAUAUUGUCUACUUUUGAGUCCAUUAGCUUUUAUAUUCCUACUUAUAACAUUGUUUACAUAUUCCAAAUAGCUAAUGGGUGGUCAUCCUCAUGUUUUCAAUUAGGAAUUAGUUUUAAUAUCACUUAACCCAACUCAUGUAACCUUAUUUUCUUUAAACCCAUUAAUCCUCGCAACUUUAAACCCUAACAACAAAUGGGCCACCCUUAAAGUACUAAAAAUUUCUUAUUCAAAUGAUAUGAAAUAUUAUAUUCGAUCAUUUAUAUAGACACAUUGUUCUCAUCAUGACCCAUAGGGUUUAUGGAUAGUCAAAACCCUACAUAUUUCUUAUUAGGGAUUAGCACAACCUACUAGACUUCUUGGCUUUACGUACUAAAUGCAUCACUCUUAUAAGUAUUACAAAUUCUCAUAUGAGAUUUUGAAAAAGGGAAAAGUGAGUUUUUCCUCACUAAUUUAAAGAUAUAUAGAAAAAAAAACCUCAAAUUUUAAUAUAAGUUUUAUCUUUAUUAAUUUAAAAAUAUUUUAAAAUAUAUACACUUUUACAUAAAUAAGAUAAUUAUUUUCUAAAAUAACACUUUACUUGAUAAUAUUAAAUAAAAUUAUCAAAAAAUAUUUAUCAUUUUAAGUUAAUAAAAGUACAUUACAAACAAAUAUAUUAUAAAUUUUUAUUAUAUAAUAUAAGGUACAAAUCAAUAUUCCUCAAGUGAUAAAUAAAUUUUUUGCUAAUUCUCUAGCUAAUAAUAAUUUUAUAUUUUAUAUUAUAUAAAUCCCUUCAUCUUCUUACCUUUUUUUAAAAAAAUAAAAUUGAAUAAAAUUUUUGUUGAUUUACAUCAACAAUAAAAUAAGAAACUUUAAAAAAAAAAAAACCUAAAAGUUAAAAAUAUAAAAAUAAAAUAUUGACUUUCACUUCACGUACACUAGUUAAAAAUCUAGAUAUAAAAAAAAAAUACAAUGGAAGUCAAUAUUUUAUUUUAUUUUAUUUUAAAUUUUUAAAUAUUUUGGUUUUAAUUGCCUUUAAUUUUUAAGUAUUUUAGUUUUAAUUGUAUUUUUAAAAAUUUAAAUUUCUUAUUUUAUUGUUCCUAAGAUGUUUGUUUCUAGAGAGAGAAAAAAAAUCUUAAAUCAAGUCUCACAGUUAACAGAACAAAAACAAAACUAAAAGAAGAAUUAGUUUUUUUCAAUUAAAUAUUUAUGUAUGUACUUGUUAAUUGGAAUUAUUGAUAUAGUAAGUGCAAGUAAAAGGUUAUUUCAAAAAAUAAUUAUAUGACUUAAAAAAGUGUAUGUAUUUUAAAAUAUUUUUAAAUGGAAGAAGAUAAAAUUGAUUUAUAAAAUUUAGGGUUCUUUUUUCUAUAUUUUUUUCAAACUAGUGAGUUAUAACCCACUUUUCCCCAAUCAUCACAUUUACACCGAUUAAAAUAAUGAUAUAAAUAACAUUUUUUUUUCUUAACUUUCAUGUUUUAUUAAGAUAUUAUGUUUGGUACCUAAAAAGAAUGACAAAGAAAAUAAUUUUCUUACAUUUGGAUGUAAUAGAAAAAGAAAAAUAGUAAGGAAAUGAUGAGAGAAAAUUUAAAAGAUUUUCUUUUCCAUUUUCAUUAGAUAAAAGCAUGAAAAUUUUAGGAAAAAAAAAAUAUACUACUCAAUAAUUCAAUUUUCUAGAAACCAAAUAUAGUCUAAUAUUACUCUACGUUCAAAGUCAAUUUUCAAUGAUGAAUUCUCCUCUUACAGUGCUUCUUCUUAACUUGAUUGUGACAAGUGUUGUCAUAUGAAUUUUCUUCCCUCAAUCUAUCUACGGAGAAAUGUAAUUUAAAAAAAAAAAAGUACUCCUAAUCGAAUAAUGAGUAAUCACCAGAGACUUUGGAGUGUAGCAUGCAUCCUAUUCUUUUAAUUCUUGUCUCUCAAACCAGUCUUAACAUUUUUAUUCAUUGAAUUAAAUUAUUAAAUAUACAAAUUAUUGACUGGUGUCUAAGUUUUUUCUUUCUUCAAUUUUUAGCUUUAAGUUCCCAAAUGAAAAAAAAAAAAAAAUUGUCAAGAUCUUGAUUAGAAAAACCUAUUGUUUAAUUGGAAAUAAAGUGGACUCAGUCUCCUUUCUUGUUGAUACAUUGCUUUCAUCUCUUUUCCUUCUGGCUAGCUACUAUGCUUCCCGCUCUCUUCCAAAGCCUAAAAGAAGGAUAACAUUUUGUUUGUUCCCCCGCCCCCCCUAUGAAUACAUGUGACUAGCUAUGAUCAUGAUGAUGUUCAUUUUUUAAAACAAAGAAAAAUGAAAAAUAUGAGCAUCAACCAAUAAAUUUUAGUACCCUUUCUCCAACUUGGAGAAGUUCCAAAUGGGUAAUUUUUUUAUAUUUUUGUUAUAAUUUUUAUGUUUUUUAUUUUAAAUAAACAAGACAAUCCAUUUUUCUUCUGAACAUUUUUUCUUUUGCCCUUUAGCCCUAAUGGCAGUCCACUUCAAAUAUUUUUGUGCCCAAAGGGUCAAAACUAAGGAAAGAUUCACUUCAAGAAAAAAUUAGGAGAAUUAAAAAUCAAAGCCCAAAAAGGGUUCCAGCAAGUGGAUGAUUUUUCUCAGUCAACUACUGCAAUUUGAGUCUUCCUUCCUCUAUUUCCUAUUUUAUUUCCCAUAGGUAGGUUAGGCACAUUGACAUCUUUUUAUCCAUUUUUGUUUGCUUUUGUGCUUUUUUGGGAAAUCAUAAUCUGAUGUAGAUCCUGAUGGAACAGGUUUUUAUAGAAAAAUCAACAAGGGCUUUUUUUUUUACUUUUAGUUAGAUUCUGUUAUCUCAUUGGUAUGGCAUGGAAGAAUCUAUCCUUCACUGAAAAUUGAGAGGAAAAAAAAUAGAUGUUUAUUUACUUUUGUAUUAUAUCUCCUUUACACAUGUCACAAUCCCAUUUGCCUUAAUUUGUAGGCAUGACAUCCAAAAAUACUUUUCAAUACCAUAAUUUGAUGGAAAAAAUAGGUUUUGACUCAUUAGUACGAAAAUUUAUGAAAAAAAUACUUUAAUUUUUUUAAAUCAAUAUUAUCUUCAUUUAUUUCAAAAUCAACAACCCUUUUUCUUAUCUUUUAGGAAAAUUCUAUAUUACGUCAUGGGUAUGACAUGGAUGAAUUGACCAUUCAAUGAAAAUUAAGGGGGAAAAAUAGAUGUUUAUUUAUUUUUGUGCUAUAGCUCCUUUACAUAUGUCACAAUCCCAUUUAUAUUAAUUUGUUGGCAUGGCAUCCAAAAAUAAUUUUUGAUACCAUAAUUUAAUGAGAAAAUAAGUUUUGAUUCACUAAUAUGAAAUAUAUAGAUAAAAAAAAAUCUUAAUUUUUCAAAAUCAAUAUUAUCUUCAUUUAUUUAAAAAUCAACAAGGGGUUUUUUUUAUUUAAUUUAUAGGAAUAUUCUAUGUUACCUCAUUGGUAUGGCAUGGAAGAAUUGACCAUUCAUUGAAAAUUAAGGGAAAAAAUAGAUAUUUAUUUAUUUUUGUAUUAUAGCUCCUUCACACGUCACAAACCUAUCUAUGUUAGCAGCACAUGUGAUGCUUGCAAAUAAACACAAAUAGGAGAAGGUGCAGAGUUAGCAUCACAUGUUCAUGUAGUACAAUAUGAUUGGUUCUUUCUCUUUCCUCCAUAAAAUUCUCUUAUAUAGUUGACUGGUUCUUUCUCAUAUAUGGUUGUAGAUAUGAUUUGAUCAAACCGCAUUAAAACCCGGGUAACUUAGUUUGCUUUAUUUAUGUUAUUCUGUUCAAUCUGGCAUUAUAGUUUUUUAUCUUGCAAGGAUUCCAUUGAAAAACAUAACUGAAAGGGCUUUUAAGAUUUGGAGUAUAAAUAUAGUUUCCAAUAUCUUCCAAUAUAUGUUGUGGGCUCAGAAAGAAGUCCUCCCAAUUGUACUGAAAAAUCAGUGCAUUUAUGCUGCAAUUUGUUAAUAUAGUUCAGUCAGAAACAGAGCAGAUAAACAGAUAUAACAACAAAAUCCUGGGAAUUGGACAAUUUAUUAGCAGCCUUCACCAUGUACAGGAUCCCAUAGAGACGUCCAAAACAGAGCAUCAAAUGGGAACUCCUCCUGGACUAUCGACCUUCUUCUAUGGUGGCUAGGAUUUCACUGUUCCAGGAUACUUCAGGUUUGCUAGAAGAAGAAGCUGUCCUAGAAAGGUCUCUUUUUAGGACAAAAGCCGGUUGUUUAGGAACCGGCAUUGUUGCAAUGUCACUGCUGAGCAUUACAACUGCAACUGCCAUGGUGGGACGGUCACUUGGGUCUUCUUGCACACACAACAGCCCAACAUUCACACACCUCAAAAAUUCUUUUGUGUUGCAUGUUUCGCAUAGUGUCUGGUCCAUCAGCUCCAACACCUUGUCUUCUUUCAAUAGCUUCCAUGCCUGGGACAGUUUGAGAAUAGAAAGUUAAGUAUGGUAUGGUAUAUCAUUGAGAACGACUAAAAGAUCAAGGCAAAUGAGAGAUUCAAAGCCCUCACUUGACCCAGAAGGCUCAGUGUUUGGUCAGACUGAUAAAAGCCAGUGUUCCUCUUCCCACUGAUGAUCUCAAGCACCAUAACACCAAAGCUAAAGACAUCAGACUUCUCUGAGAAAAACCCAUCCAAUGCAUACUCUGGAGACAUAUAGCCACUGCAUUGAACCAGUUAAAAGCACUACUCUGUUAAUUGGGGAUGCGAUCAUGCAACUGCUUGCUUUUUUCUGUACACAAUAUGCAAUACUUACUAAGUUCCAACUACUCUGUUUGUGCUUGCCUCUACUUGCUUACUGUCAAAAAUCCUCGCCAAGCCAAAGUCUGAAAUUUUGGGAUUCAUCUCAUCAUCAAGUAGAAUGUUGCUUGUUUUCAAGUCCCUAUGAAUAAUCUUCAAUCUUGAAUCUUGGUGAAGAUACAGCAGCCCUCUAGCAAUUCCCAUAAUGAUGUCAAACCGCUUCUCCCAGUUCAGUAACAUGCAUAGGGUUCGAUCUUGCAAGGUUCCCAUUGGAAAGCAUUACUUCAGAUAUGUAUACAAGAAUGUAUAUGUUACAUGAAAAAGAAAAGGGCUUUAAGGCAGGUUUAGAGACAAACCAAAUAUGAAGGAAUCUAAGCUUUUGUUGGCCAUAUAUUCAUAGAGUAAAAUCUUCUCAUCACCUUCAACACAAUAGCCCAAAAGUCUAACCAGAUUCCGAUGCUGAAGUUUGGCAAUUAAAACAACCUCAUUCUUAAAUUCCUGUAGGCCUUGUCCUGAAGCUCUAGAGAGUCUCUUAACUGCAAUUUCUUGCCCCUCUGGAAACUUGCCCUGGAAGCCACAGUGCAUAUGCAUUGGGCAUAUGUUAGAACUUGGUGACUUGAAUUCUAUUUGGUUCGACUCCAGAAGCUCGCGAUGUGAUAUAGGUAGUAAAGCUAAAAUUAUGAAUUUUUUUUUGGGUUUGUGGUAGUAACAGAGGGAUCGGACCUAUUACUCUUUCAUGUAUAUACAUACAUAUAUAUACAUACAUAUAUAUAUAUAUAUAUAUAUAUAUAUAUAUAUAUAUAUAUAUAUAUGUAUGCAUGCGAUGAUGUAUAGUUUUCAGGGUUAUGAUGAUUAUGUUUUUGCUAUAGGGGUCCGUAUCUCUUUCCUCUUGUACUAAUUUUUGAUAUAAUAAAAUUUCUUCUCCUCGUGGUCUUUCCUAUCUAGGGUUUUCCAUACAAAUUUAUGUGUUCUUAUCCUGUUUUAUUUCUUAUUGCAUAUUCUCAUUAUUUUGUAACAGCAUAGAUGAUGAUAAACUAGUUGAAAAUGAGAGGAACAUGGAAAUUAAGAACAAUUACCUUGUAAACUGGCCCAAAACCCCCUUGUCCAAGCUUAUUUGCAUCUGAAAAGUUAUUUGUAGCAGCCAGUAUGUCUUCUAAGUCGAAAAACGGUACAUCAAUGCCUUUCUUAUCCUCUUCUUUGAAUUGCUCCGAGUCUAUUGAGUGUUUCACACGACUCUCACUAUCAUAUAAGUGAAGCACUUGAUUUGCUCUGUUCUCUGAACUCAAAAAAAACAGAAAAUAUUGUAUACAAGACCCUGAAAUAUUCUCAAUUCAGCCAAGCACAAGUCGAAAAGAAAAGACCAGAAGUUAUAGGCUAGUGCAUAUGGCACAAAGAUUACCUUUCCUUUUGGUGAUGGUUCUUUUGCGCAAAUAAGCAAUAUAACCAAUGAUGCCUAAAACCGCAACUAGAACAACAGCAAUUGUUAUGCCUACCACAACCACUGGAGAUGACCACGAUGACUUCUGAUCAGCAGGUUUGACACCUGAAACAAAGAAGGAACUGAAUUGAACUUCUCUCACCUACCCAGAAGGCAAAUUUAGUAAGAUACUUGGUGAACAGAAUCCUCACCUUGUGUACAAUUUAAACUUGAGCUAUUCCAUUUGAAGUUUUCAUUGCAAAAGCACCUACUCAUUCCAUCUCGCGUUCCGCAGAUUGAAUUUGGCCAGUCUUUGCAAUCUGCUGAUGAGGUACACGCCGGCUCCGAUGGUGGAUCCCAACUGAUCUCUACUUCAAUACUAUUUUUCAAUGACAUCUCAGAGCCAAAAUGGUCAGUUCCAACCUCUUUGCACGCAUCAGUUAUGCGAAAAGGUGGGUCUAGUGGCGGAAUUAAACUUCGAGAACUGCAAUCUGCUUCUUUCAGUUGGAUUACAAAUCUUAAUGUCUCUGGGUUAAUGCUAGUUACUCGGUAGGCACCACCAGGUACCUUGAACUGAACCUGGCCUGUGGUACUGUUACACUCAAAAUUGAAGUACAUGGGAUCACCACACUUUGAUCCAGUGCUUAGAGGAUAAGGAAUCAUGCUUGAACCACAAGUUUCACAAUUCCUUACUGUUGGUUCUGCAAAGACAGUAGAAUACCAUGUGGGCAUUUCAGUUACAAAUGGAUUAAUGCUUGUUUUUUCAAAGAAAAAAUAAAAUAAAAAUUGAAAGGGACAUACUUAUAUCUGAAAUGGCCACACGAACGGAGAGGUUGUGGGCAUCAAAGGCAUACUCCUCCUGAAGAUCAGUAAGGUCUUCCGUCCAAAUCAAGCAUUUUAGGGCAUCAGUAUCACCUCUUUCUUGUUUGAUAUAAGUUUCAGCAUAAGCUUGACAUUGGCAUUUUUCAAGGCAAGCCUUUCUGCAAGGAUCACUAUCAUUUGGAUCUGCGUCAAUCUGAGAGUCUGGCUUUCUCACUUUCAUCAUCUUUAAGCUCAGGAACAUGUCUUUACUAGAAUUCUCCUCGCAUAUGGGAGACUUUCUGGUACACCCACUUGAAAAGUCUUCAGUUUUCCACUUAUCCGGCGAGGCGGGUUUGAACCCAGGUAAACAUUUGCACAUCAAAGGAUUUUUAGUGUUACAACUACCGAAUUUCCCACAAGCUUUUGACACACUGCAUCGAUCUCGAGGUGCCCACCAGUCUGGAGAUGAUGUAUUCGGAUUCAGAUAGUACUGGAUUUCCCCUGAAGAAUUCAUCACCAACCGCGUGGUAUUCUUAUACCUGCGGGACAGUAUUUCAAGGGUUCCAUUGAAGAAUUUUAUAUAGCUGGUUGGCUUACCAUUCUUGCUGAGGUUGGAUAACAAGCUGAGUAUUGCAUCUGGAAUUUCAUCAGGCGUUCCUUUCGAGUCCUCACUGCUCCAAUAUGGGACAAUUGAACUUUCCCAUAUGUUAUAAUGAUCCUUAUUGUCUUGAUCUAUCUUGAAAGUAUAGUUUCCAGGUGCCGGGUCAACAGAACUCAGCCAUGAAGUCAAUGUUAAGGUUUCAUCCAUCUUCAUCCCCGGAAGAAAAGUAUCUGUAGGAUUAUGGAAGCUCUCCCAAAGAAUCUUCCCCGAUCUGUUGUAGCUCAAAACAAGGUUCCCAGAGUCCAUGAGCUUCACCACCCUCCCUGUAGAUAAAGAUGUUUCAAUAUCAGAAUGCCAGUGAACUGUCCCAUUUGCAUCCAAUACCUUGAGCUGACCAUCUUCUUUAAUGGCAAAAACUCCAGAGGGGGUGUCAGAAAGGGGAAGGGGGUUCUUUCGGUUGGCCACCCAUACAACUCUUUGUGGUUUCGACCUGUAAUACCAUAUGCCCACGAAUCUUCCAAUCUUGGAGCUUCCACCUGGAUUAAAGAAGCCAAGUUCAAAAGUUUUGCCUGCAGAAACAACAGUUUCUCCAUCAUUACUAAGCCAGUCCUCCGGUGUGAUGGUAUCUCUAGCAGAGCAAUACAGGACAGAACACAAGACGAAAAAGAUGGUAGAUAGCAUGUGAGUUGCAGAGACAGGAACCAUGAAUUUUCUUCCUUAUCAUUUUGCCUCUUUUUAGAGCUGUGUCCUCAAAUCUAUAGUUUUUAGUGGAGACUUUUCCUCUUGACCCUGAGUGGAGUAAAGUCACAUCAAUACUGUCUGUCAUCUUUGUCUUCCUCCCGCAAACUAAAUAACGGUUGUCCUUUUGUACCCACUAUUUAUUUUGGACCUACCUACCCUCAUUUCACUCCAGUAAUAAAAUGAAAUGUGUGAAUUGCAUGUCAUUAAAUAAAAACAAAAACACGUAUCUAAUCGGUAUUAUACUGAUUCAGUACUGUAGAAUUUUCUCAAAAACAAAAACAAAAACAUAUACCUAAUCGAAUGAUUAAUCAUUGGAGUGUAGAAUGCAAAGCUUUUUCUUUCUUCAUUUUAAUGAGACAAUGAAUAAAAAUAAGGUGGACCAUGUCUCCUUUCCAACGCACACCUUUCAUCUUUUCUCUUUAUCCCAACAUGUUUCUCAUUCCACUCCACUUUUUUCUUUGUAUGUAUAGUUUAUCUCUUUUAAGAAAUCAAGUAUGAGCAUCAACUGAUAAAUUUUUCUAUACUUUCUUCGACUUGGAGGAGCUUCAUAAUGGGAUAAACAAUCAAGAGUCUGUUUUCACAAUGUUUUUAAAAAGGGUAUUUGAGAUAACUUAAAUGUUUUUGAGGCAAAAUUUUAUUAAGAAUUCAAAUAUAAAAACUAAUUUUCUUUGUUUAUGCAUGUACGAUAUAAAAGUUUUUAAAGUGCUAUUCUCUAUUUUUUCAAUUGUCACUCAAUGAAUUCUAAAAAAAAAAAACAAAACUAAAAUACCUUAAAAUAUUUCUAAAAAAUAAUUCAUUUUCAAAACAAAUUCCCAAUAAAAAAAAAAUUGUGUUUUCUAUCAUAAUUUUUUGAAACAUAUUUUCUAAGUUAGAAAAUAAUUUUUUAUUCUAAAAGAUUAAUAUAUAUAUUUUCAAGAACAGAUACCAAAUAUAACCUAAUUUUUCUUCUAAGGUUUUUUUCCUUAUGUCUCCGUCUAGUUGUCAUCCAAUGAACAAUCCACUUCAAAUAUUUUUGUGCCAAAGGGUAAAACCGAAGGAGAGAAUUACUCAAACACAGGAGAAUUAAGAAUCAAAGGACAAAAGGGAUUGGAGCAAGGUGAUAACUUUUCUCAGUGAACUUCACUGAUUUGCUCAAAGGCAAGUUGCCAGCAAAAUCAAGGAUAUAAAAUGUGUAUUUCAUCUUUUUUUGUUGGACCCAUUGGGUUUGCUUUUUUUCCCUCUCAAUUUGGGAUUUAAUAUAAUAUAGAUCAGGAUUGAGCAGGUUUCUGUAAAUAAAUCAAAAUGGGCGGCCUUUUUUUAACUUGAUUCCCUCUUUGCUUUCUAGCACAUGAGAAAAAGUAGAGCUAGCCUCACAUGUGCACACACUGCACAUGGCAUAGCAUUGGGUACCUAUUGAGUCAUCUCCACCAUAUGAUUAAGCACAGUGGCCCAAAUACUAGCAAUGAAGUUAGAAAAUGCAUUCUUCAUUUUCGUCUCCGAGAGAGUAGGAAAACCAUAUUCUUUCUCUGAUUUUUCAGGAAGAGAGAAGAGACUUCUCACAUAGAGAAUAAAAAAUAAAAAAAUUAUUUAUUUUUAAUAGUGAUAGUUUCUAUGUAGUUUUAAAACUCCCUAAAACUAUUUCCCCAUUUUCUCAUUUAUUUGAGUCAGGUCGGGUCAGUCCACUUGGACACCCAAACCCAACUCCAACAUUGUGGAACUUGGAAGUGUAGUUUAUCUCACUGCUGAACAUGAGAACUUUGUUGGACAUGGUGGGACAUCACUUGGGUCUCUUGAACACUGAAGAGCCCAACAUUUAUAUUGUCAUUUAGUUUGCACCAUAUGCAGAGCCCAGUUCAAACAUGAUAUUGAAAAAAGUUCUAUACACAAAUACAGCUGAUGGAUAGGAGAAACAAAACAGAACAUCAGAUGGAUAAAACUUAGUAAACUAAAUAAACGGUAAAGGAUUCAUUGGAUCUCCUCUUAGCUAUCGCCCUUCUCCUAUGGAGGCUACAAGCUCAUUCUUCCAGGAGGCUUCAGCCUUGCUAGAAGAAGAAGCUGUACUAGAAAGGUUCCUCUUUACAACAAAAGCUGGUUCUUUAGGAACGGGCACUGUUGCAGCAUCACUGCUGAGCAGAAGAACUGCAAUGGCCAUGGUGGGACGGUCACUUGGGUCUUCUUGCACACACAACAGCCCAACAUUUACACACCUCGAAAAUUCGUUUGUGUUGCAUGUUUCACUUAGUGUCUGGUCCAUCAACUCCAAAACCUUGUCUUCUUUCCAUAGCUUCCAUGCCUAGAACAGUUCAAAAAGUUGUAGGUCAGAUGAACAGAGAAUGACUAAAAGAUCAGUACAAAUGAAAGAUUCAAAGCUCUUACAUGACCUAGAAGACUCAGAGUUCGGUCAGACUGAUAAAAUCCAGUGUUCCUCUUCCCACUGAUGAUCUCAAGUACCAUAACACCAAAGCAAAAGACAUCAGACUUCUCUGAGAAAUAUCCAUCCAAUGCAUACUCCGGAGACAUAGCCACUGCAUUGAACCAGUUAAAAGCAGCACUCAGCUAAUUGGGAAACGCAAUCAUACAACCGCUUGCCUUUUUCGAUACAAAAUAUACAAUACUUACUAAGUUCCAACUACUCUGUUCGUGUUUGCCUCUACUUGCUUACUGUCAAAAAUCUUUGCCAAGCCAAAGUCUGAAAUUUUGGGAUUCAUCUCAUCAUCAAGUAGAAUGUUGCUUGUUUUUAAGUCCCUAUGAAUAAUCUUCAAUCUUGAAUCUUGGUGAAGAUACAGCAGCCCUCGAGCAAUUCCCAUAAUGAUGUCAAACCGCUUCUCCCAGUUCAGUAACAUGCAUAGGGUUCAAUCUUGCAAGGUUCCCAUUGGAAAGCAUUACUUCAGAUAUGUAUACAAGAAUGUAUAUGUUACAUGAAAAAGAAAAGGGCUUUAAGGCAGGUUUAGAGACAAACCAAAUAUGAAGGAAUCUAAGCUUUUGUUGGCCAUAUAUUCAUAGAGUAAAAUCUUCUCAUCACCUUCAACACAAUAGCCCAAAAGUCUAACCAGAUUCCGAUGCUGAAGUUUGGCAAUUAACACAACCUCAUUCUUAAAUUCCUGUAAGCCUUGUCCUGAAGCUCUAGAGAGUCUCUUAACCGCAAUUUCUCGCCCCUCUAGAAACUUGCCCUGGAAGCCACAGUGCAUAUGCAUUGGGCAUAUGUUAGAACUUGGUGACUUGAAUUCUGUUUGGUUCAACUCCAGAAGCUCGAGAUGCGACAUAGGUAGUAAAACUAAAAUUAUGAAAUUUUUUUGGGUCUAUGGUAGUAACAGAGGGAUCGGACCUAUUACUCUUUCAUGUAUAUAUAUGCAUGCAAUGAUGUAUAGUUUUCAGGGUUAUGAUCAUUAUAUUUUUGCUAUAGUCGUUAGUAUCUCUUUCCUCUUGUACUAAUUUUUGAUAUAGUAAAAUUUCUUCUCCUCAUGGUCUUUCCUAUUUAGGGUUUUCCACACAAAUCUAUGUGUUUUUAUCCUGUUUUAUUUCUUAUUGCAUAUUCUCAUUAUUUUGUAACAUCAUAUAUGAUGAGAAAUCAGUUGAAAAUGAGAGGAAUAUGGAAGUUAAGAACAAUUACCUUGUAAACUGGCUCAAAACCCCCUUGUCCAAGCUUAUUUGCAUCUGAAAAGUUUUCUGUAGCAGCCAGUAUGUCUUCUAAGUCGAAAAACGGUACAUCAAUGCCUUUCUUAUCCUCUUCUUUGAAUUGCUCUGAGUCUAUUAAGUGUUUCACACGACUCUCACUAUCAUAUAAGUGAAGCACUUGAUUUGCUCUGUUCUCUGAACUAAAAAAAAAAACAGAAAAUAUUGUAUAGAAGACCCUGAAAUAUUCUCAAUUCAGCCAAGCACAAGUCGAAAAGAAAAGACCAGAAGUUAUAUGCUAGUGCAUAUGGCACAAAGAUUACCUUUCCUUUUGGUGAUGGUUCUUUUGCGCAAAUAAGCAAUAUAACCAAUGAUGCCUAAAACUGCAACUAGAACGACAGCAAUUGUUAUGCCUACCACAACCACUGGAAAUGACGACGAUGACUUCUGAUCAGCAGGCUUUGUAGGCUCUGCAGGAUUGACACCUGACACAAAGAAGGAACUGAAUUGAACUUCUCUCACCUACCCAGAAGGCAAAUUUAGUAAGAUACUGGGAGUGUGGCAGUGUCACUGCUGAGCAUUACAACUGCAACUGCCAUGGUGGGACGGUCACUUGGGUCUUCUUGCACACACAACAACCCAGCAUUCACACACCUCAAAAAUUCUUUUGUGUUGCAUGUUUCGCUUAGUGUCUGGUCCAUCAGCUCCAACACCUUGUCUUCUUUCAAUAGCUUCCAUGCCUGGGACAGUUUGAGAAUAGAAAGUUAAGUAUGGUAUGGUAUAUUGUUGAGAACGACUAAAAGAUCAAUGCAAAUGAGAGAUUCAAAGACCUCACUUGACCCAGAAGGCUCAGUGUUUGGUCAGACUGAUAAAAUCCAGUGUUCCUCUUCCCAUUGAUGAUCUCAAGCACCAUAACACCAAAGCUAAAGACAUCAGACUUCUCUGAGAAAAACCCAUCCAAUGCAUACUCUGGAGACAUAUAGCCAUUGCAUUGAACCAGUUAAAAGCACUACUCUGUUAAUUGGGGAUGCGAUCAUGCAACUACUUGCUUUUUUCUAUACACAAUAUGCAAUACUUACUAAGUUCCAAAAAUAAUUUAUGGUGUCAGUAUUUAUGGUGUCACUUUUAAAAUAAUGACACCAUAUGACUUAAAAUCCAUAAAGGUGACACCUCAUAUAAAAAUUUUCAAUAAAGAUAAAUGAUAUUAAUUUUAAGUUUAUAGUGUCAGUUUUUGAAAAGUAACACUAUAUAAAAUAAAAAUUUUAAAAUACUAUAACUUAAUGAGCCCGAGAAUAAUAAUAGUAUAUAAAAAACUCAUUAUUUCCACAUACCCACAAUCCAAAAAAUCUCAUUAUAUAACCCUAACCAUAAUUUUCUUCUACCUCUUCUCACACCCAUAGUUAACACACAACUGCUCUUCUUUACUUCAUGGAUUCUCAAGUAAUCCAAAAUCUCUUAGAUCUAUCAUUUUCAUUUUUUUUCAUUAAUGUCAAAAUCUUUAUUAGCACAAUUGAUUUAUAUUCAUUGAUUUGGUAUAUCUGUGAUGUGGAUUAUGUAAAUAGUGUUUUUUUAUUAAGUUGUAAGAAAGUAAAAAUUAAGUUUAACAUUCCACCAUAUCUUCUAUUUCAUUGUUAAACCUAUAAACCUCAAAAUGAAUGAAAAUAAGAUAAAUGAAUGAUUUUUUUUAAUUUAUUUCAUACUCAAGAAUGAGGGAUAAACAUUUUACAGUAUGAAAUUUUCUUUUGAUCUUACAAGAAAUUUCCUUUGAUGCGACUUUCUGUUUGUUUUCUAGGAAUAUUAUAGUAUAUUGUGAUGACGAUAUGUGUUGGUGAUAUUUGAAAAAUAAUUUUUAGAAAGUUAUCUUAAUAUUGUUAUCUCCCACAAAAGGAAAAAUGAAAUAGUUUCCAUAUCAUGUUGGAGUUGGUUUGGAAUGUUGGAAUUAACAAUGAAAAAUUAAUUUUUUUUAUUAAUGUAAAAGAAUUGUUUUUUAAAAUUUAAAUAGGAAUGAAAAUUUUUAUAAUUAUAAGAAUGAUCAAAUCUUAUAUUUUAAUUUUUUUAUUCUUUUACAUGGUAUUAUGGUUAAUAUCUUAUCUUGUUCUAUUCAUAUUGUUUCUAUUCUUAAAAUGUGUUUUUUGUUUUUUUGUCUUUACCUUUUUUUAUAUGCGUCGACCAAAAUUUAUAAUUUCCGUUUUAAGGUUAGAAAAUUUCUAUAAAAUCCUUUUACUACAUAAAUUUUUUCAAUUACUUCCAUAAAACUCUUUUUUUUUUUUUUUUUUUGAAAGAAGAAGAAGAAGAUGUUUUAUCUUUUGAUUUUCUAUGAAAUUUCCUUUAAUUGGACUGUUUGUUUAUUUUCUAAGAAUAUUAUAGUAUGUUGUGAUGAAGAUAUUGGUUGGUCAUAUUUGGAAAAUAAUUUUUGAGAAAAUUAUUCUCAAUAUUGUCAUCUCUCGCAAAAGGAUUAUUUUUGCUUUCUUUUCUUAUUGUUUUUAUAUGCAUUGACCAAACUUUGGAGCAAUUUGAAAUUGAUGAUGAAAUUUUCCUUUCAAGGUUAGGAAAUUUCUAUAAAAUCCUUUUAUUACAAAUUUUUUUCCAAUUCUUUCCAUAAAACUCUUCAUUUUCUUCAUUUUUCUUUUUUCUGAAAAAGAUGUUUGAUAAUUUAUUGAUCUAAAGAAUAUUAAAAGUAAAAAAAAUUAAAAUAUUGAAUAUAUUUUCCUUUGAUGUUUUUAAUUUUUUAUUAUUUGAACACAAUUUCAUAUCCAAAUUUUUUAUUAAUUAUUUUAAUUAGAAAAAAGAAAUAUCAAUUGGAGUUUUGACUGAAAAAUCAAUAAUUUUUAUGAAAAGCUCUUUAAUUCUUUCUCAUACUAUUUUUUCUCUUAAUAUUUUUUAAUAAUGAAUUAGGUUUUUUGUCUUAUAUACACAAUUUUCAUGCUUGUUAUAAUAUCAUGUCCUAUCAUAUUAGUAGUUGAAAACAUUUUGAUAUUUUGUUACUAAAAUUUUAUUUUAUGUAAUUGAGAUGAAAUUUAAUGGACAUUGUUAUUUCAUAAAAUGAACAUUAAAAAAAUAUUGAAAUUAAGAAAAUCCUUCCAAGAAAUAUAUAUAUAUAUAUAUAUAUAUAUAUAAUGUUAAAAAUGAUUUUUAAAAACAUAAUGAAUUAUAAAAAAUAAAUUUAAAAAGUGCAUAUUUUAAGUGGAAGAUUAGUAUUUUCUAAAUUUUAGAUUUAUAUUUUGAUUUGGUAGUUUUGAUUUAUUUUUUAUUUUCUUGAAUUGUUUUUAUUUGAAUUCAAAUGUGACUACUUUGUUAUGAGAUUCAUUAAAGAGAUAAUUGUUGAUUCUAUAGUUAUUGCAUUAAAGGUUUUACUCAUUUAAUGAAUUGCACAUAGUUUCAUACUUCCAAUUAUUGUGAUAUUAAUGUUAUUAUCAUUUGAUUAUAGUUUGAUGAUAAAAAAAAAAACAUAUUCUUAAGUAGAAUGUGAUGAAAUUAGAGGAGAAUUGACUACUUUUAUAUUAUAACUAAUCAAGAAUCAUGUUGAUGUAUCGUGAUCAUGCAUGGUGAGUCCCUUAGUUGUUAUAUGAAUUUUCCAUUGGUAUUGUAUAACAUUACUUAUUCUUUACAAAUUAUUUUUAUAUCAAAAUGGAAAAAAGAAAAAAGAAAACAUUAGUAGUUAGAUUUGUUUAUUUUUUAUAACAUUAAUUAAUUUUUAUUUUUAAUAAAAACUCUAAAACUCAUUAAACUAUGAAAUGCAAGUAUACACUCUUGGAAGGACAGUAUGAAGAAUAAAAAGAAAGGAGAAAGAGACAACAAGAUUUUGGGUUUUUAGAUGUAACUUUUAUGCCAUAUAUUAUAGGACAUAAACGUUACUUUAUUUGGUAUUGAGAAUUUUGGGUUUUUGGAUGCAACACUUGUGUCAUUUUAUGGUUAGCCAGUUUUAUGCAUAUGAAUUGUAGGUAUACAUGAAUGUUGGGAUGCUUAACAUUUCUAUGUCAUGUUUUAAUGUGCAUUCACUUUUCCUUUUUAGUUUUGGUGGGUUUGAUGUACUAUCAUUUUGUGAACAUUUGAUAUACAAAUAUUAUUGGAUGAUUUAAUGUAUUACAAGUUGAUCUUAUUUAUUAAUAAGCAUUACAAAAAUCUAUAGGCUAAUCAAUAAAAAACAACCAUAUAUUCCAUAAUCAUUUACAAUGAUGUGACACCAUAACUCAAAGGUGAUGCAUUUAACGUGGCACCAUAACUCAAAGGUGAUGCAUUUAAUAUGACACCUUAUAUAUCUCACACAACUCUAUAUCAAAUUAAGCAUUACUAAAAAUAUAUGGUGCUGCUUCUGAAUGUGUCACCAUUUAUCUACAUUGGUGUCGCUUCCAAAUACAUCACCAAUUGGUACCCUCUAUGGUGUCAGUGGAUAAGGUGACGCUAUGUUGUAGUGACACCUUAUGUUUAUAGUGACUCAUUAUAAAUGCCACCAUAUAUCUUUUUCCUUGUAGUGUAUUCACCCCCUCCCCCUCUAGGUGUAGUCCAUUAUUGAGAUUCACCUUUUCAUCAUCCAUCCACAUGCUAGGAAGAAAAGUAUCAGUAAGAUUAUGGAAGCUCUCCCAAAGAAUCUCCCCUGAUCUGUUGUCACUUAAAACAAGGUUCCCGGAGUCCAUGAGCUUCAUCACCAUGCCUGUAGAUAAAGAUGUCUCAGUAUUAGAAGACCAAUGAACUUUCCCAUUUUCAUCCAAUAAUUUGAGCUUACCAUCGUCUUUAAUGGCAAAAACUCCAGAGAGGGGAUCAGAAAGGGGAAGGGGGCUGUCUCGGUUGGCCACCCAUACAACUCUUUGUGGUUUCAACAAGUAAUACCAUAUGCCAAUGUAUUUGCCAUUGUUGAACCUUCCAUCCGAAUUAAAGAAGCCAAGUUCAAAAGUUUUGCCUACAGAAACAAGAGUUCCUCCAUCAUUUCUAAGCCAAUCCUCUAGUGUGAUGGUAUCUCUAGCAGAGCAAUAUAGGACAGAACAUAAGAAAAAGAUGGUUGAUAGCAUGUGAGUUGUAGAGACAGGAACCAUGAAUUUUCUUCUUAUCAUUUUGCCCUCUAUUGUUGUUAGUCAAAGAACCAUGAAGAGUUGCAGAGACAUGAACCACAAAUUUUCUUCUUAUCAUUUUGCCCUCCAUUGUUGUCAGUCAAAGAACCAUGAAGGGUUUGCUACUGUUGUAUUGCACUCUCAUUUUUAAUGGAGACUUUUCCUUUUGACUCUUGAGUGGAGAAAAUUCAUAUCAGUAUUCUUAUCUUGAUUUCCCUUUUUGAUGCAUAGCUUUCAUCUCUGGACUUUUGUGGCAACUUGAGUCUUUAAGAUGGCAACUUUAAUAUGCUUCCUGGUGUCUUCCAAGUAUUGACGUUUUGUAUGCAUCACCCUCCUCCUUCUACACCAAUUUGUUUCUUUGUAUGUAUAGUUUUAUCUCUUCUAAGCAAUAAAGCAUAUGGCAUCAACCAAUAAAUUUUUCUGUACUUUCUCCAAUUUGGAGGAGCUUCGUAAUGGGACAAACAAGAAAAAUUAGAAGUUUAUUUGGCAAUGCUUGUAGAAACAGUUUUUCAUAACAAUGCUAAGAAACAGUUCUCAAAUGUUUCGACUAACUCAAAUAUAAGAACUAGUUUUCUUUGUUUAUUCUCGUACGUACAAAGCGAAAGUUUAAAAAAUAUUCUUUAUUUUAUGAAUUUUUAUCCAAAGAACUCCAUAAAAAUGAAAAAAAUUACAAACACCUCAAAAUGAUUCUAAAAUAUAAUUCAUCUGCAUAACAAAUUUGGCAAAAAAAAAAUCAUUUUUCAUCAAAUGUCUAUCAAACGUGUUUUCUAAUUUACAAAACAAUUUUCUGUUUAAAUAAAAAAAAUCUAAAAUAACUACUAAACAUACCCUGAUUUUUGUUUUAAGCUUUUUUCCUUCUCAUGUCUUCUAAUUUCCAUGCAAUGAAUUAUCCACUUCAAACAUUUUUGUGCCAAAGGUAAAGCAAAGGAGAGAAUUACUAAAACAAACCCAGGAAAAUUAAGAAUCAAAGGACAAAAGGGGUUCAAGGAAGUGAUAAAUUUUCUCAAUGAAUUAACUUCACUAAUUGCUCAAAGGCAAGUUGUCAAUUGUUACAGAAUAGUGAAUAUAGGAAAUAAGAAAAACAAAAUAUGAACAUAUAGAUUUGUGUGAAAAAUCCUAAACGAGAAAAACCACGGACGGAUGAGAAGAAGAUCCACUAUAUCAAAAAUUGGUAUAAGAGGAGAGAGUUACGAGCGUCUAUAGCAUAACCCUAAAAAUACAUCAUCACAUAUACACACACAUAUGUAUAUAUAUAUAAAGCAGGUUCAUACUUUUGAAUUCAUUUAAUCUUUAUAUAAUGAAGGAAAGUAAAAUAAAUUAGAAAAAACAUAUGAAAUAAUUUAUUAACUUCGAAUUUAUUUUUUUAUUUUCUUUUGUUUUUUCCUUUCUUCUAUUUUUCCUCUUUAUUUUUUUUUUUCCAUAUUUUGCCUUAUAUUUUUUGAGAACCAAAUAUAGUCUUAAAGUUUCUUGGAAACUUUGGACUUUAGAAAAAACUUAACCUUUUUUUCUUGGGAAUAAUUUUCUAGAUUUGAGGUACAUUAUCUUAGGGGUGUACUAAGGAUGUCAAAAUACUUUCAAAAUCUAACUCCUAUUUUUUGGAAAGUUAUGAAUUAAUAUUUCUUUUUUUUUUUUUUUUUACUCUUUCCAAAUCUAAUUUUACUAGGAACCAAAUUUGUGAAUUUUUGCACAAAAUCCUAUCCAAGAGAGGAUCUUUUAGAAAUCUCAUCCAUUCUAUAUUUGAUUGAUAGAGAAUUAAAACCACGGUUGUGCAAAAAGCAUAUGAACAAAUAAAAUUAGACCAAGAUAUAUAUCAAUGAUUCAACUUAGAAGAAUAAUGCAUUAGAUUUCUACACUUUGAGUAGUUGCCUUGAUUAAGUCCAAUUACUAGAAGCCAAGGUCAAGGUCAUCGAAGUUUGUCCAUUCUCUUUCAUAAUUUCUUUUUUCCUCACUAAAGGAUAGAAUAUCUCUUUUACAAAUCUUGUCUAUUCUUGAUUGAUUUGGUAGAGAAUUUUAAAAAGGGUUGUGCCAAAAGCAUGUCAACAAUUUAAAAUGGACCGAGAGACGAAGCUUCUCAAUGAGUGGAUGUAUAUCUUUGUCAAUCCUUCAACUUUGAAGAAUAAUGCAUUAGACUUCUAUGCUUUAAGUAGUUUCCUUGAUUGAGUCCAAUUAUUAGAAGCCAAAGUCAAGGUCAUCGAAGUUUGUACAUUCUCUCUUGUGGUCCCAUGGUAUUUGCUCUUUUUUACCUCAUUAGAGGAAAAAACAUUAACACAGCUUCAUGUGGGAACCAACCUUUCUUUUAGCAUCCAUGAUAGUUUUUCUUCCCAAUAAUUAGAAAAAGAUUCAUGAGGACCCCAUAUGAGAACUAUUAUUGGUGAUUGUAUAUAGAAAUAAAGAGAAUUCAUUUAUCCUAUAAAAAACAACCCCUUCCUAACGAUUAUAUAAUUUAUUGGUAACAAUGUGAUAGAAAAUUUUGAGACACAUAUUAUAGAUGAAUCUUGGUUAUGGAUUAUAGUUAGAGGGGGUAAAUAGUUAUUUUUUCCAACUUAGAGAUGGUUCCCAAAGAAGGCUAUCAUUCCCUUCAUUUUUCCCCCUAAAUUCCAUUUUAAUAUUUUGAGCACAAAAUCAGAAAACAUAUGCAAGAAUAGAUACACCGAUAUAUUGUCCCUACAAUGUAAACAAUGUUUAUCAUAAUGAAUCAAGAGUGUACAUACAAACACUUUGAUGUUGGAUUUGAUGGGAAAACAAAAUCAUAACAGUUCACAAGGUAUAAACAACUCAUCACCCAAAUCACAAACACAAAGGGAUACAUAAAAUACCACCCUAAAGAAAACAAUAAGGGAUAUGAAGUUAACUUUAAGAGAUACAAAGUAUAAAAAGAAAAUCAAAAUCUGCUAAAACAAUUUAUCUUUAAAAUGUGUUGAAUAUCCCUCUGAACUAGCUAGCCAAUUUGCUUCAAAUGUAGUGAUUCCAAGAGCAUAUGACAGCUAAGACAAUAAACUUUCCAUUGACAUAUGGUUGACAUAUUAAUUUAGGACCAUUUGUCCCCAGUAAAUUUUCAAAGUUGUCUCUAGUUUCAGAAUUCCCGCUCAUGCUACUAGAGUAAGAAUUUGCAACUCUUUCAACUUAUUUUCAAAGUCUAUGUGUUGGGACACUCCCAUGUCACACUCUCCCAAUAUUAAUUUAAAUAUAGAUUCAUAUUAAUUAGUCUAUGAAUGAUUUGCUUAUCCUCUUGCAAAAUAGUUAAUUUGAUUAAUGAUGAUCUUAAAAGCUUUUAAGUUAUAAACAUAUCUUUGGAUGAUUAAUGAACAUGAUUAUGUGUUCUUUACAAUUUUGAUUUGCUCAUAUAAGCUAAUAACAUGUCUUUUAAGUGACUUGAAAAGCUUGAAGAAGGGCCUUGUGAUUCCAUAAAAGCUUAGUAAUGAUCCUCAAAGUUCAAAUGCAAGCUUAUGUCUAUUUAAUAUGUCUUAAAGAAUUAGUACCACAUAAAAUGAAGUGAUGUCUAGUGUCUAUGUGUUUUGUCCUAGAGUGAAGAACAAGGGAAUUGAAGUUGCUACUUGCACUACUAUUAUCAUCCAGUACAAUCAUGAUUCCUUGAUCUAUUUCAUAAUCACUUUACAAUUGCUUGAUUCAAAGAAGUUAGGCACAAGAACUACCAAUUACAUAUUCCGCUUCAUCUAUGGAUAGUCAAACAUCAUUUUGUUUCUUACUCAUCUAAAUCAAGAUGUGAAAUAGAAAAAUGUAUACUUCAAUUGCAAAUAAAGUGGACAAUGUUCCCUUGCUUUUUAAUUAUGAGAGCUAGCCUCACAUGAGCAUUUGGUUUAGAACUAGGUAAUCAUUGAGUCAUCUCCACUAUCUAAUUAAGCCCUUGAAGUCCAAAUACAAGCGAUGAGGUUUGACAAUUUUAUGCUAUGCAAUUAAUGAUAAUGUAGAGAGGACCAAAAAAACAGAGGAGCUUCCUAUUGACACUCAUUAGGAAAAAAAAUUACAUUGAAGCAUAAGAAUAAAUACUCCAUAAAAUUCAAUUUUAAUGAAAUUAUAUAAUACAAAUGAAAAUGAUGUUGUUAAAGAGCAUGGUAUAUAUUGUGAACUCAAAUUCUACAAGUUAACCUUUUAGAAAAAUUGGUAAUUGAGUAGAGCUUGGUUUGACGGGAGGUCAUGUGUUCAAGAGUCGCUUCUCCCCAAUUUGCAUAUUUAUUUCCUCCUAGGCUACCAAUGAUCUCAUUCUUGGAGCAUGUGUUUCUGGUUUGGUAGAAGAAGCAGCAGCCCUACUAUAUAACAGUGGAAGAAGCAUUAGAAUCUUUGUCUCUUCUUCAAGGUCUUUAGAUUUUUUCAAUUUGUUUUCUUUUCAAUUCUCAUGCAUACAUCUAAUUUUCCACUUCCAUAAUAUUUUAACCUCUGGAUGUGAAAUAGUAUUUGUAGAUCAAUCAAAAGUAUUCCAACGUAAUAUGUCACUAUAUAAUAAUCCAAUAUUUCAACCUCUAUAUCUGAAAUAGUAUAUGUAGAUCAAUCAAAAGCAUCCCACCAUGUAUAUUCAGCUAAUGUAAUCGCUACCACCAACAAAACUAAUUAUUGGUUUCAUUUUAAGAUGUUAUAGCUAAUAAAUCCCUACUUUCCUUACCAUCAAUUACUCAAUAGAUAUCAUGCUUCAAUUUAUUCCUAAUUCCAACGGUAAAUCACUGGUAAUAGAAGGCAUGAUAUACAUAUAUAGGGUCAUUUCUUUGAGUGACUUUACUCAAAAGGAUGGUCUUGAUUACAACUAGCAAAUUCUGUUUAUAAGAAGACCCUAUACAAAACUCACAUGGCUAUGAUCAUUACUUGAGUCACUAUCACACAGAAUUCAUACCAGUUUUGUUUACAAAUUGUUCUUAGGAAGAACAUAUUCCAACUGGGGGCUAAUACAAGUAGAGGUUCCAAGCUACAGACCAAGAAGGUAUGUACCAACAGAUACCUAGCUAGGAUUGCUUCUUCUAGUAACGGUUGGUUAUUAGCACAUAAAAAUGUGAGCAGGCAACUAAGUUGGAACCUUAUAGACACCGUUAGUCUCCCUAGCUUAUGAUAAAGAAUCUUUAAGGCCAUUAAGUCAACAGUUCACACUUACUAACUAGGUUUUUCUCUUUGUCGUGACUUUUUUUUUUCUUAUGCUUUUGGUAGAGCCUUGGUUAACACAUCUGCAAUUUGAUCCUCAAUCUUGCAAUAAAGCAGUUUAACUUCACCAUCCUUUUGUUCUUCUCUUAAGUGAUACAACUUGAUCUUGAAAUGCUUAGUCUUGCCAUGAAAAACAUAAUCAUUUGAAAUUGCAAUUGCAGCUUGGUUAUCUACAUGAAUCUGUGUUGGCUCAUUUUGCUUCAUGUGUAGAUCUGCAAGUAUUUUUCUGAUCCAAAUUGCUUGAUUUACAGUAGCAUUGGCUGCUAUAUAUUCUGCAUCUGCUAUACUUUGAGCUAUCACAUCUUGCUUCUUUAAGGACCAUGAAAAAAUUCCAAAUCCAAAGCUGAAACAAAAUCCUGUUGUACUUCUCAUGUCAUCAAUAGAACCUGCCCAAUCACUAUCAGAAUAACCAUGAAGUUUAAAAUUCUGAUAGUAAGAAUAUUUAAUGCCAUAAUUUGUUGUGCCCUUGAUAUAUCUUACAAUCCUUUUGGUAGCUUGAAAAUGCACUUCACUAGCACAAUGCAUGAAUCUUGAAAGCAAGCUUAAUGAAAACAUUAUGUCUGGUUUGGUGGCUGUAAGAUACAUCAAGCAACCAAUCAGGCUCCUGUAUUGGCUUUCAUCCACUUUUUCUGCUCCAUCAUCUUUGCUAAAUUUCUCCUUCUGAUUCAUUGGUGUGUUGGUCCUUUUGCAAUCUUCCAUGUGAAAUUUGUUAAGUAUUUCCUUUGCAUACUUCUUUUGGCUUAUGAAGACUCCAUCAUGAUCUUGCUUCACCUCCAUACCUAGAAAGUAGGACAUCAAGCCAAGGUCUGUCAUCUCAAAUACUUUGAGCAUUUCAGCUUUAAACUCUUUUACCAGUUUCUCAUUGCUACCUGUUACAAACAGAUCAUCAACAUAAACAGAAACUACAAUUAAGUUAGCAUCUGUUCCUUUUAUAUAUAAUGUAGCUUCACUUGGACUUUUAACAAAUCCAAGACUUUGAAGAUGUUCAUCAAUCCUGCUGUACCAGGCCCUAGGAGCCUGUUUAAGACCAUAUAAGGCCUUUUUCAACAAGUAAACCUUCUCCUCUUGUCCAUUGACUUGGAAUCCCUCGGGCUGCUCUACAUAAAUUUCCUCUUGAAAAUAACCAUUUAAAAAAGCAGAUUUUACAUCCAACUGGUAAGUCAUCCAUCCAUUUUGUGCUGUCAAAGCAAGCAACAUUCUGAUUGUAUCCAAGCGUGCUACUGGAGCAAAAGUUUAUGAGAAAUCCACUCCAAACACUUGACUAUACCCCUUCAUAACUAAUCUAGCUUUGUAUUUAUUUAUAGAACCAUCUGUAUUAAGUUUGGUUCUAUAAACCCAUUUGACUCCAAUGACCUUUCUGUGUUGAGGUAUGUCCACCAACUCCCAGGUGUCAUUCUUUUCAAUCAUUCUAAGCUCCUCUUUCAUUGCUUCAGUCCACUUGUCAUCCUUCUCUGCCUCUUCAAAUUCUGCAGGCUAAAAAACAACAACAUUACUUCUUUCAUAAACAUCAGAUAAGGACCUUGUACCUCUAACUAGGACAUCAUCUAUGUUUUCAUCAAAGUAUUGAGGAACCUCUGGUAGUUGCAUCUUUAUUGACUCCUCCCAAUUCCAUUGUCUAUCCUCUAUGAACUUGACAUCUCUACUUACAAGAAUUUUUCCAUUUUGUGGUUGGAAAAUUCUGUAAGCCUUGGAAGAGUUGCUAUAUCCAAUGAAAACUCCUGGUUCUGCCUUCUUAUCAAGUUUGUCUCUUUUCACCUGUGGCACAUAAGAAAAACAAAGACAACCAAAGUUCUUAGAUUCUGCAAAUCUGGUUUAUAACCAAACCAGGCUUCAAAUGGAGUUUUUUUUUUUUUGCAAAACUCUAGUUGGCAGCCUAUUCAGCAAAAAACUGCAGUGUUUGCAGCCUCUGCCCACAAUUUCUUUGGCAACUCCUUCUCAUGUAGCAUACACCUUGUCAUCUCCAUAAUACUUCGAUUUUUUCUCUCACUUACUCCAUUUUGUUGUGGAGUGUAAAGUGUUGUGAGUUGGUGCUCAAUACCGGCUUCUUCAUAGAACUUAUCAAAAAUUUCAUUUGUGUAUUCUUUCCCAUUAUCUGACCUUAUCUUCUGCAUCCUGCAACUGCUUUGAUUCUCCACCCAUGCUUUAUAUUUCCAAAAUACAUUAGGAACCCCAUAGUUGGAUUUGAGGAAAUAAAUCCAACAAAAUCUGGUAUAAUAAUCAAUAAAUGCAAUGUAGUACUUACUACCAUUUAAAGAUGGUGUUUUCUGAGGUCCUCCAACAUCUGUGUGUACCAGUUGCAGCUUGUGCAUUGCUCUCCAUGUUGUUUGAGGGAAGGGUUUUCUAGUUUGCUUUCCAUAUUGACAAGCCACACAAUCAGCUAGCUUGUCUUGCAGCAAUGGCACACCUUUCACCAAAUUAUGUUUCUGCAUAUAUAGAAGUCCAACAUGGUGGAAAUGCCCGAGCCUUCUGUGCCAUAAUUUUGCAUUGCGUUCAAUGCUUGAAAAUGCUAUUUGCUCAUCCUCCAUUAGAUUUAGAGCAAAGCUUUUUGCUCUCAUUUUCACUUUGAAUACAUCUCUACCUUUCGCGUCUUUGAUCAAGCACCAUUUGUCUUCAAAUAUGACUUUGAAACCUUUUUCAGUUAGCUAUCCAACACUAAGCAGGUUUUGAUCAAUGUCAGGCACAUAUAAAACAUUAGUAAUAUACUUCAAACCUAUUAAGCUUUCUAUAGCCACAGUUCCUUCCUUUACCCUUAACUGAAAUAAAUUCACCAUUUCCAAUUUUUACCUUGGAGAUAAUAGUUUUAUCAAGCUCCUUAAAGAGCUCUUGGUCAUUGGUCAUGUGGUUUGUGCAGCCACUAUCAAUCAACCAAGAAUUGCUAGAGUUGUUACUUGUUGUGAAGCAUGUUGCAACAAAAAGUUGCUCUUCUUGAUGUUGCUUAGUAGAAGCUGUAGGGACCCCUCCCUCCGAGAACACGUGGCACGCAUCUUACAGUGACACGUGGCACGCAUCUUACAGUGACACAUGGCACGCAUUGUCAUCCGGGUCAUCCUCAUCCGGAUCUUCCUAUAAAGCACACAUGGCGCACUUUUUAUCUGGACUGCCUCAAGGAAGGGCAAACGACGCUUACAAAGCAUAGACAUUCGGACGGCUUCCAUUAAUGCGUCCGCUCCACAAUACAUCCGGAUAACCAACAUGGACUAUCCGGAUAUGAUUGUCCGGAUCAUUGACUAAAGUAAAGCGAGUCUUACACGCUAUCACAACAACCAACCAUGGCCCACGUCCCAUCACCUGCAGAGUGAAAGGACGGGUUGAGGUGACAACAAGUCACUUCCCACGAUCGUUCUAGAUGAUCACUUCCUACGAUCUCUGAUAGCCGCAUCACCUACCACGGUUUCUGACAGCCGCCCGUAGGGUGGUGAUGACCCUGCUGCCAUCUAAAUAUCAUCAUGACAACAUGAAAUAUCUCCCCACCAUUAAUGAGAGGAACAAUACUCCUGGCACUAUAUAUAAACCUUCACACGAAGAGGAAGGUAAUCGCCUGAUACCUAGAAAAAGGCCAACUGAUUUAUAUCUCCCUCUCUAACCAUGGCUAACAAAACCAUCGGAGGGUGCGUCCGGACACCCUGUCCGGAUGCCUUUUGCAGGUAUAACGACUGAAUCAAGAACCUAUUUUGGUUGAGGUCGCGGAUCCAUCCAUUUGGCAACUACGUGGAACACUAGGAGCGCGAGGUAUCAACAUAAGCUUUUGCCUCUUCAUGUUGUCGUGACUUGCAAAUCCACUCCAUGUGUCCAAUCUAACCAUAUUUCUUGCACUUGACAUCAGGCCUCCACCAACACUUCCUUUGUGGGUGAUUUGUCUUUUUGCAGUGUAGGCAAGGUGGAUAGGUUCCAUCCUUGUUUUUGUUGUUGUUGUCAGUCUUGUUGAUCUUCUUCUUAUUGUUGUUUUUCUUGUUUUUGCCUCAUCUUGAAUUUUAUGCCUUUGCUUGAAGAGCACCCUCCAUCGAUUCUUCUUUUCUUAUCAUUCUCCUUUGCUCUUGUGCCUGCAAUGCAUUCACCAAUUCUACCAAGGAUAUGCUUGACAAAUCCUGCAUAUAUACUUGAGUGUUGCAUUUACAACACACUGAAAGAGAAGUUCACCUAUAUCAGAAACUGCCACACGCACAUAGAGAUCAUGGCCGCCAUCCAAAUACGCCUCCUGAAUGUCAUUAAGAUUUUCCUCCGAAAUCAUACUGAUGGCGGUGUCUGCACGAGUCUCGACUUCAACAUAGGCAUAAGCCUGGCAGUUGUUACAGUCUCUGUUGCAGUGAUUUUCGCAUUCUUUUUCAUUUGUAGUACUGUUGAACUGUGUGUCUGAUUUUUUCACUCUCAUCAUCUCUAGCCUCAAAAAAGUGUCAUUCUUGCUGCACAGGGGUGAAAUUCUUCUACAGUCCCCCGAAAAAUCUCCACCAUUCCACUUUGCUGGAAAAUUUGGUUGGAAUCCUGGCAAACACCUGCACAAAAUCCUAUUUCUAGUACUGCAGCUGCCAAAACUUCCACAGGGAUUAUUCCCAUCGCAUCUGUCUUUUGGUUCCUUCAAAAGCGAAUACCAAGAGCCCGUCUGAUUACGGAUCUGUAGAUACUCUAUCUGGCCGGAAAAUUUCAUCACCAACCUCCUAUAAUAAAAAGAGGUUGUUGGUUGGCUACUAUUAAUGCUGGAAUUUGAUAACAUUUUGGAUAAUUCAGAAUACAUCUUAUGGUCCCAACCGGAUGUAAUGAAAUCAUCUGAUAUCCCACUCUUCCAGUAUGUAUUAGGCCCAUUCUGGAUGAUGUACAGGUUCUGUGCUACUUGAUCUUUCCUGAAAGUGAAGUUCCCCGAACCCGGGUCACUGCUGCUUUUCCAUGAAGUCAACACCAAGUUGCCAUCCAUCUUCAUACCUGGAAGAAAAGUAUCAGUUGCGUUUCCAAAGCUUUGCCACAGACUUGUUGGUAGCUGAUCAUUCUUCAGAACCAGGUUCCCGGAAUCUAUGAGCUGCGCUAGCUACCUUUUCUGUAGAUGACGAUUUCUGGAGAGGGGUUGACCAGAAAGGUCUCCCUCUUCCAUUCGAAUUCAACACGAGGUUACCAUCUUGAAUGGACAAAACUCCAGUGGAAUCAGGCAGUGGGUCGUUUCUAUUGGCUACCCACACAACGGUUUUCGUCUCCAACCUGUAAUACCAUAUACCAACAUAUCUUUGGUGACUAGACUCCCAUUAGGGGUGAAGAACCCCAAUUCAAAUGUCUUACCAACAGACAAGAGAGUUUCUCCAUCACCAUCACUGAUCGGAUCAUUCUGCCUUAUGGUAUCUCUUGCUGCACAUGUUUGAUAACAACACAACAAUGUUGGGUACAAGAUGAAGAUGGUAGAUACCAUGUGAAUUGUUGUUGACCAUGUAAUUGCAAUUCUUCUUCUUUUGAUUACUAUUAGGUAGUUAAGACUUCCCUUCUUCACUUGGAGCUGUGGUAGAGGCUGCUGCUGAAUUAAUCCCCAGUGUUUUCUGUCAACAACCAUGUCCGGUGUUGUUCCUAAUUCACAAAAAAUGGCAUAUCUCAUUGAUUUGGUAAACCAAUUCAAACAUUGAUCUGGUCAAAUUUUGUGAACUCAUUAUUACAACAUAGUACAUAAGACUUUGUUUGGGAAGUGUUUUAAAUUUUAAAAUUUGGCAUUUCUUAAAAUCUUGACUAAACACAAAGUCAUAGUUUAAAAUUUUAUCGAAUGCCUCUAAUACUUUAAAUCAAGUGAAACGUGAAUGAAAUUAACAAAUAAGAAGAAUAAGAAAUAUAGUUUCACACUUAAGUAACAACUAAUACUAUAGAGAAAUGACCACAAGCUGGAAAGUCUUGACCAAUUUGAAAAAUCAUUUGAUGUAGUUGAAAUAAUUGAAUUUUGGAUAAAAUUCAUAACUGUCUCAACAUUAUUUUUUUUCCCUUUUUAUUUUUAUUGUUUGAAUAUUCAAGAGUUAAAACCAUUCCAAUGCUCCUUUUUGCCAUGUAUAAUUAAACUGAACCAACAAUUAGGAUAAGCACGAAAAAGAAGGAACCGAGAAGAAGAUAUCAACAAUAUUAACCGGUUUUAUUAUGGGACAACUCAUGAUGUUCAUAUUGAUCUAUUAUGCACCUUUGCAUCUAGCAUUAGCUAGACUCAUACUGUCCUAGCUCUACUAUAUCUUUUAUUUCAUUUCGAUCUUCUGAAACAAUCACAAACACUUUUCAUUAUUAUUAUUAUUAUGAAUCAAAUGGGACAUAAAUGAAAUUAACAAAUGAGAAGAGUGAAAAAGGUAAUUAACAAAAUUUCAAGCUCAUCGUUGCUAAAUAUUUUAUAAAUAAAAAUUGCCCAAGAAACGAGCCUUUAAAAGUGUACCUUUAUUUAAAAAUAAAUAAAGGUAAAUUAAAGUAUUGACUUAGUACAUAAAUAUCAACACGAUUCCAAUCCAACGCAUUUUUUUGUGGGUUUUGGUUGAAUAUAAUUCUAUUUAUAUCAAAUCCGUAUCAACUUGUGUAAUAUAUUUUACUAAUAGGUUAUUUUUAAAUCAACAUACAUAACACGAAUUUGACUCAAGUUAACCUUUAUAUUUAAUAAUCAUACCAAUUAACCUAAUUAUAAUUCUAACCGUUUAAUUAAUAUUUGAUUCAUUUUAAAUUUAUUUUUGAACAAAUAGUUAAUUAAAUUAUAACUAUAUUAACUUGUAAGAUUAAUUAUAUAAAUUUAUACAAAACUUAACUCAAUUAAAAAUUUGAUUUAAAUGAGUUAAAUAAAUUACAAAACAUGUUAUUUGUUUAAUAAUUACAUUGUAUUUAGGUUUAUGUUUUUUACUUUAUUAAUAUCAUUAUUAUGAUUGAGUCAACCUAUUUAGUAGAAUGUUUUAGUCUUGAUAUCACACAAAUUGUCAUCCCUAUCUCUAAUCUUGUCAAACAAAUAGUUUGAAGGACAUAUUUUUUUAACUAAAGAAAAUUAUUACCUUACAUAGAGUUUUAUUAAAAAAAAAAAAAAAAAAGCCAAAUAAAAAAAUGUAAUUAAAAAUAAUUAGAAAUUUAUGCAUUUUCAAAUUAUUUAAUAAAUUUAAAGAAGUGAAAUGGAUUUAAAUUGACUUAUAAAAAUAAGUUAUCAACUUCAAAUUUUUUUCCUUUCUAAUUUUUUUUAAAAUUUUUUUCCCUCACAUUUUUUUUCAUAGUUAUAGGAAACAAACAUAACCUAAUUAGGAUCCUACUAUCAUGUUUUUUUAUUCCCAAAAGUUUUUGGGUCUAACCUUUUUCUAAACUUAUUUCAAAGGGCAUCUAUAACACAAGAUAUUAAGUGUGCUUGCUCGACAUGUAGUCUUUCAUUGAUUUCCUUUUCGAUUAAAAACUUUUAGACAAGUCAGAUAUAUAGUUUUUGCUUUCUUAACAGAAACCAAAGUCUAAGUCUUUGCACAAAAUCCUAAUCAAAGAGAUCUUUUAGAAAUCUUAUUGGAAGAGAAUUUAAAACCAGAGUGGUGACAAAAGCACACGAACAAAUAAAAUUGGACAAAGAAAUUAAGCAUCUCGAUGAGUUGAUAAAUAUCUUUGUCAAUACUUCUACUUGAGAGAGAAAUACAUUAGAUUUCUACACUUUUGAAUAGUUGCCUUGAGUGACUCCAAUUAUUGGAAGCCAAGGUCAAGGUCGUUGAAGUUUGUCCAUUUUUUCCCCUUGGUCCCACAUUAUUUGCUUCUCCUUAAUUUCCUCCGGUUUGGGAAAAGGACAUUCACACGGUUUGGUGUAGGAACCACCCUUUCCUUUAGUAUCCAUGAUUACUUUUCUACCCAAUAAUGAGGAAAACAUUUAUGAAGGCCCCAUGUGAGGACUAUUAUUGGUGACUCUAGAAAUAGAGCUAUUCAAUUUCCCUCAUAAAUAGUGUAACAUCCAAAAUAAACUUUAGAGACAAAAUAGUAAAUUAUUAAUUAAUUAAACUCAUUAAAAAUAAACGAGUCAUUUUACAAUUAAAAAUCGUAUCAAUUAGAUUUUCAGUUUAUCUUCUUUAUUUAGAAAACUUUAUUAACAAAAAAUCAAAGAAUUGAAGAACGUAAGGUUAAAGAUUUGGAAGUCUAUAGUUUGAAGUUCAAUUAUUUUUUUUCAAGUAAGAUUCUAACCCUAGAUUAAUAUAUUAUAUUCAUUAGUUAGUUUUGACUGUGUUAGAUAUUUUUAGAAAAUUUUAAUUUAGAUUAUAAUUAGUUUAUUUAAUUUAUUUUAAGAUAUAAAAAAUUGAAAUUAUGAAUGUUGUUUCAUUGAUGAAAAUAGAGAAAUUCAAAAUUUUUUUAGAUGAAUAAAUCUAAACAAUGAAAUUUAAAAAAAUUAAAUGAUUAAAUAAGUAUAUGAUUAUAUGUGGCUUAAGGGAUUGAAAAAUAAUAAAAAGAAGAAUAGCAUGUUUUUGGAUUUUGGAUUUGAGGAACUUUUUAAUAAUAAAAAUAAUUAAGGUUUACUAUUAAUAAGAAUAAUGAUAAUAAUGAUAAUAAUGAUAAUAAUGAUAUUAAUAAUAAUAAGAAGAAGAAUUGUGUGAAGAAUAAUUUCAUUUUCAACGUAGAAAUGUGAUUGUCAAGGCCUCAGUGAAGAGAACGGUAACGGACCCUGCUGUAAACGACGAUGGGUCACGAGCAAACGGUGAAAUUGCGGAUGAACCCCACAACUGUAAAGUGCUUUUGACGCGUAAUGGGUUCCACCACUACCAUUAUUGGGGAAUAUUUCUGGUGGAUGAAAAGCCGCUUUUGGGUUCACGGUUGACUCAUUAAAUCUCCUACCUAUCUCUGAGUUUGUCAACUGAGACCACCGAGUUUUAUUUAUUUAUUUAUUUUUUUCUUUUCCUCGGUUCAAUUUUUGUUUCCAAUACGAGGAAAAGGGCUUUCAAGUCUGACACGUGGAAAGUCAGUGGGCAUCAUAAUUUUGUUACAUUUUUAGGGUUUGUUGGAGCUGCAAUAGGGACAAUAAUUUUUGUAUGGAUAAGCUACAAAUCAGAUAUCGAAUCUAAAACAAAUGUUUAAUGGUGCAACUAAAAGAUGUUUUUUCAAACAUUUUAUUUAUAUUUUUUAUGUGAAAUAUGUUUUUUUUUCUCCCAAAGAAUAGAAAACUAUUUUUAAAAAAAUGUUAUUAACAAAAUCUAAGUAUAAAAUCAAUUAAAAACAAUGAGAUUUUUUUCUUAAAAUUUUCUAUGAUAAGAUAACAUUAGAAUGACACUAUUAGCAAAAUAAAAAUUUAAAGCUAAAUAUACAUUCCUACAAUGUGAAUAAUUAAAUAGCACACAAUCUAAUAUAAUUAUUUAAUUUAUUUCUAAAUUAGAUAUUAUUUAAUUAAUUACCAAAAUUUAGAAAAAAAAAAAAUCAAACUCAAAAUUAAAGAGAACCUAAAUUUUUUUAAAAAAAAUUAUUUAAUAAAAUGUCAAAUACAAAAUUACCAAAAAAAAAUUAACAUUAUUAGAAAAGUUAUAAUAAAAUUAAAAUUUACAUUUAAUGCAAGAAAGAAAAAUAAAUAAAAUGUUGAAUGCAUGAAAAAAAUUAAAUUGAACUUUUAAAACUCAAAAUUAAAUUUAUGGGGUUUCUAUUUUAUUUUUUAUUAUUCGAAAACCUUAUUUAUAUCUAUGAGAUUUUUUAGGGAACUCGCCCAUCUACUGGCUUGGUCAAUGUAAUAUAAACUUCUUUUAAUCAUAUAAAUGUAUUUUAAAAUCAUGAAUAUUGAUUGUGCUCAAAGUAAAUAAUAUCGUAAAUACCUAUUCUGUUCAAAGUGGAUAAUAUCUACAUAAGAAAGAGCAAAUUAUUAUAAAUGAUAUUAAAAUCAAUCCUUGAAUAUGCGAGACUACCUAAAUGGUCUUAGAGGGAUGUUUAUGUGUUUGACCUUUGCAUGGUAUAAGUAAUGAUAUCUAUCUUAUCACCGACCAAUCAUGAAAUAUGAUAUAAUAUCCAUAUUUUAUCUUAUUUUAUACUAUAUCCGGUUAACCAAACAUGACCUAAGGUUAAUUGUUGUAACUAGUCAAGUUUUAGCCAUGACGGAUGCAUACUCAAUCAUGGUAUUAUCUCAGCCUUUUGGGCUUCCAGGACUGGUCCUUUAAAUUUGGGCUCAAACCCAACCUAAUGGAAGAGGGCCUUAACUCAGUUCAUGGGCCUGUCUAGCCUGCCGCGCUGGUUUCCAACUGGCUCGACCCAGCCUAGACUAGGGGUCGUGCCCGUCCACUAUAUUGUUAUAAUUUUUAUAGGAUCAUAGGUGAUUUAUUCUUUGAAUUUUAUAGUAAAGAGACAAAGCUUGAUAAUAAGAAUUUGGACAUUGUCUAAAAAAUUUUAAGGGUGUUUAGCAUCUAAAUUUUGAGAAUUUCUUUGGCUAUAAAAAAAUUUGAGAAAAACUACAAAGAAAAUAAAAUAAAGAAAAAAAGUAAAAAGGAAAAAAAAUGAUGAAAAAUAAUGAAUAAAUUUAAAGUUCAUGCGAUAUUUUUAUAUGUUAUUUAAAAAAAAUUAACUCUUAUAUAUAAAGGUUGAAUAAUUUGAAAAUAUAUAGAUUUCUAAUUAUAUUAAAUUUUCUUACAUAUUUUUAAUGAUAAAAUCAAAUAUGAAAUCAAACAUGAGAAUAUAAUUUUUCUUAAUAAUUUUUAUUUUUAUUUUUUUAACAUUUUUCUUUCUUUUUAUGAUACAUACUCUUAAGUCUAAUCCAAUGAGGUAGAGGUAGUUGUACAUAUAAGGUCCAACUAAUGUUGGUUGAUGUGGGACAUUGAACUUUCGUCUGUCCUAUGUAGUGAACCUACAGAACGAGCAUCCCUAUUCAAUUGUUAAUACUCAAGUCUAGGGUGGGCUAAACCAAAUCUUAUCAUGAUAUCAAAUUAUAUGAGGCCACAUACACUCUCAUGAAAAGCCUAAGCUAAUGGGGUAAAGGUAGCUCCACGUAGAAAACCUAACCAACAUUAGUAAUCAAUUGAAAUGGGACAUUAGACUUUUGUGCUUCCUACUUAACAUUGUUUGAGUUUCUAACAAGGUAAACAACCCUAUUCAAAUAUUUAAUUAUUAGUAGAUCAAGAAUUUGUUAGGUAUUGAUUUUAGGAAUCAUUUCUAAUAUUUUUAGCACUUGGAAAUUUUUAUUAAAAGAGUUAUUUUCUAGUAUUAGAAAUACUAGAAAUGAUUCCUAGAAACCCUAUUCAUUUUAUUUUUUAUUUUUUUUGCUCUUUCUCUAUAAGAGCAAUAUAAAGAGAAUACAACAAGAAGGUAGAUAUUGUUGACAAGAAAGGGAAUAAUUUGUAUAAUGGAAUCUGUAUACACAAUUGCUUUCUUUAAAUGCUUAUAACCCAUAUAUGAUCUAAAUUUGUCUAGAAAUGUCUAAGGAAAGUUGACCUUAUAGAGUAGUAAUCUGCUCCCUUUAGUUAUGCCUGUAACGUAGGGAUUAUACAACUCAUGUCCACACUCUCCCUCAAGUUGGUGCAUAGAUGUCGUUGAUGCCCAACUGCAUACCAUCUUAGUGAGGAUGUCUGCUAGUUGGUCUUCUGAUUUGAAAAAUGGGAAUCAGAUUAUAUUAACUUCUAAGUUUUUCUUGAUAAAAUGUCGGUCUACUUCCACAUGCUUAGUUCAAUCAUGUUGGACUAGGUUAUAAGCAAUAUCAAUGGCUGUCUUGUUAUCACAAAGCAAGUUCAUCUCGCAACAAGGAGAAUAGCCAAUUUCUAUCAAUAAUCUUCUCAGCCAGAGUAACUCACACAACCCCUUAGCCAUUCCUCGAAACUCCGCCUCUGCACUAAAUAGUGCUACUGAUUCGUGCCCGAUUGGUGUUCCAAUUGAUUCAACUCAAUUGAUGUGCUUUGAUCUCAAUCCUCAAACGGGAGUAAUCAACAAAAUUUAUAAACCUAUUUCACCAUAUACUGGGGUAGCAUUUAGCUAGCAUAGUAUAGUGGCUCUAGGAUCGUCCACAGAGAUGGGUUUUUACAUCGCAAUUGAUAUUAGUUCAAAAAUUGAAUUGGUACUUUUUCUUUUCUUUGUUAGCUUUAAAAGAAGACAUAAGUUUGAAUGAAAACGGAUGGUAUUAAGCUAACCUAACAUAAAGUAACUGAUUUUACUUACAAAGAAAAGUGUUUCUUGGAGUUUUAGAUCACUAGGCUCAGAUUCCUCAUACAAAAAGGGAGUUCCGGUCACUUGCUUCUUUUCCUCGCAUUAGAGAAUUAACAUAUAGUUAAUUCUCUAACCGGUGUGGUACAGAUGCUUCCCAUUAAUGGGUUCAAACACUAAAUUUCUCUCACUGAUGCACCUUGCAAUGGGCUCAUACCUCUCACCAAGCACUUUCCAUUCAAGGUGAUCUUUAACCUUGGAUUACCCGUCAAAAGCGAACAAGAGAUAACAAUUAGACCUCCAUGGAGCAAGAUUGCAAGCAAUAAGAAUCCAUGGAAUUCGAAAGCUUACCAAAUAUUGGCUAUUCUAGAAAAUCCUACCUUCAAACCACCUACCAAAAGCUCGCAAGAGAUAAACUAGUGCAUCUCUAUGGACGGAGAUCACUUGCCUUACCAAGUGUUAGCUCAGGUGAAUUGAAGGCGUUUUAAGUUAACUAAAAAGAUAAAAACCAUUAACAGGUCACACUUUCUCUUCAUUAAAAACUAAAACAACAAAACUUCCAAUUUAUGCAUGUGGAAACUUACCCGGCUUUCCUCACUCCAAGAGACGAAGAGCCUAGCCUCUCAUCCUCUGAGGAAAAAUCCUCAGAGUUUGGUUGGCUAGAAAGAAAAAGAAAAUGAAAAUGAAAGAGAAGGAAAAACAAAGCAAAGCUCUGUAUAUUCUAUAUACUUAUAUAUCUAUAUCUUUUACAAUGGAUGCAAGGGAAUAUAUAUAGAGAAGUUUUUCCAACCUUCCUAUCUAAGAAAUCUUAUGGUUGGUGGAUUACAAGGAGAAGAAUGGAAAUUUAUACAAAAAUAUCUUAAGAAAAGAUCUAAAAGAGUUGGUGCACAAAUAUCCCAGUUCGCAUGUAGAUUUCGCACGUUGCAUGGUGACUUGCGAAAAUCUCGCAAGUUGAUUUCGCAACUUGGAAUCCAUUUUCGCACGUUGAGCUCCAAGUUCGCAAGUUGCAAAAUCACUUUCGCAAGUUGGGUUUCUCUGUGACUGUGCGGCUGUAUUCCAUUUCCAUUUCGCAAGGUAGGCUUUAAUUUCGCACGUUGGAGUUCCAAAUUCGCAGAUGCGAAUUGUCCUUCAACUGGGUGUAUUUGUCUUGNNNNNNNNNNNNNNNNNNNNNNNNNNNNNNNNNNNNNNNNNNNNNNNNNNNNNNNNNNNNNNNNNNNNNNNNNNNNNNNNNNNNNNNNNNNNNNNNNNNNUAAAAACCAUUAACAGGUCACACUUUCUCUUCAUUAAAAACUAAAACAACAAAACUUCCAAUUUAUGCAUGUGGAAACUUACCCGGCUUUCCUCACUCCAAGAGACGAAGAGCCUAGCCUCUCAUCCUCUGAGGAAAAAUCCUCAGAGUUUGGUUGGCUAGAAAGAAAAAGAAAAUGAAAAUGAAAGAGAAGGAAAAACAAAGCAAAGCUCUGUAUAUUCUAUAUACUUAUAUAUCUAUAUCUUUUACAAUGGAUGCAAGGGAAUAUAUAUAGAGAAGUUUUUCCAACCUUCCUAUCUAAGAAAUCUUAUGGUUGGUGGAUUACAAGGAGAAGAAUGGAAAUUUAUACAAAAAUAUCUUAAGAAAAGAUCUAAAAGAGUUGGUGCACAAAUAUCCCAGUUCGCAUGUAGAUUUCGCACGUUGCAUGGUGACUUGCGAAAAUCUCGCAAGUUGAUUUCGCAACUUGGAAUCCAUUUUCGCACGUUGAGCUCCAAGUUCGCAAGUUGCAAAAUCACUUUCGCAAGUUGGGUUUCUCUGUGACUGUGCGGCUGUAUUCCAUUUCCAUUUCGCAAGGUAGGCUUUAAUUUCGCACGUUGGAGUUCCAAAUUCGCAAGAUGCGAAUUUGUCCUUCAACUGGGUGUAUUUGUCUUGUGAAAGCCAUAUCUUCCUCAUUUCAGCUCCAAUUCGUACACUGUUUGAAGCGUUGGAUUCUUGACUUCCUGAGCUUUGAAAUGGUAUAUAGCAUGUAGAAAAUGGACUUCGGGAAGUGCUCCAAAAGUGUGAAAGAAGACUGAAGCUGCUGUCCUCUAUUUUCUUCACUCUAUUUUUCCUCUCUCCGUUGUUCUUUCCUUGCAUACUUUGAACGAAUUUGGCAAAGGGCUAUGGAGCUCCAAAGCUUGGUUCUUCAUGAAUUUGAGCUUCCAAAAGCUUUGCCAUGAACUAUAUACAGCUCUCCCUCAUUCUUGGAUUGCUUUGGUGUAGCUAAAAGCUAUCAAAAACACCAAAACUUAACACAAUUUGCUUAGAAACGAUUGCAAGGGUCCUUAACAUGUCAAUUGAGUUAAAAGGUAAUAAUUACUACUCAAGAGUGUUUAAAAGAGUUAAUUACAAGCUACAAAAUAGCACUUUUUGAGUAGUAAUCAGCUACUACUUUAUGUUUUUUUUACUUCGACAUGUUUUCAAGUUUCUCCAACAAAUGUGAGGUAACCUGAUGUGGAUUUCCUAUCGGAGAUAUUUCUUGCCCAAUCAACGUCGAUAUACCCUAUAAUUUCCAGGUACCCAUUCUUUGAGAACAUAAUUCUCUUCCCUAGGGUUCCCUUAAGGUAUCUUAAAAUUUGAGUCACUACAUUCAUAUGAUCUUCACUAGGGCAAUGCAUGAACUGAUUCACUACACUGACCGCAUAGACAAUAUCAGGUCGGGUAUGUGAAAGAUAAAUUAGUUUUCCAACCAAUCUCUGAUAUUUGCCUUUAUCAGUGGGAAUCUGGUCAGGGUAUUCUCCAAGCCUAUGAUUCUAUUGUAUUGGAACAACUGUCAGUUUACAGUCUAGCAAUCCAACUUUUGAUAAUAGAUCGAGAGUAUACUUUCGUUGGGAAAGAAAGAUACCUCGUUUAGAUUGAGCCACCCGAAUUCCUAGAAAAUAUUUCAACCAACCCAAACUCUUUAUUUCAAACUUUGCUGCCAACUGUUUUUUAAGUUUCGCAACUUCCUCGGUAUCAUUACAUGUGAUGAUCAUAUCAUCUACAUACACUAUUAGUGUUGUUACCUUGCCUUGUCGACGCUUUAGAAAUAGAGUGUGGUCAUAAUUGCUUUGUUGAAACCCAUACUUUCUCAUUGCUAGGUUGAGGCGUCCAAACCAAGCUUGUGGAGACUAUUUCAAGCCGUACAGGGUGGGCCACAGUUUACACACUGUCUUGCCAGACGUUUCAAUGUACCCAUGGGGAUAUCCAUAUAAAUUUCUUCUUCGAGGUCACUAUGGAGGAACACAUUCUUUACAUCAAAUUGGAGUAGCGACCAAUCAAGAUUCACUACAAUAAAUAGAAGGACUCUUAUAGUGUUCAACUUGGCUACAAGUGAAAAGGUCUCCAUAUAGUCAACUCCAUAAGUCUACGUAUAUUAUUUCGCUACAAGCCUCACUUUUUAGCACUCAAUUGACCCAUCCACCUUGUAUUUGAUGGAGAAUACCCAUUUGCACCCCACUAUCUUGUGGCAUUCUAGUAAAGAGACAAGAAUCCACGUCUUGUUUUUCAACAAUGCUUCCAUUUCUUCCUUUAUUGGUUGGACCCACCUAGGGUCUUGUAGAGCCUCCUCUAUGCUUGUUUGAAUGUGAUGCGCUGAUAAUGCAUUAGAAAAGCUCUUUAAGGGUUCUGAGAGCUUCUUUGUUGAGACGUAAUUGGCAAUUGGGUACUUUGAUUUGUGUGUCUCAAUAUUUGGAGAAUAGCAUUUUGGUAGUUUGCCAUGAUUGUGCUUGGGAGGUAACUAAUAACCAUCGUCAGUUAAAUGUUUUGUGGCAAGAGGAAAACUUACCUUAGGAACCUCUUCAGGAAUAUUCUCAGAAGUUGGGUCAUGAGGUACUUUAGAAUGAGGGGGUGUCUCAGGAAUUGGAGUUGGUGUCUCAGUAGUCAGCAUUGGUGGCUCUGUAGCUAUUCCAUAUCCAUGGUAAUUGGUGGCUCUGUAAUCAGUGGGAUGUCUGGGAUGUCUUUGAACCAAUUCAACUCUUCAUCGUGUGUCUUCCCCUUAAGAGAAGAAUUGGAUGGAUGAUAGAACAUCUCAGACUCGAGGAAUGUGACAUCCAUAGUAACAUAGAGCCGCAUGUUUGUUGGAUCAUAGCACCAGUAACCUUUUUUAUUGGUGGCAUAGCCUAGAAAGAGACAACGACAAGCACAAGGAUCGAGUUUAGUGCGCUGGUUGCAGUGAAGAUGAACAUAGACAACGCAUCCAAAGGUUCGGGGAAGAAGCGUCGUAGUCGAAAGUACUGAUAUACUCGAGGCUAAGGCCUAUAGAGGUGUUUUGAAAUCCAGAAUUUGGAAUGUCAUUCGAUUAAUGAGAUGCACAAUAAUUGUAACCGCAUUAGGCCAGUAAGGACUAGGUACAUGCGCACUUAAUAGGAGGACACGUGUGGUCUCGAGAAUAUGGCGAUUCUUACGUUCUACUACACCGUUUUGCUCUGGAGUAUGAGGACACGAGGUUUGAUGUAUCAACCCAUGUUGGUGGAAGUACUUCUGGAAUUGUCGAUUGAUGUAUUCAGUGCCAUUAUCAAAGGGAAAAACUCUGAGUUUGGCAGAAAAUUGGGUUUGAGUCAUUGUGUGAAAAGAGUAGAAGACAGUAAAAACCUCAUCUUUGUUUGUCAGUAGGUAGAGCCACAUCAUUCAAGUGCAAUCAUCAACAAAGAGAACAAAUCAGCGAUAACCCGAUAGAGUAGAUUUUAGGGAUGGUCCCCACACAUCAGAAUGAAUUAAGCUAAAAGGUACAUCACUCUUAUUCUUAUGUAAAUGAUAAAUUAUCCGGUGACUUUUGGCCAAAAUACAAGUUUCACAUUGAAAAUCUGAGAUAGAGAAAUCAGAAAAUAAACUAGGUAGUAAAUGCUUCAAAUAUCCAAAUGACGGAUGGUUGAGUCGUCGAUGCCAAAGUCAGAUCUGUUCUAUUCUAGAAUCACCCGACUAUCCCACAUGAUGAGUUUGUCCCAUUUUUAACAGAGCCAUGUUAAAAAUCUCUUAUCUUUCUUUAUUUUCAUGUGUUUGGUUUGGUUAAUGCAGGAGAUCUCCAUCCAAUCUGCAUUUCGCUUAACCAUCCGACAUCAGAAAAUGGAUACAAACUAGAAGUACUUUGCCCUUCCCUACUAUGCAGCCGCUUGUCACCAAAAAUGGCAAGUCCUGGUUGAACUCCAGAAGUCUGCUCAUGGGUGAAAUUCAUCUACAUCCCCAAAAAAUCUCCACCAUACCACUUUCUUGGAAAAUUUGGUUGGAAUCCUGGCAAACACUUGCACAAAAUCCGAUUUCUACUAUUUCAACUGGCAAAACUCUCACUGGGAUUAUUCCCACUGCACCUAUCUUUUGGUUUCUGGAAAAGCGAAUACCAAGAGGCCGUCUCAUUACGGAACUGUAAAUGUUGUAUUUUGCCGAAAAAUUUCAUCACCAACCUCCUAUAAUAAAGAGAGGUUGUAUCUUGAAAGUCAUAAUCAUAUCCUCCAAGUGAGCUUUUUCUUUUAUCAUCACUGAUAAUGGUAGAUCAAAACCAAACUAGAGCACUGAUGAAAAGAUUGAAAUUGCAUUGGGUUCUUUUAAGAUUGAAGAAGAGAACAGUGGAAAAGGCAUUAUGGGUAAAAGAAUUGUCAAACUUGCAAGAUUUGUUUCUAUUUCUUUUGGUCAUUGGUCAAGUAGUCAUUACUUUUUUAUUUUUUAUUUUAUUUUUAUUUUUUAAAAUCAACUCUUGAUUCAAUGAUUUCACAAUGCAUGUAUCAAUUGGAUGAUGAUUCUUGAAUUAGAAAUUUCCUUCCACACAAUAUGAUUAUAAAUAAAUACACAAGAAAAAUGAGCAACAGUACUACCAAAGAAUCAAACAGUUUUAGGUCUACUUCGUCUUGCGGCCUUAAGGCAAAAAUAUAGAAAAUAAGAUGGGAAGUUAGUGAUUUACAAUUGGUGUAGAGAACAAUCGAAUAGAUAUUCAUGAAAUCAAUUUACACUAAAACACACCUGUGAUUAUGUCCUAAGAAAUCCAAUUCUGAUGCAACAUAUAUGAAGUUGAUAACACCAACAAACAAGACUGAACUUAUGGCUGAUUCUCCCUAACUAUCUACCUUCUUCUAAGCUGACAGUUAUCUCAUUGUUGGAGCAUGUUUUCGGAUUGGUGGAAGAGGAAGGAGCUAAGCUGGGCGGCCCUCUUCUCACAACAAAGGCUGGUUGCUAGGGUAUUGGAAGUGUGGCUAUCUCACUAUUGAGCAUGAGAAAUGCAUUGGGCAAGGUGGGGCGAUCACUUGGGUCUUCUUGUACACACAACAACCCAACAUUUACACACCUCAAGAAUUCAUUAGUGUUGCAUGUUUCACUUAGUGUCUGGUCCAUCAAAUCAUACACCUUGUCUUCUUUCCACAAUCUCCAUGCUUGGAACAAUUCUCUUGAUAUUAAAAUUAGAUUUGCUAAAGUAAAAUGAUAGGUUGGGCAAUCAUAUCAAUUUGAUAUAUAAUAUAAAGAUUUUUUUUCUAGGGGAGGUCAUCAAUUCAAACCUCAUUGUUUGUUUAUUUUCUUUAUUUACUAAGCUUACAUGCAAAUCUAAAGAAGGCCACUUGUGAGAUAAUGUUGAAUGACAUGUCCUAGGAGCUGCUGACAUGGAGCUAAGUAGAAUGAAGUGGAAGUAGUUAAAAUAAGUUAGUCAUGUGGAAGAUUUACCUAUUCCUUAGGAAGUAUUUGUUGGUUUGUUUUUAUUCUUUAGGAAGUAUCUAUAGGUAGCAUGUUUGUUGCUAUUUUUAUGUUUUUCUGUUUUAAGCUAGCUGUAUAAAUAAGUGCUUUGAAGCUUAAUAAAAUAUAACUUCAGAUUCCUCAACAUUAUGUUGCUUCUUGAGAGUUUCUACCCUUUGUUUUUAUCAAAACCUACAAAUUGGUAUCAGAGUUGUUGUUAUUGAGUAACCUGUGAGGUGAGUGAGCCUAUACACCACCAUCUACCCUAUCCAAAACAAUAUCCAUGUUGUUCUUGAGUAACCUGUGAGGUGAGUGAGCCUAUACACCACCAUCUACCCUAUCCAAAACAAUAUCCAGAAUGACCUCAGAAGCUUCACUGAAUGCAUUGGCACCUCCAGUGUUUGAUGGAAUAAAUUAUCAACUGUGGGUUGUCUGUAUGGAAGCCUACCUUGAUGCUAGUGAUCUGUGGGAAGCUGUUAGUGAGGAAUAUGAAGUUCCUCCCCUGUCCGACAAUCCAACUAUGGCUCAGAUAAAACUACACAAUGAGAGGAGGCAAAGGAAAUCAAAGGCAAAAGCUAGUCUAUUUGUAGCUGUCUCAUCUACAAUUUUCACCAGAAUCAUGGCAUUGAAGACGAAAAAUGAAAUAUGGAACUUCCUGAAGAAGGAAUAUGAAGGAAAUGAAUGAGUCAAAGGUAUGCAAGUGCUGAACCUGAUUAGAGAGUUUGAGAUGCAAAGGAUGAAAGAAUCAGAAACAAUCAAGGAUUACUUAGACAGACUUCUUAGUAUUGUUAACAAAGUAAGACUUCUUGGUACUGACUUUUCUGAUUCUAGAAUAGUUCAAAAAAAUUUUAUAACAGUUCCUGAAAAGUUUGAGACUACAAUAUCAUCUCUAGAAAACUCAAAAGAUGUGUCAAGUAUCACCUUGGCAGAGCUGUUGAAUGCAUUACAGGCUCAAGAACAAAGGAGGCUUAUGAGACAAGAAGAAUAUGUGGAGGGUGCAUUUCAGGCCAUAUCUCAGUACAAGAAAGAAAUGCAAAGCAACAAUAACAGCAGCAACAACACUCAAAAGUUUCCACCAUGUCCUUACUGUAAAAAAUCCAAUCAUCCACAAAAAAAGUGUUGGUGGAGGUUGGAUGUAAAAUGUCACAAGUGUGGUCAGCUAGGGCAUGUGGAAAGAAUAUGCAAAUCUCAACAGCAGCUAGGAGAAGUCAAGGCUGCUGUGGAAGAACUUCAAGAUGAGCAACUGUUUGUGGUAUCAUGCUUUUUCACUAGCAGCUCCCUAGAAACUUGGCUUAUAGACAGUGGUUGUACAAACCAUAUGACUUAUGAUCAAGGGCUCUUUAAGGAACUUGACAAAACUGUUACUUCCAAAGUUAGAGUUGGAAAUGGAGCAUAUCUUGCAGUAAAAGGCAAAGGCACCAUGGCAAUUGAAGGCCACACAGGUUUGAAAUUAAUCUCUAAUGUCUUAUAUGUUCCUGAGAUUAAUCAAAAUUUGCUGAGUGUUGGUCAGCUGUUGGAAAAAGGCUAUAAGGUGUUGUUUGAGGACAAUCAUUGCAUGAUUGCUAAUGGACAAGGCAGAGAGGUAUUUAUAAUCCAAAUGAAAGACAAAAGCUUUGCCUUGGAUUUGAUGCAAGAAGAGCAAGUUGAAAUUCACAAAGAAAAAACAAUACAAUGCUUUGGCAUAGGCGUUUGGGGCACUUUCAUCAUACCGCCCUGCUCUUUAUGAAGAAGAAGGAUCUUGGAAAAGGCUUGCCUGAAUUAGAGGUGAAGCCUCCUACUUGUGUAGCUUAUCAAUACGGGAAACAAACAAGACUUCCUUUCCCACAAAACAAGGCCUAGAGAGCUACUCAGAAAUUGCAGUUAGUACACACUGAUGUGGAAGGACCUCAAAUAACACCAUCACUAAAUGGCAGUAAGUUCUAUAUUGCUUUCAUUGAUGAUCACACAAGAAUGUGCUGAAUUUAUUUCAUGAAAUUUAAAUAUGAAGUUGCUAACAUCUUUUGGAAGUUUAAAGCUUGGGAUGAAAAUCAAAGUAAAUGUAAAAUGCAAGUGAUCAGGUCUGAUAAUGGAACUGAAUACACCUCGGAGAAAUUUAACAAAUUUUGUGAAGAUGCAGGCAUUGAGCACCAGCUUACAACACCUUAUACCCCUCAACAGAAUGGAGUCGUUGAGAGGAAAAAUAGAACACUUAUGGAAAUGACAAGGUGUUUGCUGCAUGACAAAUGGCUGCCAAAGAAAUUCUGGGCUGAGGCUGCACAUACAUCAAUCUUUCUGCUGAAUAGACUGCCAACAAAAGCUUUGCAACAAAAUACUCCAUUUGAAGCAUGGUAUGGCUAUAAACCAAGGCUACAAAAUUUAAAAACAUUUAGUUGUCUUUGUUUCUCUUAUAUUCCACAUGUUAAGAGAGACAAAUUGGAUAAAAAAGCUGAAGUUGGGAUCUUUAUAGGCUAUAGCUCAAUAUCAAAGGCCUAUAGAAUCUACCUUCCAGAAAAUAACAAAGUGAUAGUUAGCAAAGAUGUCAAAUUCUUUGAAUCAGAAAGUUGGAGUUGGGAGAAUGAUAAGAAGCUUGAGUUUAAAGAGAAUCUUGAGUUCCAAAAGGACCUUGAGUUUCAGGAGGAGCAUGACAAUAUUGAUGAUGAACCUAUCAGGGGAACCAAAUCACUCUCUAACAUCUAUCAGAGGUGCAAUGUUGCUAUAAUAGAGCCUGCAGGGUAUGAAGAAGCUACAACUGAUAAAAAAUGGAUGGCUACAAUGAAGGAGGAGCUUAAAAUGAUUUUGAUGGACAAACCGACACACAAAAGGGCAAUUGGAGUCAAGUGGGUUUAUAGAACCAAACUCAAUUCCGAUGGUUCUAUAAACAAACAUAAGGCAAGACUAGUUGUCAAAGGAUAUGCUCAGAUGUUUGGGGUGGAUUUCUCUUAGACUUUUGCCCCAGUUGCUAGAUUGGACACUAUAAGAAUGUUGUUGGCUCUUGCUGCUCAAAAAGGCUGGAAUAUACAUCAGAUGGAUGUCAAAUCAGCCUUCUUGAAUGGAUACUUGGAGGAAGAAAUUUUUGUGGAGCAGCCUGAAGGUUUUAUUGUUCAAGGAAUGGAGGAGAAAGUAUAUUUGCUGAAAAAGGCCUUGUAUGGUUUAAAACAAGCACCAAGGGACUGGUACAGUAGGAUUGAUUCACAUUUGUUAGGCUUAGGCUUUACAAAAAGCCUAAGUGAAUUUACUCUAUACUUCAGGAAGGUUUGUGAUGAAACACUUGUGGUAUCCUUAUACAUUGAUGAUCUACUUGUGACAGGAAGCAGUAUGGAGCAAAUUGUUAAUUUCAAAAAGGAAAUGAAUGAUGUUUUUGAGAUGACUGAUCUUGGAAGGAUGACAUUCUUUCUUGGCAUGGAGGUACAACAAAAAUAGAAUGAGAUCUUCAUAUGUCAACAAAAAUAUGCCAAGGAAAUCCUGAAAAAGUUCAAGAUGGAAGAGUGCAAUCCAAGUGCAACUCCAAUGAAUCAAAAUGAGAAGUUUUGCAAAAAAGAUGGAGCUGCAAAAGCUGAUGAAAGGCUUUACAAGACCAUUAUUGGGCGCUUGAUGUACCUAACAGCAACUAGACCAGAUAUUAUGAAUGCAGUAAGUUUACUCUCAAGGUACAUGCAUUGUGCUAGUGAAAUUCACUUUCAAGCAGCAAAAAGAAUUGUUAGAUAUGUCAAGGGUACAAUUGACUAUGGUUUGAGGUUUUGUCAAGUUAAAAACUUUACUCUUCAUGGUUAUUCAGAUAGUGAUUGGGCAGGUUGUGUUGAUGACAUGAGAAGUACUUUAGGUUAUUGUUUCAGCUUUGGUUCUGCUAUUUUUGCAUGGUGUUCCAAAAAGCAAGAAGUCAUAGCCCAAUCCACAGCAGAAGCAGAAUAUGUAGCUACUGCUGCUGCUAUGAAUCAGGCUUUCUGGAUCAGGAAAUUGAUGGCUGACUUGUUUAUGGAGCAAAAGAAAAGCACACAAAUACUCGUAGACAACCAAGCUGCAAUUUCAAUUGCAAAUAAUCCGGUGUUCCAUGGCAAAACAAAACAUUUCAAGCUAAAACUCUAUUUACUAAGAGAGGUACAGAAAGAGGGAGAAAUACAGUUGGUCUACUACAAAACAGAAAGUCAAAAUGUUGAUAUCUUAACCAAACUACUUCUCAAAGCUAGAUAUGAGUUCUUGAGGCAAAGACUUGGAGUCUGCAGCUCCAGAGACAAGGAGGAGUGUUGAAUGACAUGUCCUAGGAGCUGCUGACAUGGAGCUGAGUAGAAUGAAGUGGAAGUAGUCAAAAUAAGUUAGUCAUGUGGAAAAUUUACCUAUUCCUUAGGAAGUAUUUGUUGGUUUGUUUCUAUUCUUUAGGAAGUAUCUAUAGGUAGCAAGUUUGUUGCUAUUUUUAUGUUUUUCUGUUUUAAGCUAGCUGUAUAAAUAAGUGCUUUGCAGCUUAAUAAAAUAUAACUUCAGAUUCCUCAACGUUUUGUUGCUUCUUGAGAGUUUCUACCCUUUGUUUCUAUCAAAACCUACAGAUAAGGUAUUGGCCCACCAUCACAUGAUAGUUUAAGCUUUGGGUUGAAUUGAUAAUUUAACAAAGAAUGACUAAAAGAUAAAUCAUCAUGAGAUAUUCAAGCCACUUACAUAACCUAAAAGGCUCAUAGCUUGGUCAGAUUGAUAAAAUCCUGUGUUCCUCUUCCCACUGAUGAUCUCAAGUACAAUAACACCAAAGCAAAAAACAUCAGAUUUUACUAAGAAAAACCCAUCUAGCACAUAUUCUGGAGACAUAUAGCCACUGCAUUACAUGGAAUGUUAAAAAGUAAUCAGUUGAUUAGGUAUAUGCCAAGGCAAAUAUCUUUCCCCAUGCAUACAAUACUUACUAAGUGCCCACUACUUUGUUUGUGUUUGCCUCUGUUUGCUUGCUCUCAAAGAUCCUGGCCAAGCUGAAGUCUGAAAUUUUGGGAUUCAUAUCCCCAUCUAAUAGAAUGUUGCUCGUCUUCAAGUCCCUGUGAAUGAUCUUCAACCUUGAAUCUUGGUGAAGAUAAAUUAGCCCUCGAGCAAUUCCCAAAAUGAUGUCGAAGCGACUCUCCCAGUUUAGUAACACGCAUAGCAUUCGAUCUUGCCCAGUUGCCAUUAGAAAGAAAAAUUUUAGUGGCAUGGUUCAUUCAGUUAGAUCCUGUCUAUCAGUUCAUGGCACGUAUGCAAUGAUACAACAAAAGUAGGGACUUGACGUAGGUUUAGAGGCAAACCAAAUAUGAAAGAGUCUAAGCUUUUGUUGGGCAUAUAUUCAUAAAGUAAAAUCUUCUCAUCUCCUUCAAUACAAUAGCCCAGAAGUCUAACCAGAUUUCGAUGCUGAAGUUUGGCAAUCAACACAACCUCAUUCUUAAAUUCCACUAGGCUUUGCCUUGAAGCACUUGAGAGUCUCUUCACAGCUGCUUCUUUCCCAUCUGGAAAUUUGCCCUAGAAGCCACAAUGCAUAUGCAUUAGACAUUGAUAAUCAGAAAUCAGUUGAAAAUAUGAGCAUUGUUUGAAAUAAGUUAUAUUACCUUGUAAACCGGCCCAAAGCCCCCUUGUCCAAGCUUAUGCGAAUCUAAAAAGUUAUCCGUAGCAGCCAGGAUGUCUUUUAAGUCGAAAAAUGGUACAUCAAUGCCUUUCUUAUCCUCAUCUUUGAAUUCCUUCAAGUCUAUUAAGUGUUUCACACGACUUUCACUAUCAUACAAGUGCAGCACAGGAUUUGCCCUGUUUCCUGAAUUAAAAAAAAAAGAAAAUAUUAUAUAGAAAACCUCUGCAAUUUUCUCAAUUUUGCCAGGUACAAUUUGAAAAGAAAAUAGCGGAAGAUCCAUGGUAGAGCUUAUGGCACAAAGAUUACCUUUCCUUUUGGUGAUGUUUCUUUUGCGCAAAUAAGCAAUAUAACCAAUGGUGCUUAAAAGCGCAACUAGAACAACAACAAUUGUUAUGCCUACCACAACUACCGGAGAUGAUAAUGACGACAUCUUAUUGCCAAGGUCUAAAACAAAGAAGAACCACUCUCAUUCAUGGAAAAGGCAAUGCAUCUAUCAUUACUAACCUCUAUGUCUUUCAUUGGAAAAUAAGUUUAAAUGACCAAAACCAAGCAAAAAGAAAGUAUUGAGUUCAACUUCUCACAUACCUAGAAAGCAAAUUUAGAAAUAUACUAGGUCUGUAGCUCACCUUGUGUAAAAUCUAAACUUGAUCCAUUUCACUUAAAUUUUUCACUGCAAAAGCACUUAGUGGUUCCAUUUUGUGUUCUGCAAUUUGAAUUAGGCCAAUCCUUGCAGUCUGCUGAUGAGGUACACACUAGCUCCAAUGGUGGAUCCCAACUGAUCUCUAUCUCAAUGCUAUUUUCCAAUGACUUCUCAGAGCCAAAAUUGUCGAUUUUGACCACUGUGCAGACAUUGGUCAUGUGAAAAGGCAGGUUUAGUGGUGGAAUUUUGUUGAUAAGACUUCGAGAACUGCAAUCUAAUUCUUUAAGUUAGAUUACAAAUGUUAAUGUCUCUAGAUUAAUGCUAGUUACCCGAUAGGUGCCACCAAGUACCUUGAACUGAACCUGGCCCGUGGUAAUGUUGCAUUCAAAAUUAAAGUACAUGGGAUCACCACACUUUGAUCCAGUGCUUAGAGGAUAAGGAAUCAUGAUUGAGCCACAAGCUUGACAAUUUCUUAUUGUUGAUUCUGCAAAUAAAAUGUAGAAUCCCUUGUUAAAGGGUAUUUCUUCCGAUUACAGUUUCUUCCUAAUGUCUAUAAAUGGAUUUAUGCUUGUGUUGAUCAAUAAACUAAAACAUGAGGUACUUCUUCUCAAGAAAAGGGGAAAAAGAAAUUGGAAAGGGACAUACCUAUAUCUGAAAUAGAUACACGAACAAAGAGAUUGUCAGCAUCAGAGUCAUACUCCUCCUGAAGACCACUAAGGUCGUCUGUCCAAAUCAAGCAUUCUGGGUUAUUGCCCCUUUAUGUUAUUUAGUUUGAGCAUAAUGUCACGGACUUAGUCGUUCACUAAGCUCUUGUGGCACUUAGGCAAGUCAAGACGCUUGAUCUUGCUAAGUCAGCCUUGCUCCCAAUGCUUAGCUUGCUAGGCUAAGACACUCACGACUCGAAAGCUUAAGAAGCUUAGUAAGCAACUCUUUAAAGGAAGCUCUUAUUAACUCAUGGAAGCCUUUACAAGUGCUUGGAAGCUCACUUGCUUGGUACCUUGGCCAAAUGAGGCCUUCACCUAUUUAUAGGCACCAAUGGAACUCUCUGGAACCUUGGAGGGUUCCUUACAACUUAAGUAUAUUCUAGAAUGUCCUACAUCAUUCUAGGUACAAGCCUAUGUACAAGGAUAUACAAGAGACUUCUGGAAUUCUCUAGAAAGCCCUGGACUCCUCUCAUGCCUUCCACCAUAGUGUAGAAUUGUGUGGAUUCCUCCAGGCUUCUCCACAACCUUCCACACUCUUCCCACUCUAGGAGUCUCCAGAAGCUUCCUGGCUCUAUAUAAGCCCAUGGGGAGGCUCAUUUGAAUCAGCUUGUGACACUCUCCUCCACCUAAGCCGCAGACGUUCUUGUCGCGCCUUCUGCCCGGAAUUGCUCAAUUUGCUCCUAUAACUGCCAUAGUGCAUCUGUUGGCUCCCAGCUAGCCUCACUUUUUGGUAGUCCUUUCCAUUUCACUAAGUAUUCCGUACCAGGAGGUACACCUCGUCUCCUGAUGACCCGAUCUACGAGAAAGUGUUCUAUCUCCUUAUCAUAGGAGAUCACGACCGUUGUAGGUGCCCUCUUAGACAACCCUCGGCUUGGAUCAUCUUUGUCUUCGUGAUAGGGUUUCAAGUAGUUUACGUGGAAGACAUGAUGAAUCUUCAACCUUGGCGGUAGCUUAACUCUAUAGGACACCUUGUCGACAUUCCCAAGUACGGGGAAGGGUCCUUCAUACCUCCUCAUAAGGCCCUUAUGCACUAACCUUAGGGAUUUGAAUUGUUGAGAAAUGAGCUUGAAAGCACCAUGUCUCCGACUUUGUACUCCGUGUGUCGUCGCUUCUUGUCAGCCCACUUCUUCAUUUUCUUAGCGGCCUUGUCCAAGUAUGAGCGUGAUAUGUCAGCUUGCUCGUGCCACCCUUUCGCGAACUUGAAAGCUGCUGGACUUCUCCCCGUAUAGCCUAUCGUUAGAGUGUGAGGAGUUAACGGUUGCUGCCUUGUGGCCAACUCGAAUGGGCUCUUAUUGGUUGCCUCACUCCUUUGCAGGUUAUACGAGAAUUGGGCUAUGUCUAGCAACUUAGCCCAAUCCUUCUGGUUGGCACUCAUGAAGUGCCUUAAGUAUAGCUCCAAUAAAGCGUUCACCCUCUCAGUCUGCCCAUCCGUCUGUGGGUGAAAGCUUGUGGAGAAGUGAAGCUCCGAACCCAUAAGCUUGAAGAGCUUCAUCCAAAACUUCCUAGUAAAACGCGGAUUGCAAUCACUUUAGGCAACCCCCAAUACUUGACUACGUGCUUUAGGAAUAGCCUCGUCGUCUCUUCCGCAGUGCGGUCAGUCGGGGCUGCUAUGAAGGUUGCAUAGUUAGAGAACCUGUCCACUACCACUAUGAUAGAACCGUUGUCCUCCGACUUGGGUAGCCCGAUGAUGAAGUCCAUGGUGACGUUGUCACAUGGGCGCUCUGCUAUAGGUAGUGGCUUCAACAGGCCUCUAGGUUGUUAUUGUUCCACCUUGUCUUGUUGGCACACAAGACAAGUCCUCACAUAGGCCUCUACCUCAUCCCGUAUUUGAGUCCAAUAAUAAGCCGACUCGAGUAGUGCCCUCGUGCGUCGUUGCCCAGGGUACCCAGCCCACUUGGUGUCAUGGCACUCAUUUAUCAGAUUCCGUCUUAUGUUCCCCCAUUUAGGCACAUAGAGUCGUCUCCCCUUAGUGUAGAGUAGGUCGUUCUCCACCCAGAACCGCUUAGUCUUCCCUUCAUGAGCUAGGACGAUGAGGCUCUUAGCCACUGGAUCAUGUUGCAGUCCCUCCCUUAGAAGAUCCAUUAUGUCUCCUUGGGGCUGACUCGUCAUGGAUGCUAGCUCCGUUUUACUGCUUAGGGCGUCAGCCACAUGAUUAGCACUCCCUGGCUUAUACUCCAACGUAUAGUCGAACUCAGCCAGGAAGUCUUGCCACCUAGCUUGCUUAGGACUCAACUUCUUCUGUGUUUGGAAGUAGCUAGUGGCAACGUUAUCGAUCUUCACUAUGAAGUGAGACCCUAGAAGAUAGUGCCUCCAGGUGCGCAAGCAGUGGACGAUGGCGGUCAUCUCUUUUUCUUGCACCGUAUAGCGCAUCUCUGUGUCGUUUAGCUUGCGACUCUCAAAUGCGAUCGGGUGUCUUUCUUGCAUAAGGACUCCCCCAAUAGUGAAGUGUGAGGCAUCUGUGUGUAUCUCAAAAACCUUGGUGUGGUCGGGUAGUGCUAACACCGACUCCUCAGUCACAGCCUUCUUAAGAUCUUUAAAGGCUUGUUGGCACCUUUCGUCCCAUUCUCAUGCCUUAUUCUUCUUAAGGAGAUCAGUGAGAGGAGCGGCCCUUGCUAAAUAACCUUUGAUGAAUCGCCGAUAGUAAUUAACUAAACCAAGGAAAUAUCUGAGCUAAGGUACCUUGGUUGGUGGAUCCCAUUCCUGGAUGGCUUUCACCUUGCUAUCAUCCAUCUUCAGCUUGCCAUCCUUGAUGCGAUGCCCUAGGAAGCUCACUUCUUUUUUAACAAAGGAGCAUUUUUCCUUCUUCACGUAUAGCUCGUUCUGCCUUAAGAUCUUAAAGACCUUCCUCAAGUGCUUUACGUGCUUCUUUAGGGUGUUACUGUAGAUGACUAUGUCAUCCAAGUAUACCACCACGAACUUGUUGAUUACUACUCAAAAAGUGCUAUUUGAUAGCUUAUAAUUAAUCCUUUUAAACACUUUUGAGUAGUAAUUUUGGCAUUUUAACUCAAUUGGCAUGUUAAGGACCCUUGAAAGCAAUUUUAAUCAUUUUGUGUAAGUUUUGGUGUUUUUUGUUAGUAAUUUGAUCACCAAAGCAAUUCAAGAUUGAGGAGAUUUAUGAGGAAUCUUGGGCAAAGCUUGGAAGUCAUUUGCCAAGAGUAAAUCAGGAAUGCAAGGAGAAAAAGUUAAGAGAAUCUGCCAUGAAGCAUAUUCUUGAUGAUAGUAGUAGCAGCCACUUUUGGAGCACUUUUUGAAGUCCAAUUGAUGCAUGCUAUAUACCAUUUCAAAGCUCAGGAAGUCAACAAUCCAAUGCUUCAAACGGUACGCAAUUCGGAGUUGAAACGAAGAAGUUGCAGCCAUUGCAAGCCAAUCACUCCAAGCUGAAGGAAGCAUUUUCCAAAGUGUUGCGAAAUCACCCUUUUGUUGCGAAGUGAUUUCGCAGCCUUUUUGUACAGUAGGGUGUAUUUCCUUCUGAAGUUGCCCGAUAUAUGCCGCAAACUGGAAGCUGAGAACAUCAAGGUGGAAGCCAACUUCGCAGCCCUGCGAGAAUAGCUUUUUGCUGCGAAGUGAUUUCGCAGCCCUUCUUGAGUGUUUGCGAAAUCUCGCAGACACCAUUUUCUCUUGCGAAAUGGUCCCUGGAGCAUCCCGAUAUUUGCUACCGACAUUGGGAGAUAUUUUACAUCAGAUUUUUGUUGUCUAAAUCCCAAAAUACUUCUUGUAAGCCACCAAUUACAAGAUUCCUUAGCUUUUAAGUUAGUAAAAAGAGAAAAUAUCCAUGUAAUAAUUAGUUUUAUAUUAUGUUCAUAUAAAUACUUCUCGGGAGCCUGUUCUCAAAAAGGGACCCUUUUGUAAAGUUUUGGGAAAGCAAGUAAAGUUCAGGUCCUUUGUUUUGUCUUACCUUCUCACUUUGUAUUAUUUAUUUCUUACUAAGUUAUGCACUCUCUGAGGAAUUUUCCCCAGAGAAUGAGUAACUAAACCUCUAGUUCCUUGGAGCUAAGGUUGCCGGGGAAGGUUCCAAAUGCAAGAAUGCAAAGCUUUGUGGUUUCAGCCAUCAAUUAAGAGGAAGUAAAGUCUUUUAGUGAUUUCUAUGUUUUUAGUUAACUUAAAACACCUUAGAGUCACCUGGGCCAACACUUGGUAAGGCAAGUGAUCUCCAUCCAUGGAGAUGCACUAGUUUACCCCUUGCGAGCCUCUGGGAGGUGACUUUAAGGUAGGAUUUUCUGGAAUUGCCAACACUUGGUAAGCUUUUGGACUCCAAGGAGACAUCCAUUAGUUAUCUCUUGCGAGCUAGAGAAGGGAAGUCUAAGGUUAAAGAUCACCUUGAAUGGUUAAGGCUUAGUGAGAGGCUUAAACCAUUGCAAGUUGCAUCAAUGAGAGAAUUAAAGUUGAAAUCUAAUUAAAGGAUGUAUCUGUACAACACCGGUUAGAGAAUUGACUAUAUGUUGAAUCUCUAAUGCGAGGAAAUGAACCAUCUGACCGGAGCUAUGUCUUUUGCAUGAGGAACCACCCCAGUGAACCUAACUCUCCAAGGAAUGUUUUUCUUCCUAAGUUAUUCUCACUACUUAUUCUGUUAGUUAGUUUAAAUCUAAAUCUUUACCAAUCAAAAGGUUGUGUUUUAUUUUUUUAGCUAACCUUGAAAUGAAACAAGACCAAUUCACUUUGAAUUGGUAUCAUUGAUAGCUUGCUAAUCCUUCCCAGUGAACGAUCCUAAAGCCGCUAUAUUAUAGUAGUUUUUUCUUUGCUACCCUAGUAUAUGGUGUAAUAGGUUAUAAAUUUUGUUGAUUACUCCCCCAAUCAAGGAGCACCAGCUGGACACGAAUCAGCUGAGACACCAAUUGGGCACGAAUCACUUGUCUAAGCAUGGGUGGAAGAUCUUGUUCAUGAGGGUGCAGAACGUUGCUGGGGCAUUGGUGAGUCCGAAAGGCAUCACUAAGAAUUCGUAUGAGCCAUACCUGAUCACACAUGUGGUCUUUGGCUCGUCCCCCUCCGCAAUCCUUACUUGGUAGUAGCCCGACCUUAGGUCUAGCUUCGUGAAGUACCUUACCCUUCCAAGUUGAUCGAAUAAGUCAGCAAUGAGCGGGAUAGGAUACUUGUUCUUUACCGUCACCUUGUUGAGUGCCCGAUAGUCUAUGCACAUUCGUAGGGACCCAUCAUGCUUCUUCUGAAAUAGAACCGGCGCGCCAUAGGAAGCCUUGGAUGGUUGGAUGAACCCCGCAUCUAGUAACUCCUUAAGUUGUCUCCUUAGUUCCUCCAACUCCGGUGGUGUCAUUCUAUAUGUACCAUAGUAGGGGGCUUAGCUCCCGACUCCAACUCAAUCCUGUGAUCUUCCUCUCUCCUAUGAGGAAGUCUCUUAGGCAACUCGGGCGACAUCACGUCCUUGAACUCAUCAAGGACCCCCUCGAUUUCCUUAGGCAUGGGUUCUCCCGACCCAUCGUCUCUUUCUUCCUUCAGGGUGGCGAGGUAGGUCACCUCUUUCCUCUUUAACCCCUUCCUAACUUGCAUAGCUGAUAGCAUAGGGGUCUUAAGCGUACCUUCAGUGACCGUAGGGACCAUGCAUGGCUUCUCCUCCUCUAAGAUAGCCAUUGAGCAUAGGAAAGGUAGUGGCACGACCUUGACCUUCUGUAGGAAGUCCAUUCCUAGCACCAUCUUGAAGUUAUCCAUGGGUGCCACUAUGAAAUCGACCCUUCCUUCCCAUGAGCCGAUGUGCAUAGCCACCCUGCAAGCUACUCCAUGUGACGGGCUUGGCAGCUGAAUUAACUGCCUUGAGUCAUCCUCCUUCCUUGGAUGCUUGGAGCUUUAGUCUCUUUGCCUCAUCCUCCGAGACAAAGUUAUGAGUGGCACCAGUGUUCACCAAGGCCUUGGUGGCCUUCCCAUUCACAAGGGCCUCUACAUACAUUAGCCCUUUGCUUUGAGGCGUCUUAGGCAUCGGCUUGGCCUUAAGGGCAUUUAGGAGUUGCAACGAUCCCACUUUAGCAUCGCCUUCCUGCUCAUUUUCCUCAAUCAUAGCAUUUAGAGCUUUCCUUUUAGGGCAGUCUCGUGCCCAGUGUGUACCAUCGCACAGGAAGCAAUUGGUCCUGGGCAUGAACUCCUUCCACUUAUCUUUGCCUUUACCAUCCUUGCCACUAGGGUCUUUGCUUGAUCCUUCCUUAGAAGUGUGGCAUUGUGAUCCAUUGUUUCCCCCACCUUUGGCCUGGUUACCCUUGGAUGGUGGUUUUGGCUUGGAGGAGUCUCCCCUUCUAUAAUCUACCAAGGACUCUGCUACCGCCAUGGUCAUGGCUAGGUCUUAGACACCAUGUCUCCUCAACUCUUGCUCGGCCCAACUUUGCAAGUUGUCCAUAAAGUUAAAUAGUAGCUCCUCCUCAGCCAUGUUAGGUAUCUCAAGCAUAAACGUAAAGAACUCCUUGACAUACUCACGGAUCGAGCCUGUGUGCUUGAGACGCUUCAUACUCUUCCUUGCUAGGUAAGCCACAUCUUCGGGAUAGAAUUGCCUUUUGAUUUCUCUCUUAAAGGCAUCCCAUGUGUCUAUGGUGCACGUCUCUUUCUCUAUGUCGGAAAACUGUCGACGCCACCAUAGAGUAGCAUUAUCGGUGAGGUAAAGGGUCGUGGUGCAUACCUUAGUGGCUUCAUCCGUCAAUGCAAUGGCCUCAAAGUAACGCUCCAUGUGCCACAAGAAGUUAUCUAGCUCCUUAGCAUCCCUCUUUCCAUUGAACGAGUGUGGCUUGGGCACCUCCACCCUUGGUGCCUCAUGAGUGGCCAUGACUCAUGUUGAUAUCGCAGUCUUGUAGAUGGCUAGCUCUUGAUGAAUCUCUUGGUCUCGGGUCUCCAUGAGCGCAGCCAAGGCCUCCAUCCUUGAUUCCACACUAGCGAACAUGAUCAUGACCUUGUCUUGGAAGGACAUGAACUCCUUGUGUGACACAGUUGAACUUGUGAGCCUAGCACCCCCUCGCGAAGGUCUUGGAUCUGCUCCCUUAGAUCCUCUAAGCCUUUCUCCAUGCCUUGCUCGAUCAAGUCCACCCCUUCCCGGGUGUCCGUCAUGGCUAGCUCCACCUUAGCUAGCCUUGCCUCCAUGUUGGCUAAGGCAUCACGAGACUUAUCCUUCCUGCCUCGGCCCCGUGCAGUAUGCUCCAUCUCCCUUCCACGGGUUUGCUCGCUAGUCUCCUCCACGUUAGAGCCCGACAUGCUUCCUUUGCUAUGCCCACUUCGUAACCGCGCUCUAAUACCACUUGUCACAGACUUAGUCGUUCACUAAGCUCGUGCAGCACUUAGGCAAGUCAAGACGCUUGAUCUUGCUAAGUCAACCUUGCUCCCAAUGCUUAGCUUGCUAGGCUAAGAUGUUCACGACUCGAAAGCUUAAAAAGCUUAGUAGGCAACUCUUUAAAGAAUGGAAGCUCUUAUUAACUCAUGGAAGCCUUUACAAAUGCUUGGAAGCUCACUUGCUUGGUGCCUUGGCCAAAUGAGGCCCUCACCUAUUUAUAGGCACCAAUGGAACUCUCUGCAACCUUAGAGGGUUCCUUACAACUCAAGUAUAUUCUAGAAAGUCCUACAUCAUUCUAGGUACAAGCCUAUGUACAACGAUAUACAAGAGACUUCUGGAAUUCUCUAGAAAGCCUUGGACUCCUCUCAUGCCUUCCACCAUAGUGUAGAAUUGUGUGGAUUCCUCCAAGCUUCUCCACAACCUUCCACACUCUUCCCACUCUAGGAGUCUCCAUAAGCUUCCUAGCUCUAUGUAAGCCCAUGGGGAGGCUCAUUUGAAUCAGCUUGUGACAAUAAGCUUGACAUUGGCAGUCACUAAGGCAAGCCUUUUUGCAAUAUUGAUUAUCAUUCGUAUCUACUAAAAUAGAAGACUACGGUUUUUUGGCUUUCAUCAUUUUUAAGCGCAAGAACAUGUCUUCAAUGGAAUUCUUCUUGUAUUUGGGUGACUUUCUGGUACACCCACUUGAGAACUCUCCAAUUUUCCAACUAUUCGGCGAGAUUGGUUUGAACCCAGGCAAACAUUUUCACAUCAAAGCAUUCUUAGUGCUACAACUUCCAAAUUUCCCACAAGCAAUUGACACACUGCAUCGGUCUUUCGGUGCCCACCAGACUGGAGACGAUGUAUUCCAAUUCGCAUAGUAUUGAAUUUCCCCUAAAGAACUCAUUACCAACUGUUUUUCAACUGAUGAGUUGGGGAUAGAGCUAUGCCCUUUAUACACGUUCCUCUAGGAGAUUUUGGACAACAAGCUGCGUGUUGCUUCAGGCAUCUCAUCAAACGUUCCAUCCCAGUCCUCACUGUACCAAUGUACAUAUAAAAUUUGAGAUAUGAUAUACUGGUACUCUUUUUCUUGAUCUAGCUUGAAGGUAUAGUUUCCAAGUGUGGCGUCAACGGGGCUUAACCAUGAGGUCAAUAUUAAGCUUUCAUUCAUCUUCAUACCAGGAAGAAAAAUAUCGGUGGGAUUACGGAAGCUCUCUCAAAUAAUCUCUUCGGAUCUAUUGCCACUCAAAACAAGGUUCCCAUAGUCCAUAAGCUUCACUAUCCUGUCUUUAGAUGAAGGUGUUUCAAUAUCAAUAGACCAGUGAACUGCUUCAUUAAUUUCGGCCAACACCUUCAGCUUACCAUCUUUUUUAAUGGCAAAAACUCCAAUGGAGGUACCAGAAAAGGGGUUCUCUCGGUUGGCUACCCACACAACUCUUGGUGGUUUAGACAUGUGAUGCCAUAUGCCCAUGAAUCUUCUAUUCUUGGAGCUUCCAUUUGGAUGAAAGAAGCCUAGUUCAAAAGUUUCACCGGAAGAGACAAGAGUUUCUCCAUUAGUAAGCCAAGUGUCUAGUGUGAUGGUGUGUCACGCCCCAAGACCCACUCCAAGGGCGUGACGGUCAUUUCACACCUCAAACCCGAAGGCUUAAAGUAUAAUCUGACCCAAACAGUCAUAUUGUAACUGGAUGUUACCAAUUACCAAAUACCUGCUCAGAGUAGCGGAAACAAAGUCUAAAAUCCUCAAAAUUCAAUUUCCAAAUAACUUCCAAAUACCAAAUGAUCCAAAAUAACAUAACUAAUAGUUAAACAAAAUCCAACAUAAAAUCCUAAGUCAAAUCCUAAUGAUGACCAUUCCUCAGCCUAGCCAUCACUCCUCACCCGAACUAAGAGUACCUGAAAAAUUUUCAACGAUUGGGAAUGAGCUCACAGCCCAAUAAGGAAUAUUAAUGCAGUUCAUGGAUCAAAUAUUUUCAUUUCAAAUAGGAGAUAUCAAUUUUUUUUUUUUUCAUCAAAUAUCAGAGUUUCAAAAAUGCCAAUAUAUUCAAAAUUCAACCAACCAAUUUCAUAUCAAAUUCAAACACUUUCCCAUCAGACUUAAUCAAAUCCAUUCAAUUUUUCAUUACUCUGGUUAUCAAAUAUCAAAUGCCCAGUUAGGUGGGACUUUUCAAAUGGGUGGCUAGCCUCAAAUUGUUCCUGGUGGACGGAACCAAACACUACUAGUACUAGUAACCUCUAAACAAACCCCUAGAGGUUGGGGUCCAAAUCAAUUACAUUCCCACCAUGAAAUGUAAAGGUCAACUAUUAUAUCCCAUUGACAGGGCCGAAUAGUCAACUAUUAUAUCCCGUUGACAAGGGCCAAAUAAACCAGAGUGAUGUUUUUUGUUCAAGUAUUCAAAUUUACACAACAUAAUAUCUCCAUAUUUUGUGUCAUAAAUAAAACAAAAUAUUCCAACAUAACAUUUAGUGCAAAACAAUUUGAUCCAUGCAUGGUAACAAAAUAUCAUUUUAUUUUCCACAAUUCAAAAUAACAUAUAAAAUAAUUUUAUUUUAUAAAUAUUACAUUAACUUCCCUUACCUCAAAAGAAGUCCUUGAAAGCUUGGGAGAAGAAUGAUUCUGAAAAAAAAUAUAAUCUACUCUUCACCUAAUAUAACAUAAGAGAAACAAUUAUUACUAUUUAUUUAUAAUUUAACUAAUCUAUUCCUUAUUUAAAUAAAACUAAUAAAUUCUCAAUUUGUUUCUAAUAACACAUUACUAAUUUAAUUAAAUUACAAUUUUAUGUCAUUAUAAAAUUCUCUAUAUAUAUAUAUAUAUAUAUUUUGCUAAAUCUAUUAUUACUAUUAUCUUAUUCAUUAAUCUAAAACUAAAUAUUAUUAUUUUAAUUAACCAAUUCAAAAGCCACUAGAUGUCUCGAGUACACCAAACCACCAAACCAAAAAGCAAGUUUUUUUUUUUUUUUUUCCAUUGCAUCAUCAUUCAUUAUAUAUAUAUAUAUAUAUAUAUAUAUAUAAAAGGCUUCCUUCCAUUUGGCACAUGCCUAUUUUUUUUUUUUUCCUCCUUGCUUCCAGUAGCACAGUACACGUACACCCCCCAUAUAUUUUUUUUUUUCUUCCUUCCUUCCUUCCAGUGCUGUGCACACGCGUUCUCCCUCUUUUUUUUUCUUUUUUUUUUUUAAUUAACCCUAACCUAAAAUCGAAAUAUUCCAAGGAAUUUUUUUUUUCUAAUAAAACUUAAGAUCUCCCAAAUUCCAAUGCUAAAAUCAAAAUAUUAAAUUUUCACUAUUUGAUAUUAAAACGAAUUAAAAAAUAAUCUAACCCUAAUCUAGAUUUGGGGUUUUCCAAAAAAAUAUAUCUAAUGUGUUUGAAAUUAAUCAAUGAAUCUAAAAUAUUAAACUAGGGGUUAGAAUCUUACCUAUAGAGAUCUGUUCUUCAACCCUGAAAUCUGACUCCAACCUUACGUUCUCUGGAAUUCUGCGAACAGGAACUCUAUUCAGAAAAGAAGGGAAAGAAUAAAAUUUCUAAUUUAUACCUAGGGUAUUUAUUCGUAAAAUUACUCUUUUACCCCUCUUCUUUUUUUUAUUAAAUUAAUUAAUUAACUAAUUUAAUUAUUAAUAACAAUUUCCUAAAUUACCCUUAAAAGAAAAUGCUUGGGCGUUACAUGGUGUCUCUAGUAGAGCAACACAGAAAAUAACACAAUAAGAAAAAAAUGGUAGAUAACAUUGUGAAUUGCAGAGACUGAAACCCUGAAUUUUCUUGUCUUUUUCCUACUAUUUUUGUUAAUCCGAGAAUCUCUUUAGUUUUGGUGCCACAAAUUCACUGUGGGAUAGCGUGCUACUUCUCUAGGUUGACCUUCUAUAUGUGGCGCCUAAAACAUUGGCCCCUUAGAUUAACUUUUUAAUUGUCUAAAACCAUUUUUACCGCAGGUCCAUACUCCGGGACAAGCCCCCACACCCCCAUCGGAUCAGUGGUGAUAGGCCCAAUCCCCCUGUUAGACCCUAAAAAAAAUCUCAUAGUUUUUUUUUCACCAUAUAUAUUGUAUUGCGAAAUUUUCAAGUCUGACAAAAUAAAAUUCGAGUCACGAAUCUUUAAUAGUUAUCAUCAAGAAAUGAGAUGGAAAUGUUUCAGCUAGUGAAAAUCUACAUCAAGAGGCUUUUUGGGAAGACAAAUAUAAAAAUACAUCUAAACAUCAUUAAACUUCAUGAUUCUAAUACACAUCAUGGGAUGAAUUCUCAAUCAUAUAUAGGUGAGUAUCACAUAUAUAUAUAUAUAUAUAGGUUUAACACACAAUGCUACAUAAUGUGGUGGAUAAAUAUGCAUGUCAAAUUGAUCAUAGUUGUAAAAUUGUUAGCUAGAAACUAAAAAUUUCUAAUCUGAUUCCUAAGUGCUUCUUUUUUUUUCUUUUUCUUUUUUUAAAAAAAAAACAAAAAAUGAUAAUAAUUUCUACAUAAAAUGUAAAAAUUAUCGUAAAAAAUUAAUAACAUUCAAUUUAGAAAAUUUUAAGAUAUUAUAUAAAACAAAUUCACCAUCUUAACAUUUAAAAGUAAUUUUUAAAGAUAUAAGAUAAGUUCAUAUUAUUUAUAUAAAAACUAUUUUAUAAUUUACAUAGAAAUUAUAUAUAUAUAUAUAUAUAUAUUGAAUUGGGUUAUUUCACAAUAUUGGAGCAUAGUUUACCUUAGGUGAUUAAAGAUGUGAUACAGUAUAGUUUUUAGGAUAGAUGUGAUAAUUUAUAAUUGAAGUUUUGAUAUGGGUUAAUUAGUAAUAUUAAACAAAGGAUAAUGCUUUUUCAUAUUCUUAGAUUUAAUUUUUGGUGAAAAUAAUUAAGAGUAAGUAUUUGAUAGUGAUUUUAAGAAAUGUUUUUAGUCUUUUUAAUACUUGAAAAAGAAAAUUUUUCAAGUGUUAGAAAAACCAAAAAUACCUUUUAGAAACAGUACUAAACAUAUUCUAAAUAUGUACUCAAUAAUCGAUUUAAUAAAUUCACGGGUGUCAAAAUAAAUAUGACAUCAAGAUAUGUUAAUAAAUUUUUUUUUUUUUUUUGAAAAAUAAUUCAACAUAUUUAUUGAAUUCACAUUCAAGACAAGGUCGCCUGUAACAUAGGUGCAUGGCUGUCCAUUUAUUCCCAAUUGCCUUAGACAAACAUCCCCUUACUCUUAAGUCAUUUUGUUUUUUUUUUUUGUGAUUGCAUGUUGAAAAUUUGAUUUUAACAUGAGUCCACUAGGAGUUCAGGACAUCUAUUAAUUAAUGGGGGCAGUUCUCGACCUCCAUGGCCUGCCUACUAAUUUUGGUGGGUUGCUCACAGGUGACGUCUGACUUAAAAUACGUCCAUCGCCCAACUUACUAUUCAUGGACAAACAAAAUAUUAGUAAUGUACCAAUCAUCUUGUAUAUGUAGUAACAUUUUCAAAUUUUUAAUCUAAACCUUGGUGUAAAUAAUUAAAUUUAAAUAAAUUAAUUAAAAUGUAUAUUUAAUUUUUUUUCACCCGCAAUUGAAGGCCGGUGGAGUGGUGAAAUCUUGGAAAUGGAAGCCAACCAUGCAGCAAAUAAAGUGACCCAAAGUCCAAGACCACGUUUAGAGCAUUUGUCCAUUUUUACUUGUUUUCAACGGCUUCUAGUCUUGAAGUUGAAAUCUGCGGUUUCAUAAACGGUAUUCUGAAUUUUCUCUCUUGCGUUCUGUUUUUCACAUUUUCCAGGAAAUGGGACCUAUUUGUUUGGCUAUCAGCAAUGAGUUUCUUGUCAGAAUCUGUAAAAGAACUAGAACUUGCAGAGAAAAAAUAAAUAAUUUGAGAGUUACGAAUUGAAGGAAGGCACACAUCUAUUUCACAAAUGAGAAUGCCUAUUUAUAGGCUUACAACCAAACGAAAAUUGCAAAAAAAAUCUUAGCUACUUUCAAAUUUUAUUGGCAUUACUUCUAUUAACUGAAAAUAGAAAAUUAUGGAGUAAGAAUCUGAUAUGAAACAAUAACAAAGACUAAGUCUAACUAAGACUUUUUCAAACUUCAGAGGCAAACUCUCAUGAGUUCUAACACUCCUCCUUGAGAUUUGCCUUGGACAUGCCAAGCUUCAACCUUAGAAACUCCAGCCUUGAUUUAGGAAGUGCCUUAGUCAUUAUGUCAGCAAGUUGCACAUCAGUUGAGCAAUAAUGCAACUUGACAAGUGAAUUCUUUUUAGCUUCCCUUAUAGAAUGAAAUUUUACAUUUAUGUGUUUGGUCUUGCCAUAUUAGACAGAAUUUUGAGCAAUGGCAAUGGCUGACUUGCUGUCACAGUAAAGCUCUGUUGGUGAGCUUUAUUCCUAGCCUAGAUCAGCAAGCAAUUUCCUUAACCAUAUCCCUUGAUUUGCAACAGCUGCUAAGGAGAUAUACUCAGCUUCUGCAGUUGAUUGUGCCACUACUUCUUGUUUUCUUGAAUUCCAGCAAAUGACACCUGAACCGAUUGUAAAUACAUAACCUGAAACGUUCUUCAUGUCAUCAACACUUCCUGCCCAAUCACUAUCAGCAUAGCCAUCUAGCUUAACUCCUCCUGUCUUUAAAUACCAAAUGCCAAGAUUUGUUGUACCUCUAACAUACUUCAGCACCCUUUUUGCAACUCCCAUGUGAACAUUGCUAGGUGAACUCAUGAAUCUUGAAAGUAAACCAGCUAGAAACAUCAAGUCAGGUCUGGUUGCUGUCAAGUAUAGUAGGUUGCCUACCAAGCUUCUAUAUGCAGAGGGUUCCUUAAGUUUCUCACCAUCAUUCUUUGAAAUUUUCUCAUUUUGUGCCAUUCCAAGGAAGUAGUUCAUGAUGCCAAGGUCAGACAUCUCAAAUACAUCUUGCAUUUCCAUUUUGAACUCAGCCAGCAAUCGUACAUUACUUCCAGUCACUAGCAUGGCAUCAACAUAAAGUGACACUACCAAUUGCAAACCAUUCUCAUUUUGUUUCAAAUACAAAGUAGCUUCAUUUUCACUCCUCCUAAAUCUAAGUUGGAUCAGGUGAGAGUCAAUUCUGCUAUACCAGGCCCUUGGUGCUUGUUCCAAACCAUAAAGAGCCUUUUGCAACUUGUACACUUUGUGUUCAUGCCUAGUAACCUCAAAGCCUUCUGGUUGUUGAACAUAAAUUUCUUCAAGAAGUAUGUCAUUUAGAAAAGCUGACUUGACAUCUAAAUGGUACACUUUUCAUCCCAUUUGACCAGCAAGUGCAAGUAACAGCCUUAUAGUGUCAUGUCUGGCUAUUGGUGCAAAUGUAUCACCAUAGUCCACUCCAGCAACUUGAGCAAAACCCUUCACAACCAAUCUAGCCUUGUGCUUGAAGAUUAAACCAUCUGAAUUCAAUUUGGUUCUGAAAACCCAUUUUACACCAAUUGUCUUCUUAGCUUCAAGUAAUUCUGUCAACUUCCAAGUUCCAUUUCUUUCAAUAACAUCAAUUUCAGCUUUCAUAACCUCAAUCCAUUCUAGAAAUCUUGCAACUUCUAUGUAACAUGUAUGCUCAACAUGUACAAGAUUGCACCUCUCAUACACAUUAGAUAAUGGCCUUACCUUAAGCACUGGUAUGUCUAAAGUUGCUUCAACAUCAAGUGGAUCUUCUGCUGGUUCAAGAAUAGAUGGAGUGGUUUGAUCACAUUUAUGGACUUUCUUCAAGUCCCAAUUCUAGUAGGAAUUUUCAUCAAAGUGCACAUCUCUACUUAUCACAAUUUUCAUUCUACUCAAGCUAUAAAUUCUGUAACCUUUUGAUUCUGCUGCAUACCCAACAAAAACACCCUUCUCAGCUCUUUCAUCAAGCUUACCUCUCUUGAUAGAUGGCACAUGAAGGUAACACAAUGAACUAAACACUUUUAGGUGCUUGACAGAUGGUUUUACACUAGACCAUGCCUAUAUUGGUGUUUUGCUCUUAACAGACUUAGUCGGUAGUCUGUUAAGCAAAUAUACUGAGGUGCUAACUACUUCAGCCCAUAGAAGCUUUGGUAGCUUCUUCUCGAGUAGCAUGCACCUCGCCAUCUCCAUUACCGUUCUGUUCUUCCUCUCAGAGACUCCAUUCUACUGCGGUGAGUAUGGAGCUGUCAGUUGGUGUACAAUUCCAACUUCUAGACAAAAAACAUUGAACUCUUUUGAGGUAUAUUCACCUCCAUUAUCAGUUCUGAGCACCUUAACCUUUUGGCCACUUUGAGUUUCAACCAUUUUCUUGAAGCUUUUGAACACAGAGAGCACUUGUGAUUUGGUUUUUAGAAAAUAAACCCAAGUCAUUCUAUUGAAAUCAUCAAUAAAUAGUGCAAAAUAAACAUUGUUGCUCAAUGAGGCUAUGCUCAUUGGUCCACAAAUAUCUGAAUGAACUAAUUCCAUCUUGUGAGUAGCUCUCUUGGACAUAUUUUGAGGAAAUGAUUUGCGAUGCUGCUUCCCUAGCUCACAACUUUCACAAGUUUGAUCAUUAACUGUGAUUUCAGGCAUGUCUUCAACCAUACUUCUUGCAUGAACUUCAAUGACUUCAAGUUGAAAUGACCAUAUCUUUUGUGCCAAACAACACUCUCAUCAAUCUUGGCACUAAAGACAUGACCUUCAACUAAAUCAAGCUUCAAAUAAAAGUUAUUUCCAUUCAUUUUAAUUUUUCCUAUCUCUGUUCCAUGUACAUCAGUGAUAAAACAAAAAUUUUCUUUAAAAGAGACUGCAUAUCCAUUUCUUAGCAUUUGUGUAACACUAAGAAGAUUUUGAUCUAGUUUUGGAAUGUAAAGAACAUUAGUGACAAUUUUUGUACCUCUCUUGGUGUUGAUAGCAAUUGUCCAUUUUCCUUUGGCCUGCACAACUUCACCAUUUCCCAACUUGACCGUUGCUUGAAUUGAUUUAUCAAUGGAGGUAAAAAUUGAUAGAUGUUUGGUCAUGUGACUGGUGCAGCCAUUGUCAAUGAGCCAAGUAUUCAGUUCAUGAGAACUGAGUACUUGUGAUGCCAUAAAUAAAUGCUUAUCAUCUUUUUUGUCUUCUUCAAUCACAUUUGCAUGUUGUUGUGUUUGCUGUUGAGAUUGUUUUUUCUUGGCUCUACAAUACUUCUCACUGUGGCCACAUUUAUUACAGAAAUUACAAUUAAAAAGGGAUUUACCUUUGUACCAACAAUCUUUCUCAACAUGGUUGGUUCUGCUGCAAUGAGAGCAAGGCGAAAAGUUUCAUUUUCUUGAAGAUCCUUCAGCUUUCCCUUUGUUGUUCUUGAAGAACUUCUUUCCUUUUAGGUUUCCAGAACUCUUUCCCUUAUGAUUUGCUCAAAAAGCACCUUCAGUAGCUUCAACACCUUUCAUUAAGACCCUUUGCUCCUGCGCAUGAAGCUUGCUGGUUAAUUCUGCAAUUGUGAGACUUUGCAAGUCACAAGACUCUUCAAUUGUAGAGAUCUUGGCUUCAAACUUUUAAGGCACUGAAACCAUGAUCUUUUCUACCACCUUUUGAUCUGUAAAUGCCUCACCAAGAAGCCUCAUUUGGUUUACAACAUCCAUUAACUUGCUAGAAUAAUCUUUCACAGAUUCAUUGUCUUUCAUCUUCAUCAAUUCAAACUCUCUCUUCAAUGUGAGGAGCCUGACAUUUUUUACUGUCACUACCAUCAAAUUCACCUUGGAGUUUGUCUCAUACCAGUUUAGGUGUUUCCAAGUCCAUGAUUUUGGUGAAGAUGUGGUCUACAAGUCCUGAAUGUAGGCAGGUGAUGGCUUUGUCUUUCUUAAGUUUUUCCUCCUCAUAUGCUUUCAUCUGAGCAACUGUAGGAUUUGCUCCCAAUGGUGGUGGAUCAGCUUCAAACAUCACAACAUUCCACAAACCUUGAGACCUUAAGCAAAACCUCAUCUUGACAACCCAAAUGUGAUAGUGUUCACCAUUAAACACUGGAAUAACAGAGGAAGUACUGCUGGAAGUAGACAUGUUUGCACCACAACUGCCUGAAAAAAAUAAAUCACUCAACCUCACUGUGUUUAGCACUCAAAACACUCAAAGAAACUUUGCCUCACAACUCGUAGGAACAAGGCUCUGAUACCACUGUCAGAAUCUGUAAAAUAACUAGAAUUUGCAGAGAAAAAAUAAAUAAUUUGAGAGUUAAGAAUUGAAGGAAGGCACACAUCUAUUUCACAAAUGAGAAUGCCUAUUUAUAGGCUUACAACCAGACAGAAAUUGCAAAAAAAUCUCAGCUACUUUCACAUUUUAUUGGCACUACUUCUACUAACUGAAAACAGAAAAUUAUGGAGCAAGAAUUUGAAACAAUAACAAACUUUAGAGGCAAAUUCUCAUGAGUUCUAACAUGGCAUAUGGGUUUUGGGUUUUUCAAUUGAGGGAAGCCUAUCAUAGCAUUUAAAAAUGGAUCCCCAUAGUGGCCAACACCAUAGGAUGAUAAUUCAUCAUGGUUCUUAAUCAUGAUCUUUAUUAAAUAGAUCAAACCCAAGUACGAUACAGAUAAUAAUCGUAUUAGAAAAACAUAAAUUCAUCUAAUUAUUUAAUAAACAAUAAGUCGUAUAAUUCAUUUAAUUAAUCUAAUAAUCAUACAGAAUUAGGUCUUAUACAAAUCUACACGAUUAAUUUCUUAAUCUAAUAUGUUUAUAAUUCAAUUAAUUUAUUUAUUUAAAAUCAAUUUUUAAAUAAAUCAAAUAUAAGUUAAAUGAGUUAGGGUUAAUCAUAUUAAUCAGUAUGAUUAUCAAGUUGGUCAAUUAGGAUCAAAAUUGUGUUUGACUAAUUUAUUUAAAAAUAACUUAUUUAUUAAAUGAGUUAUACAUAUUAACAUAAAUUUAAUCCUUAAACCCACAAAAAAUAAAUUGAAUUUGAGUCAUGUUAACGAAAUAUAUUACACUUUUGACACUCGUAGUCUACGUAAAGAAAAGAUGUUGCAUCUUGCCAUUAGCUAAGCUUAGAGCAUCCAACAACUGACUAUAAGGGUCCAUAUCUUAGGCUAAAUUGAAUGAAAGCAUUAUAUUAUACAAAACCCCCUAUGCUGAUGAUGGUGCAAACACCAAAUUUGAUUUCCCAAAGUUGUAUAAUAAUGUAUUAGUUGUGUCUGUUGUGCGGAAGUUAGGUACAACUUAGUGACAAGUGUGUAUGGGGCUUGGAAUCUAGUGAGAAUCCAUUGGAUAGGAGUACAAAAUGUCGGCCAUGAGCAUGAUCUAGCCAUCCACAUUUCUCUGUGUCAGAGGGGUCAGGACCAUGGAAGAAAAUAUCAAAAUAUAUUACUGAUAUAGUAUUGGAGGUUAUAAAAACGAUAUUUGAUGAAAAAAAUAUUAUUCUGACAAAAUUAUUUUAAGGAGUAUCGAUAUAUUUGUGAUUACUGAUAUUUUUAUCUUUGGUCAAAUUAGUUUUUGAAUUCACCCAUGCAUGACAUUUGAGAUUCAGCUUAAAAGUUGGAUCAACCCACCUGAUCACCUAAGCUUAUAGAAUAGUUACAAUGAAAAAAAUAUAGUUAUAUGACAUGGAAACACUUGAGUCUUCAUUGAUUUCCUUUUCAGAUUGAAAACUAUUAGAAAAAUUGAUUCAAUUGUCAUGAAAUUGGUAUCCACAAAACCAAAGAAACACCCUAAAACUAGUCCAAAAUCUUAUCUAACCCACAUAAAUUACAGAAAAUUAUCUUAACAGCAACCAAAUUCCUAAGUCUUUGCACAAAAUCCUAUCCAAGAGAGAUCUUUUAGAUUUCUUAUCCACUCUGGAUUGACUGGUAGAGACUUUUAAACCAGGGUUGUGCCACAAGCUCAUGAACAAAUAAAAUUGGACAAAGAAUUGAAUGAGUGGAUAAACAUCAUUGUCAAUGUUUCUACUUGAGCGAGAAAUACGUUAGAUUUCUACACUUCUAAAUAGUUGCCUUGAGUGAUUCCUUGGUCCCACAGUAUUUGCUUCCCCCUUUCCUCGUGGUUUGGGAAAAGGACAUCCACACGGUUUGGUGUAGGAACCACCCUUUCCUUUGCUAUCCAUGAUUAUUUUUCUUUCCAAUAAUAAGGAAAACAUUCAUCAAGGCCCCAUGUGAAAACUAUUAUUGGUGACUGUAGGAAUAGAGCUAUUCAAUUUUUCCAAUAUACAGGACAUUGGAUGGAUACUGAUAACAAAAAAGAAUUACAUUAAAAUGUAUAAGCGAUGUAUUAUAAUUCAUUUUCUCAUCUAUUUUCAUGUUUUGAUUAUUUUAACGAGAUGGGAUGAAAUUAAAUAUGAUUUUAACAGAAGUGAAACUUGUCUCGUAAAUAGGAUUCCAUGUUGAUUUCAACAGAAGUAUGUGGAAGGAUAUCGUGGUUAAUUUAUUUAUUUUUUCAUUUUCAUUUCUAUUAUUUUUAAAUAUUGAAAUAACAACAAAUACUCAUUUCAAAUUUAUAUUGCUAGAUGCAUACAAAUAUAAGAACUGAAGCACCAAAUUCACUCCUAUUCUAAGAGGAAUAAGAACAUUGAUUUUCAUUCCCUACAGUCAAGUACCGAACAUGGCCUAAAACGUAAGGGUUCAUGGGAGAUCCUUCUCGCCUAUCGACCUUCUUCUAUGGUGGCUAGGAACUCACUAUUCAAGGAUGCUUCUGGUUUGCUUGAAGAAGAAGCUGAGCUGGAAAGGUCUCUCCUUACGACAAAAGCUGGUUGUUUAGGAACUGGGAGUGUGGCAGUGUCACUGCUGAGCAUUACAACUGCAACUGCCAUGGUGGGACGGUCACUUGGGUCUUCUUGCACACACAACAGCCCAACAUUCACGCACCUCAGAAAUUCAUUUGUUUUACAUGUUUCACUUAGUGUCUGGUCCAUCAACUCCAACACCCUGUCUUCCUUCCACAGCUUCCAUGCCUGGGAAAGUUUGGACGUACAAGGGUUUCAUGGCAUAUAUAUAGAAUGUCCAAAGGAUCAAUGCAAAUGAGAAAUUCAAAGCACUUACAUGGGCUAGAAGGCUCAGAUUCCGGUCAGACUGAUAAGAUCUGGUGUUCCUCUUCCCGCUGAUGAUCUCAAGUACCACAACACCAAAGCUAAAGACAUCAGACUUUUCUGAGAAAAACCCAUCCAAUGCAUACUCUGGAGACAUAUAGCCACUGCAUUGAACCAGUUAAAAACACUACUCAGUUAAUUGGGGAUGCAAUCAUGCAACUACUUGCAUUUUACCAUACACAAUAUGCAGUACUUACUAAGUUCCAACUACUCUGUUUGUGCUUGCUUCUACUUGCUUACUCUCAAAAAUCCUUGCCAAGCCAAAGUCUGAAAUUUUGGGAUUCAUCUCGUCAUCAAGUAGAAUGUUGCUUGUUUUCAAGUCUCUAUGGAUAAUCUUCAAUCUUGAAUCUUGGUGAAGAUAAAGUAGCCCUCGAGCAAUUCCCAAAAUGAUAUCAAAUCGCUUCUCCCAGUUCAGUAACAGGCAUAGAGUUUGAUCUUGCAAUGUUCCCAUUGGAAAGCACGACUUCAGCAUGUACACGUUGUAAUAUGGGAGAAAAAAAAAGGAACUUUUAGGCAGGUUAGAGGCAAACCAAAUAUGAAGGAGUCUAAGCUUUUGUUGGGCAUGUAUUCAUAGAGUAAAAUCUUCUCAUCUCCUUCAAUACAAUAGCCCAAAAGUCUAACCAAAUUUCGAUGCUGAAGUUUGGCAAUUAACACAACCUCGUUCUUAAAUUCCUGUAAGCCUUGUCCCGAAGCUCUUGAGAGUCUCUUUACUGCAAUUUCUCGCCCUUCAGGAAACUUUCCCUAGAUGCCAUAGCGCAUGGUAUUAGACAGACAAACCAGAAACCUUGAAAUGAGACUAAUGUGGAAAUUAAGGACUAUUACUUUGUAAACUGGCCCAAAGCCCCCCUGUCCAAGCUUAUUUGCAUCUGAAAAGUGAUCUGUAGCAGCCAGUAUGUCUUCUAAGUCGAAAAAUGGUACGUCAAUGCCUUUCUUAUCAUCUUCUUUGAAUUGCUCAGAGUCUAUUAAGUCUUUCACACGGCUCUCGCUAUGAUACAAGUGAAGCCCUGGAUUUGUUCUGUUUUCUGAAUUCAGAAACAAGACUACAUUAUGAAGAAGUCCCCUAAAAAUAUUAUCAAUUCUGCCAAUCAACACGAAACAAAAAAAGACCAGAACUUAAACGGUGGCGCAAAUAGCACAAAGAUUACCUUGCCCUUUGGAGAUGGUUCUUUUUCGAAAAUAAGCAAUACAACCAAUGAUGCAUAGAAGUCCAACUACUACAACAGCAGUUACUAUGCCUACCACAACUACCAGAGCCGAGGAUGAUGAUGAUGACUUCUGGUUUGCAGGUGUUGGAGCCUCCGCAAGAUUGCCACCAUCUGAAACAAAGAAAGACCACUCUCAUUCAUGGAGAAGGCAGCGCAUCUGCCAUUACUAAUCACUGUGUCUUUCAAUGCAAUUUAGCAAUAUGCUUGCUGAAAAGCAUCCUCACCUUGUGUACAAUUUAAACUGGAGCUGUUCCAUUUGAAGUUUUGAUUACAAAAACACCUUCUCGUUCUAUUUUGCGUUCUGCAACUCGAAUUUGGCCAGUCCUUGCAGUCUGUUGCUGAGUUACAAACCGGCUCUGGUGGUGGAUCCCAACUUAUUUCAAUUUCAUACUGACCUUUCAUAGGCAUGCUGGAGCUAGAAUUUCCUGUGUCAGCAUUGCACCAGCUAGUUAUCCUGAAAGGUGGAUUGAGCUGCAGUAUCUUCGUGUCUUGUGAAUUUCGUGCUUCGCAGUUAUCAAUAUCAUUCACUUGGAUGAGAAACUUCGAUCUCUCUGGAGUGAUGCUGGUUACUCGGUAGCUGCCAUUAGGUAAGGCGAACCAGACUUGGUCUGUGGCCUUGUCACAUCUGAAACUGAAGUACAUGGGAUCACCACAGUUUGGUCCAGUGCUUAGUGGAUAGGGGAUCAAGUUUGUGCCACAAGUUUCACAAUUUCUUACUGUUGAUUCUGCAGAAUUAGAAUGAAUUUCAAGAUUUUCCUCAUUAACAAUCAAUUAAAUUCAGAAGUAGAAGGGGGCAAGCAGAGAGGAUACCUAUAUCUGAUUUGGCGACACGGAGAGAAAGAUUAUAGCCAUCUGUGUUAUACUCCUGAAGACUACCGAGAUCUUCAGACCAAACCAGCACUUGGGAGGGGUGCUAGCACGGCCCCUUCGUAUCGUUCCAACUCCAGCAUAAGCUUGACAGCGACAGGUCUUAAGGCACUCUCUUCUGCAUUCACUUUCAUCCUUAUCCGAAAACUCAAUGUCAUACUUUCUUACUUUAAUCAUCUUCAAGAUCAAGAAUGUGUCCCCACAGAGGGUUGUCUUUUUAGAACACCCACCUGAAAAAUCUCCAUUAGUCCAUCUCUCCAGCGAGUUAGGCUCGAAUCCAGGCAAACAUUUGCACAUAAAUGCAUUGUUAACAUUGCAAGAACCGAAAUUCCCACAAGCAUUCAACACACUGCAUCGGUCUUGCGGCGCCCACCAGAAUGCAGACCACUCCUCCGUAUAAUUAUCCCAAACUAGAUAUCUUAUUUCCCCGGUGAAAUUCAUCACCAACCGUGUAUAAGAACUGCGGACAAAUUCAGACCCAGUUGGUUUUCGGGUCUUGCUAAAAUUGGAUAAGAGCUCGGCUGCUGCAGAACUCAUUCCUUCUGAUUCCUCACUUCUCCAAUAUUUAACAAUUGAAUCUUCAAAUAUGAUAUACUGAUCUUUAUCAUCAUCUUGCUUGAAAGUAUAGCUUCCAGGUGCAGGGUCAACGGGGCUUACCCAUGAAGUCAAUGUUAAGUUUCCCUCCAUAAUCAUCCCAGGAAGAAAAGUAUCAGUUGGGUUCUUGAAACUCUCCCAAAGAAUCUUCCCAGAUCUGUUGUCCCUUAAAACAAAGUUCCCAGAAUCCAUGACCUUGGCCACCCUACCCAUGGAAGAUGAGCUUCCAAGAUUAGUAAACCAGUAAGCUGCUCCACUUUCAUUCACUAGCUUGAGGUUACCGUCAUCUGCAAUGGCAAGAGCUCCAACACUGUCGUCAGGAAGGGGGUUGUCUCUAUUGGCUACCCAUACAACUGUUCUCUCCUUCAACCCGUAGUACCAUAUGCCAAUGUAUUUUCCAUUGUUGAACCCUCCCUUGGGAAUAAAGAAGCCCAAUUCAAAAGUUUGAUUGGCUGAAACAAGAGUUCCUCUACCAUCAUCAAUAAGCAAAUUGUCUGGUGUGAUGGUAUCUCUAGCAGAGCAGCACAGGAUAGAACACAAGAAGAAAAAGAUUGCAUGUCGCAUUGAAUUGCAGAGACUGAAACCAUUAAUUUUCAUCUAGUCCUUUGCAGGAUAGAACCCAAGAAGAAAAAGAUUGCAGACAGCAUAUGAGUUGCAGAGACUGAAACCAUUAAUUUUCAUCUAGUCCUGUUGCCCACCAUUUUUUUUAAUGGUAAGAGUAUGAAAAGUUUGGUGGCAGAGUUGAGUGUGGGGUUGCUGCUGCUGUAACGCACUCUCAAUAUUAUCAUAAAUAAAUAAAUAAAGAUUAUUAAAAAAAAAAAAAAAACCUCCAUUGUAUCUAGGUUGACAUCUUAUUAUGGGAAAAGAAAGAAAGGAAAAAAAAGCAAUGCAGAAUUAAAUUAAAAAAAAAUCCAAAAAAUUAAAAGUGAAAUGGAAAUUCUGCCCUCCCUAAAAAUAUAAAUUUAGUUUUAAUUCUUUUUUUAAUUAAAAAAACAAUAAUGAUAAUUAAACAUUAUUAAUAAAAAAUAAUACUUACCUUUGAGUAUUAAUGAUAUAUUAAGAUUUAAUUAAAAUUUAAAAAUAUAUUUUAUGUUAAUACCUAUUUCUUCCCUUUUUAUCCUAUCUUUAUCUUUUUUUUAGUGGAACCAUUGUUCCAAUUUAUUUUGCAUUAAUUCAAAUUAUAUGAGCUUUUUUGUUUUAUAAUAAACCCUUCAAUGAAAUUGACUUUUUAAAAUUUUGUAUUUGAUGGUUUAUAAGCUUUAAUUUAAUGGUGGGUUAUCUAUAGUUUUAAUCUUAAUAUUUAAAAAAAAAUAUUUUUAAAAUUUGUGACAUUUAAUUAAAUAAUAAAUUUUGCUUUCUUUAGUUUUUGAUGAUUUACUCUUAUUGAAUUGUUUAUAUGAAGUGAUAGCUUAUGUUUUAUUUUAAUUAUAAAGCUGAUGCACCUUAAUAAAAUAUUUUGACUAUAAAUAAUAUCGGUAAAGAUCUCUACACAUAUUGUGUAAUAUAUUUGAUGAAGACCUCUACAUAUAUUGUCUACUUUUGAGUCCAUUAGCUUUUAUAUUCCUACUUAUAACAUUGUUUACAUAUUCCAAAUAGCUAAUGGGUGGUCAUCCUCAUGUUUUCAAUUAGGAAUUAGUUUUAAUAUCACUUAACCCAACUCAUGUAACCUUAUUUUCUUUAAACCCAUUAAUCCUCGCAACUUUAAACCCUAACAACAAAUGGGCCACCCUUAAAGUACUAAAAAUUUCUUAUUCAAAUGAUAUGAAAUAUUAUAUUCGAUCAUUUAUAUAGACACAUUGUUCUCAUCAUGACCCAUAGGGUUUAUGGAUAGUCAAAACUCUACAUAUUUUUUAUUAGGGAUUAGCACAACCUACUAGACUUCUUGAUUUUACGUAUACUAAAUGCAUCACUCUUCUAAGUAUUACGAAUUCUCAUAUGAGAAUUUGAAAAAGGGAAAAGUGGGUUUUUCCUCACUAAUUUAAAGAUAUAUAGAAAAAAAAACCUCAAAUUUUAUAAAUAAGUUUUAUCUUUAUCAAUUUAAAAAUAUUUUAAAAUACAUACACUUUUACAUAAAUCAGAUAAUUAUUUUUUGAAAUAGCACUUUACUUGAUAAUAUAAAAUAAAAUUAUCAAAAAAUAUUUAUCAUUUUAAGUUAAUAAAAGUACAUUGCAAACAAAUAUAUUAUAAAUUUUUAUUAUAUAAUAUAAGGUACAAAUCAUUAUGGAAAAAUUCAGUAUAUUCCUCAAGUGAUAAAUAAUUUUUUUGCUAAUUCUCUAGCUAAUAAUGAUUUUAUAUUUUAUAUUAUAUAAAUCCCUUCAUCUUCUUACCUUUUUUUAAAAAAAAUAAAAUUGAAUAAAAUUUUUGUUGAUUUACAUCAACAAUAAAAUAAGAAACUUAAAAAAAAAAACCUAAAAGUUAAAAUAUAAAAAUAAAAUAUUGACUUUCAAUUGGCGUACACUAGUUAAAAAUCUAGAUAUAAUGGAAGGCAAUAUUUUCUUUUAUUUUAUUUUAUUUUAAAUUUUUAAGUAUUUUAGUUUUAAUUGUAUUUUUAAAAUUUUAAAUUUCUUAUUUUAUUGUUCCUAAGGAUGUUUGUUUCUAGAGAGAGAAAAAAAAUCUUAAAUCAAGUCUCACAAUUAACAGAACUAAAAGAAAAAUUAGUUUUUUACAAUUAAAUAUUUAUGUAUCUACUUGUUAAUUGGUAUUAUUAACAUAGUAAGUGCAAGUAAAAUGUUAUUUCAGAAAAUAAUUAUCUGACUUAAAAAAAUAUAUGUAUUUUAAAAUAUUUUUAAAUGGAAGAAGAUAAAAUUGAUUUAUAAAAUUUGGGGGUUUUCUUUUCUAUAUUUUUUUUUCAAACUAGUGACUUAUAAUCCACUUUUCCCAAAUCAACACAUUUACACCGAUUAAAAUAAUGAUAUAAAUAACAUUUUUUUUCUUAACUUUCAUGUUUUAUUAAGAUAUCAUGUUUUGUACCUAAAAAGAAAAGAAUGACAAAGAAAAUAAUUUUCUCACAUGUAAUAGAAAAAGAAAAAUAGUAAGGAAAUGAUGAGAGAAAAUUUAAAAGAUUUUCUUUUCCAUUUUCAUUAGAUAAAAGCAUGAAAAAUUUAGGAAAAAAAAUAUAUACUACUCAAUAAUUCAAUUUUCUAGAAACCAAAUAUAGUCUAAUAUUGCUCUACGUUCAAAGUCAAUUUUCAACAAUGAAUUCUCCUCUUACAGUACUUCUUCUUAACUCGAUUGUGACAAGUGUUGUCAUAUGAAUUUUCUUCCCUCAAUCUACCUACUGUGAAAUGUAAUGUAAAAAAAAAGAAAAAGUACUCCUAAUCGAAUAAUGAGUAAUCACUAGAGACUUUGGAGUGUAGCAUGCAUCCUAUUCUUUAAUUAUUGUCUCUCAAACCAGUCUUAACAUUUUUAUUCAUUGAAUUAAAUUAUUAAAUAUACAAAUUAUUGACUGGUGUCUAAGUUUUUUCUUUCUUCAAUUUCUAGCUUUAAGUUCCCAAAUGAAAAAAAAAAAUUGUCAAGAUCUUGAUUAGAAAAACCUAUUGUUUAAUUGGAAAUAAAGUGGACUCAGUCUCCUUUCUUGUUGAUACAUUGCUUUCAUCUCUUUUCCUUCUGGCUGGCUACUAUGCUUCCCGCUCUCUUCCCAAGCCUAAAAGAAGGAUAACAUUUUGUUUGUUCCUCCGCCCCCCCUAUGAAUACAUGUCACUGGCUAUGAUCAUGAUGAUGUUCAUUUUUUAAAACAAAGAAAAAUGAAAAAUAUGAGCAUCAACCAAUAAAUUUUAGUACCCUUUCUCCAACUUGGAGGAGUUCCAAAUGGGUAAUUUUUUUAUAUUUUUGUUAUAAUUUUUAUGUUUUUUAUUUUAAAUAAACAAGACAAUCCAUUUUUCUUCUGAACAUUUUUUCUUUUCCCCUUUAGCCCUAAUGGCAGUCCACUUCAAAUAUUUUUGUGCCCAAAGGGUCAAAACUAAGGAAAGAUUCAAGAAAAAAUUAGGAGAAUUAAAAAUCAAAGCCCAAAAAGGGUUCCAGCAAGUGGAUGAUUUUUCUCAGUCAACUACUGCAAUUUGGGUCUUCCUUCCUCUACUUCCUAUUUUAUUUCCCAUAGGUAGGUUAGGCACAUUGACAUCUUUUUAUCCAUUUCUGUUUGCUUUUGUGCUUUUUUGGGAAAUCAUAAUCUGAUGUAGAUCCUGAUGGAACAGGUUUCUAUAGAAAAAUCAACAAGGGCUUUUUUUUUUUUACUUUUAGUUAGAUUCUGUUAUCUCAUGGGUAUGGCAUGGAAGAAUUGAUCCUUCACUCAAAAUUGAGAGGAAAAAAAAUAGAUGUUUAUUUAUUUUUGUAUUAUAGCUCCUUUACACAUGUCACAAUCCCAUUUGCCUUAAUUCGUAGGCAUGACAUCCAAAAGUACUUUUCAGUACCAUAAUUUGAUGGAAAAAGUGGGUUUUGACUCGUUAAGGAAAAUUCUAUAUUACCUCAUGGGUAUGGCAUGGAUGAAUUGACCAUUCAAUGAAAAUUAAGGGGAAAAAAUAGAUGUUUAUUUAUUUUUGUGUUAUAGCUCCUUUACAUAUGUCACAAUCUCAUUUAUAUUAAUUUGUUGGCAUGGCAUCCGAAAAUAAUUUUCGAUACCAUAAUUUAAUGAGAAAAUAAGUUUUGAUUCACUAAUAUGAAAUAUAUAGAUAAAAAAAAAUCUUAAUUUUUCAAAAUCAAUAUUAUCUUCAUUUAUUUAAAAAUCAACAAGGGGUUUUUUUUAUUUAAUUUAUAGGAAUAUUCUAUGUUACCUCAUUGGUAUGGCAUGGAAGAAUUGACCAUUCAUUGAAAAUUAAGGGAAAAAAUAGAUAUUUAUUUAUUUUUGUAUUAUAGCUCCUUCACACAUGUCACAAACCUAUCUAUGUUAGUAGUACAUGUGAUGCUUGCAAAUAAACACAAAUAGGAGAAGGUGCAGAGUUAGCAUCACAUGUUCAUGUAUUACAAUAUGAUUGGUUCUUUCUCUUUCCUCCAUAAAAUUCUCUUAUAUAGUUGACUGGUUCUUUCUCAUAUAUGGUUGUAGAUAUGAUUUGAUCAAACCGCAUUAAAACCCGGGUAACUUAGUUUGCUUUAUUUAUGUUAUUCUGUUCAAUCUGGCAUUAUAGUUUUUUAUCUUGCAAGGAUUCCAUUGAAAAACAUAACUGAAAGGGCUUUUAAGAUUUGGAGUAUAAAUAUAGUUUCCAAUAUCUUCCAAUAUAUGUUGUGGGCUCAGAAAGAAGUCCUCCCAAUUGUACUGAAAAAUCAGUGCAUUUAUGCUGCAAUUUGUUAAUAUAGUUCAGUCAGAAACAGAGCAGAUAAACAGAUAUAACAACAAAAUCCUGGGAGUUGGACAAUUUAUUAGCAGCCUUCACCAUGUACAGGAUCCCAUAGAGACGUCCAAAACAGAGCAUCAAAUGGGAACUCCUCCUGGACUAUCAACCUUCUUCUAUGGUAGCUAGGAUUUCACUGUUCCAGGAUGCUUCAGGUUUGCUAGAAGAAGAAGCUGUCCUAGAAAGGUCUCUUUUUAUGACAAAUGCCGGUUGUUUAGGAACCGGCAUUGUUGCAAUGUCACUACUGAGCAUUACAACUGCAACUGCUAUGGUGGGUCGGUCACUUGGGUCUUCUUGCACACACAACAACCCAACAUUCACACACCUCAAAAAUUCUUUUGUGUUGCAUGUUUCGCUUAGUGUCUGGUCCAUCAGCUCCAACACCUUGUCUUCUUUCAAUAGCUUCCAUGCCUGGGACAGUUUGAGAAUAGAAAGUUAAGUAUGGUAUGGUAUAUCGUUGAGAACGACUAAAAGAUCAAUGCAAAUGAGAGAUUCAAAGCCCUCACUUGACCCAGAAGGCUCAGUGUUUGGUCAGACUGAUAAAAGCGAGUGUUCCUCUUCCCACUGAUGAUCUCAAGCACCAUAACACCAAAGCUAAAGACAUCAGACUUCUCUGAGAAAAACCCAUCCAAUGCAUACUCUGGAGACAUAUAGCCACUGCAUUGAACCAGUUAAAAGCACUACUCUGUUAAUUGGGGAUGCGAUCAUGCAACUGCUUGCUUUUUUCAGUACACAAUAUGCAAUACUUACUAAGUUCCAACUACUCUGUUUGUGCUUGCCUCUACUUGCUUACUGUAAAAAAUCCUCGCCAAGCCAAAGUCUGAAAUUUUGGGAUUCAUCUCAUCAUCAAGUAGAAUGUUGCUUGUUUUCAAGUCCCUAUGAAUAAUCUUCAGUCUUGAAUCUUGGUGAAGAUACAGCAGCCCUCGAGCAAUUCCCAUAAUGAUGUCAAACCGCUUCUCCCAGUUCAGUAACUUGCAUAGGGUUCGAUCUUGCAAGGUUCCCAUUGGAAAGCAUUACUUCAGAUAUGUAUACAAGAAUGUAUAUGUUACAUGAAAAAUAAAAGGGCUUUAAGGCAGGUUUAGAGACAAACCAAAUAUGAAGGAAUCUAAGCUUUUGUUGGGCAUAUAUUCAUAGAGUAAAAUCUUCUCAUCACCUUCAACACAAUAGCCCAAAAGUCUAACCAGAUUCCGAUGCUGAAGUUUGGCAAUUAACACAACCUCAUUCUUAAAUUCCUGUAGGCCUUGUCCUGAAGCUCUAGAGAGUCUCUUAACCGCAAUUUCUCGCCCCUCUGGAAACUUGCCCUGGAAGCCACAGUGCAUAUGCAUUGGGCAUAUGUUAGAACUUGGUGACUUGAAUUCUAUUUGGUUCGAUUCCAGAAGCUCGCGAUGCGACAUAGGUAGUAAAGCUAAAAUUAUGAAUUUUUUUUUUGGUCUAUGGUAGUAACAGAGGGAUCGGACCUAUUACUCUUUCAUGUAUAUAUAUAUAUAUAUAUAUAUACAUGCGGUGAUAUAUAGUUUUCAAUGUUAUGAUGAUUAUGUUUUUGCUAUAGUCGUCCGUAUCUCUUUCCUCUUGUACUAAUUUUUGACAUAGUAAAAUUUCUUCUCUUUGUGGUCUUUCUUAUCUAGGGUUUUCCACACAAAUCUAUGUGUUCUUAUCCUGUUUUAUUCCUUAUUGCAUAUUCUCAUUAUUUUGUAACAGCAUUGAUGAUGAGAAAUCAGUUGAAAAUGAGAGGAACAUGGAAGUUAAGAACAAUUACCUUGUAAACUGGACCAAAACCCCCUUGUCCAAGCUUAUUUGCAUCUGAAAAGUUAUCUGUAGCAGCCAGUAUGUCUUCUAAGUCGAAAAACGGUACAUCAAUGCCUUUCUUAUCCUCUUCUUUGAAUUGCUCUGAGUCUAUUAAGUGUUUCACAUGACUCUCACUAUCAUAUAAGUGAAGCACUUGAUUUGCUCUGUUCUCUGAACUCAAAAAAAAAACAGAAAAUAUUGUAUAGAAGACCCUGAAAUAUUCUCAAUUCAGCCAAGCACAAGUCGAAAAGAAAAGACCAGAAGUUAUAGGCUAGUGCAUAUGGCACAAAGAUUACCUUUCCUUUUGGUGAUGGUUCUUUUGCGCAAACAAGCAAUAUAACCAAUGAUGCCUAAAACCGCAACUAGAACGACAGCAAUUGUUAUGCCUACCACAACCACUGGAGAUGACGACGAUGACUUCUGAUCAGCAGGCUUUGUACCCUCUGCAGGAUUGACACCUGAAACAAAGAAGGAACUGAAUUGAACUUCUCUCACCUACCCAGAAGGCAAAUUUAGUAAGAUACUUGGUGAACAGAAUCCUCACCUUGUGUACAAUUUAAACUUGAGCUAUUCCAUUUGAAGUUUUCAUUGCAAAAGCACCUUCUCGUUCCAUCUCGCGUUCCGCAGGUUGAAUUUGGCCAGUCCUUGCAAUCUGCUGAUGAGGUACACACCGGCUCCAAUGGUGGAUCCCAACUGAUCUCUACUUCAAUACUAUUUUUCAAUGACAUCUCAGAGCCAAAAUUGUCAGUUCCAACCUCUUUGCACACAUCAGUCAAGUGAAAAGGCGGGUUUAGUGGCGGAAUCAGACUUCGUGAACUGCAAUCCGCUUCUUUCAGUUGGAUUACAAAUGUUAAUGUCUCUGGGUUAAUGCUAGUUACUCGGUAGGGACCACCAGGUACCUUGAACUGAACCUGGGCUGUGAUAUUGUUACAUUCAAAAUUGAAGUACGUUGAAUCACCACACUUUGAUCCAGUGCUUAGAGGAUAAGGAAUCAUGUUUGAGCCACAAGUUUCACAAUUCCUUAAUGUUGUUUCUGCAAAGACAGUAGAAUACCAUGUGGGCAUUUCAGUUACAAAUGGAUUAAUGCUUGUUUUUUCAAAGAAAAAAUAAAAUAAAAAUUGAAAGGGACAUACUUAUAUCUGAAAUGGCCACACGAACGGAGAGGUUGUAGGCAUCAGAGGCAUACUCCUCCUGAAGAUCAGUAAGGUCAUCCGUCCAAAUCAAGCAAUAUUCUAGGGCAUCAGUGACACCUCUUUGUCGUUUGAUAUAAGUUUCAGCAUAAGCUUGACAUCGGCAUUCUUUAAGGCAAGCCUUUCUGCAAUAAUCACUAUCAUUCGUAUCUGGUAUAAUCACACGGUCUGGCUUUCUCACUUUCAUCAUCUUUAAGCUCAGGAACACGUCUUCACUGGAACUCUUCUCGCAUAUGGGAGACUUUCUGGUACACCCACUUGAAAACUCUUCAGUUUUCCAAAUAUCCGGCGAGGCGGGUUUGAACCCAGGUAAACAUUUGCACAUCAAAGCAUUGUUAGUGUUACAACUACCGAAUUUCCCACAAGCUUUUGGCACACUGCAUCGAUCUUGCGGUGCCCACCAGUCUGGAGAUGAUCUACUCGGAUUCAGAUAGUACCUGAUUUCCCCUGAAGAACUCAUCACCAACCGACUGGUAUUCUUAUACCUGGAGGACACUAUUUCAAGGGUUCUAUUGUAGAAUUUUCCAGGGCUGGUUGACUUGCCGGUCUUGCUGAAGUUGGAUAACAAGCUGAGUAUUGCAUAUGGCAUUUCUUUCGAGUCCUCACUGCUCCAAUAUGAGACAAAUGAAUCCUGUAUGUUAUACUGAUCCUCAUUGUCUUGAUCUAGCUUGAAAGUAAAGUUUCCAGGUGCCGGGUCAACAGAACUCAGCCAUGAAGUCAAUAUUAAGUUUUCAUCCAUCUUCAUCCCAGGAAGAAAAGUAUCUGUAGGAUGAUCGAAGCUCUCCCAAAGAAUUAUCCCUGAUCUGUUGUCACUCAAAACAAGGUUCCCAGAGUCCAUGAGCUUCACCACCCUCCCUGUUGAUGAAUAUGUUGCAAUAUCAGAAGACCAGUGAACUGUCCCAUUUGCAUCCAAUACCUUGAGCUCACCAUCUUCUUUAAUGGCAAAAACUCCAGAGGGGGUAUCAGAAAGGGGAAGGGGUUUCUUUCGGUUGGCCACCCAUACAACGCUUCGUGGUUUCGACUUGUAAUACCAUAUGCCCACGAAUCUUCCAAUCUUGGAGCUUCCAUUUGGAUUAAAGAAGCCAAGUUCAAAGGUUUUGCCUGCAGAAACAACAGUUUCUCCAUCAUCACUAAGCCAGUCCUCCGGUGUGAUGGUAUCUCUAGCAGAGCAAUACAGGACAGAACACAAGACGAAAAAGAUGGUAGAUAGCAUGUGAGUUGCAGAGACAGGAACCAUGAAUUUUC
This 134837-nucleotide long non-coding RNA is filed under the name Vitis vinifera (wine grape). RNAcentral's name for it is "long non-coding RNA (VVIN_LNC003741)". Lineage: Eukaryota; Viridiplantae; Streptophyta; Magnoliopsida; Vitales; Vitaceae. The record is from RNAcentral.